This 93142-nucleotide long non-coding RNA is filed under the name Theobroma cacao (cacao). Its description in RNAcentral is "long non-coding RNA (TCAC_LNC004543)". Lineage: Eukaryota; Viridiplantae; Streptophyta; Magnoliopsida; Malvales; Malvaceae. The record is from RNAcentral.
CAUUGGGAAGCUUCCAAUCAAAAUGGUAGAGCAGAUUUGCAAGUAAAAGCUCUACACUGGCAAUACCAUACGACAUACCAGGACACAUCCUCCGUCCAGCACCGAAUGGAAUAAAUUCAAAGUCUGUUCCUUUAUAGUUAAUUGAACUAUCGCAAAAUCUCUCAGGAUAAAACUUCUCAGCUUCAGCCCAGUAAUUUUGAUCUUGUCCUAUUGCCCAUACAUUAACUAUGACCCUAAAUUUGGCAGGUAUGACACAUCCGUUAACCUCACAGUUCACUUGGCAUUCUCUUGGAAGUAGCAAAGGACCUGUAGGGUGCAAUCUUAGUGUCUCUUUGAUAACUAGUCUGAGGUACUUCAACUCAUGAAUGCCUAAUUCAUCAACAUCUCUUCUACCAGCAAAGACAUGCCUCACCUCUGCUUGUGCCCUUUUCAAUACUUCAGGGUUUCUUAAUAAUUCUGACAUUGCCCAUUCUACAACUGUAGAUGAGGUUUCACCCCCGCCGAGGAACAUAUCCUGAAAUAGCUAGGAUUAUUAAGUUUCAAUUAAGCAUGCACAAAAGGCUGAUUUUGUGAGUGUCAACAUUAUGAUCACACAGCCAAAAUAUAGAAAAGAGACAAAACGAAGCAAUUGACUAUAAAGGAACAGACUUUGAAUUCACUAACCAGAAUAAUAGCUUUGAUGCUGCUGGUUGAUAAGGGAACUUCAAGGUCUCCAUGAUCCUGAAUAUCCAGAAGGACUUGGACGAGAUCGUCUGCUUCACUUUCUCCUGUCCUUGUUGAUAAUUUUGUAGCUCUAUGUUCCUGAAUGACGCUUUCCAGAAUCUCAUCUACCUUGUUAUGCAGUUUUUUAAUUUUAGGCCUCAUGGCAUUGAUCAGAUGGAGCAAUUUAACGGAAGGAUAGACAUCAACAAUACUGAGACCUCCAAACAACGCUAUAAUGUCUGGGAUAUGUUUCUUGAAUGCAUCCUGGUGCUUACAUUUCCCACCAAAGGCUGUUCUGGAGAGUAUGCUGAGUGCUGAAGAGUACAAGAAGUUCUUAAGGUUAAUAGGCGAUCCUGCUUUCGAUGAGAUGGUUCUUACUAAAUUAGAUAUUUCUUCUUCCCUGAUUGGUCUAAAUGACUGAACUCGUUUCUUACUUAACAGCUCCAGCACACAAAUUUUGCGUAUUUGUCUCAUGUAAUCUCCACGGGCAAAUGCAAUAUCUCUAAAGUUGUAAGUUAUGAACUGUGCAGCAUAGAGAUAAGGCCUCUCAGAGAAAACAGAGUCGUGGGUUUUCAUCACCUGUUUAGCAGCUUCUGGUGAAGAAAUCACAACAGUUGAUACUUCCCCAAGUUGCAGAAGCAUCACUGGACCAUACUUCUGAGCCAAUCGGGCAAGGCAGCGAUGAGGUUGAGUCCCAAUAAGAAGGUGCAAGUUUCCUAUCAGAGGUAAUUUUGGAGGACCAGGUGGUAGCGUUGAUGGAAGGCUACUAGAUUUGGUAUUCGUCCAUGUCCUCAAAGCCCUGAAUGUGACGAACAAAAGGGUAAGAAGGAAUAAGAGAAAGGGAAGUUGGUUUUCCAUGCGAGCAAUGGGAAAGAAUUAAAUGGAGGGGAAAUUUCCUUUAUUGAUUAUGAAUCUCCUCUCUUACUUGGAAAUUGCGGUUGGAGGGAUGAGACUUGGGGUGAAACUAUGGGGAAAACGCAGUGCCGAAAGUAUUUAAUUUGCUGUUAGUGGCCUCAUUUCAUAUAUCUUGUCAACAGCAGAACAGUGCUGUUAUUGAUAUUUGCAUGUUAUAUGUUCCAACCAAAUGGCCUUUUGCAUUUUUUUUUUUAUAAUUAGAUAAAAGAUUCAAACUUUACUCUUUAAGUAAGGGAUAAUGCACCAACUAAUAAGUUAAAUGUUGAGGUACAUCUUUUACGUUUUGUUUUACUAGAAUUAGCAAAACCAUAAUGGAAAAAUGUAAAUUUUGUUUGAUAUAAUGAGAAAUAUUUACUAUUAUAAAAAUAAAUGCUAACUUUCCUACCAAUAAUUGUGAACAAGCAAAUUGUAACUACUAUAUAAUGGAAAGCUAAAGCUUUUCUUGUUUAGCUGGCUUAAAGAUUUACACGUGAAACUAUUGAAAAAAAGAGGUGUAAAGUUAUCUUUUUCAAUCUUAAGAUUUACCCAUGGCUCGACUUGUGGACCAGAAGAAUAAAAUCCUGGUGUUAGUCGUGCCCCACAGCUGUUGCACCAUGGAAAAGAUUAAAGUCUCUAUCAUUUGCUAUUUUUUAAUAUUGUGUUGUCAGUUUUUUAUUCAACUUUGCAGUUAGUGUAAUAUUUUUAUUGGGGUAGUUUGGCUACGUGUUAUGACAUUAUAGGCCACUAAGUACUAGACACAUCACUUGGUAUUUUAUGAUUUUUUGUCUCUUGUAAUGAGAAAUAUUAUAUUUGCAUAAUCAAAAGUGAGCUGUGACUUUGCAAGGCUUCUGCAAUUCUUCUCAUCUCUCACGUGUUUUUGGUUUUUUAUAUUUUAUGUUUUUCUCUCUCUUGUAAUUAGAUGUACUAUAUUUGUUUAAUAAAAAGUGAGCUGUGACUUUGCAAGGCUUCCUGCAAUUCCUCUCAUCUCUCACGUGUUUUUGGUUUUUUGUUAACUCAGUGUUUCUCGUUCAACUUGUUAAUUACUCAAUGAAUUCAUAACCUUUUGAUUUUUGAACAAUUGUUUGGGAAAUCUUUCUCCAAAAUUGAGCAAGUGAAAAAGAUAUUAAAUAGCUUGUCCAAGUCAUGCCAGGCCAAGGUGACCAUCAUAUCAAGAGUUCAGAGUCUUCGUAUGUUACAGUUAGAUAAGUUUACUGAGUUCUCUUUUAACCUGUGAGAUGAAUCAUGAGAGGAUUCCAUUUAAGAAGAUGAAUCAUGAAAGUUUGGUUGUAGAUAGAAAUCAUGAGGAGAUAAAGCAAUGUCCAUGCUAGACAUAAUAGGAUUCAACAAGUUCAUGCGAAAGAAACAAAACCUACGGAAGCAAAAGAAGAAGACAAUGAUCGAGACGUGGAGUGAUAGUGAGAAUGAGAUCUUCGAAGAUGUGGCCUUUAUCUCUCAUGAGUUGUGAUUCAAUUUCACAUACAUUUGAUGCGUUCUCAAAUUGAAAAUAUGAAUCUAGUUAUUCAAAACUUUAAAAAAAAAAAAUUUGAAAGUUUAAUACAAUUUCAAAAAGGGUACUUGAUAAAUUUUUUACAAGUAAUAAAAAUAAUGAAUCAGAAAUUAUUAAAGAAAUAUUAAAAUAACUUGAUUAUAAAAGUUUAAGUAGAAAUUUUCAUCUAAAAAUGCUAGAAUAAUAAAAUUUUUUUAAUUUUAAUAAAAAGGACCUCAUUUGAAUAUUUUACUUUAAACUUUUUAGGUUAUUGAGCCGUCUCUAGUAUUUGAAAUAUAAGAAAAUGAUCACCUCUUAACUUAUUUUUGAUAACUAAACGAGAUUGAGUGUGCCUAUAUAAAAUCGAAACAUAAGUUUAUAAUCCAUGAAUAAUAGUUGUUUAAAGUUGGUAAAAUAUCAAGACCAAAGAUUAAACACAUAAGCACAUCCAAUGCUUUAGCUAAUUACAAAUUUCCAAACAUAUCAAGAAUAAUUAAGCUACAACGUUCUUGAUUAAGCAUAGAUCAUUCCAGGUAUAAAUGAUAGCCAAUCAACUCAAGUUGCGGAGAACAGUUAACAACUUAAUAGAUAUAGACAGGAUGCUUUAUUUUUUUUAUUUUUAAUAAUUAAAUUACCCCAUUUUUUAAUUGAAUUUACAUAAUUUAAUUAUAUUUAAUUUUGCAACUUGUUUUUGGAUCAUUCGAACAGAGUUACAUUUAAUAUGAGUCUCAUCUGUCCUGUCCAUCAUUUGAGGCUCGUGUGACUCAAAUUGUAAGAAGUACAUAUUAAAAAGAGUCUUAGUAAAAUGAAAUAGAAUAAUUCUAAAAAAAAAAUCUUAAUAAAAUUUCAAAAAUGCCAAAAAUGACAAAAAAAAUAUAACGUUUACAAAGAAAUAAAAGUACAAAAAAUUAGAAAAAGAAAGACGAAAAUAAGAGAAAAAACAAGGAUUGCUGCCCUUCCUCCAUAUCUUUCUCCACUACUUUGUGCCGACAGGUGAGAAAAUCCAUAAGAAAUCAUUUGAAAGUUGGGUAGUAUUUAAUUAUUUUGUUUAUAAAAAUAAACAUAUAUAGUAUUUAAUCAUAUAAAUCUCCUUUUCUUUUUCCGUAUGGGACAUGAUUUUAUGUUUAAACUUUCUUGCUAAAGGACAAAAUUAUUAGUUUAAAGGUCCUUUUAUGGAAGGUGUUUAAAGGUCAGAGUCAAAGUCUGAAUCUUUAAAUUAAGUUUAAAAAUUUUACUGUAUAUGAGUUUCAUCAAAUUUUAUAUUUUAUAUUAAUUUAUUGAUUUAUUUAUUUUAUUUAUAAAAAUGUCAAAUUUUAUUACUGAAAAUUUUAAAUAAAUUUUCUUAAUUAAUAAUAAAAAUACACAUAAAUAUAUGCAAAUGUCAUCAUGAUUUAUAAAAGUAAUAAUUUUAUGUCAAAUUACUUUUAUUUUGGGUCAAAUAAACUCUUAUAACUUAUGGUUAACUAACUAUCUUUAUUAAAAAGUCACUUGUCAUUCUAUGUCACAUGGUAGUAAUAUGAUAUGUUAACAUGUUAUAAUUGAUAAUGAUAUAACAUGCUGAUAUAGUAUGAUGGUAUGAUCAUGUGACAUUUUCAUCAUCCACGUCAACAUCAUAUUAACGCCACGUGAGUAUAAAGUAAUAGGCAACAUUUUGACUAAUAGUAAUUAGUCAACCAUUAGUCAUAAGAGCCUAAUUGACCUAAAACAAAAGUAUAAGAGAUUGAUUGAAUGGAAUAUAAAAAAAAGAGUUUGUUCAAUUUUUUUUAAAGUAAUUUAAAAACUUUUUAAACUAUUAUGCCCUAUAUGAACUUAUUUUCUAAAGUUGAUAACCAAUAGUAAAACACUAGAUUACAAGUAAGAAUGAAUAGAAAAGAGGGGAAACAGUUUUCCAUGAGAGAUUUGGGUUGGAUUUUCAAGAAUAGGCGACUACUCGAAGGUUUACAAAUAUUUGGUUUCAUUACUUUCAAACAUACGUUGAUGUUAGUUUUCAGUUUAUUUAACAUUUUAUCAAUAUAAUGUCAAUUAUUGAAUUUGAUAAUACAAUUAAGUGAUAUUAACUUAAUUGAUUAACUUAAUUUAUUUAAUAUUUAUAAAAAUACACAUAAAUAUGUACAAAUAUCAUCGUGAUCUAUAAAAAGUAAUAAUUCUAUGUCAAAUUAGUUUUAUUUCGGAUCAAAUAAACUUUUAUAACAUACGGUUAACUAACUAUUUUUAUUAAAAAGUUGUUAUUUUAUAUCACAUGUCAUAAUUGAUAGUGACAUGGUAUGUUGAUGUGGUAUGAUGAUAUUAUCAUGUGACAUUUUUUUCAUCCAAGUCAAUAUCACAUUAACGCCACAUGGGUAUAAAAUGAUAGACGAUGUUUUAACAAAUGACAAUUAGUCAACCGUUAGUCAUAAGAGCUUAUUUAACUUAAAAUAAAAGCAUAAGAGAUUGAUUGGAUGAAAUAUAAGAAUAAGAGGUUUUUUUUUUUCUAAUUAAGGGAACAAGGAUUCGAAUCUUACUCUUUAAGUAAGGCAUCAUGUACCAACUAGUGAGCUAAAUGCUCAAGUGCAGAAUAUAAGAAUAAGAGCUUGUUCUUACUCAUGAUGCAAGCUAAGGGUGAGAACGAUCCUAAGCUUAAGAGAUCUUUUGAUGAUUGUGGGUAAGGUCAAUGUGCCACUCACACAACUAUAAUGAUUGUUCAUGUGAGGUGAACUAGAUGGUAGUGAGGACUUUAACCACUACCCAUCUAAAGGGGGUGGGACCACUUGAUAAAUCGUGGAUGAGGCUGAGGUGCCAUUCACGAGAGCUUGCUAGGAACUCGAAAUAGUGGAGGUUAAACCACUAUUUGUCAGAACAAGGCAGACCCAUUCAUAGAUGGAAUGUUAUGAUGAAUGAGUUUAAUGAGUUUAAGGAAUGAUUGAAUGAGUAUUGAUUGAUGACUUAUGUUUAAAUGCUUAUUUUAUGAUAAAUGAUUAUCGAAAAUGUUAUUCACAUUAUAAUAUGGUGAUAUUGGUUUGGUUAGAUAAAACCUUAGCUUAAGGAAUAAUCCUAUAAUUUUGGAAAGACUUAUGAAUGGUUUAGGUUCAAAACAUUGCCUAGAAAAUUGAAUUUUGUGGAAAAAGUAUCGAUACAUGUGGAGCAUGUAUCGAUACAUUUUCAACAGAAUGCUACAAGAGGUGUUCUGUGUGAAAUGUAUCUAUACACUCUCAAAAGUAUCGAUAGAUUUCUUGCAUGCAUCGAUAAGUUUCAAAAUGUAUCAAUAGAAUUGUUGCAAAAAAUGAUUUCUAAGUGAUUUUAAAGAGGUUUUCCAGGAUAAAUGAGUUCUAAUGUUUUAAGCAAAGUUGUUUUCCAUUCAAAGUUAUUUAAAGGAUGUUUUAAAUGCUAUGUUACAUGAUCAUUUUGGUAAUGAUGCUGAAUUUAUGAAUCAUAUGUAUUUACAAUUGCGUGGUGUCACAGCCCAAUUUUCGGGCCAUGACUAGCGCAUAGGCCCAAUGGGCAUAGCCCACAAGCCCAAGCAAGUCUCUUUAUGUAAUCCCUGAUCGUCAUUUCAACAAUCAUUCCUAAAGUCACAUUUCGUAAUUCUCAACUAUAAAAUAUUCAGUGAUAUACUAUGGCAAUCAAAUACUUACAUUUAGAUCAUCCAAAAUAAUAUCAUCCAUUGCCAACUCAUAGUGGCAUCAUCAAUCAAAAUAUAUAUACAUUGUUUAUACUAUGAAUCCUAGUGAUUUACAUCACAUGUAUGUAUACACAGGCAAAAGACUAUUGACUACCAGCGGAGUGACUUUGGGUGAAGGUACAACUACUGAAUGCCAUGGUACUUACCAAAAAGAUGAAUAUAUGUGGACACCUCAAUCUAGGUCCCAACUGCCUCUGAAUCUGAAAAUAUGAUGUUUAAAAGAGUGAGUAUAAACCUAGUGAGUGAACAUAGGAAGAGAACAAGCAAACGAUACGGAAAGUUAUAGAAAACAUGAUGCACUUAUGUUAAAAACAAUGCAAUUUAGCUUAAUUUCUUGUAAAGCCCCUUAAUUCAACCUUUGGUUAUUUAAUCCCUUAGAGUGAAGGAUCUAUGAUCAACAACGAAGUUGAAAAGAGUGAAAACUACAGCAAAUAUCCAAGCAAGAUAGGUAAGGCAGAGAGUUUGUCGUUGGAUUGAAAAUCAAUUUGGAAACAAUUAACAAUUUCAACAUUCAACAUUCAUUGCAAUCACAUAAUAUUUUCUCUAGCAUUUCCAUGGUAUGUGUAAGCAUGUAUACAACCAUCGGCUCAUUAGCUUAUGUGCACUCUCACACCGCACAUAGUUAGAAUCACCUGUCAUCAUCGGCAUGUGCACUCCCACACCACACACGCGCGGUUAGAAUUAUCACACAAUAUUAUUAUUCAAAGCAUAACAUAUAUAUCUUCAGAAUAUAGGAACUCAUGGGUUCAUCACAUUACACAUUUUACAACAUAAAACGUUUCAUCAAAGGUUUGUUCCCAAGCAUGAUUUAGAGAAAAAAAAGUCAAAUAUAAUCAUUUAAGUGCUUCAUCUCAACACAUAUGUAUUUCUCAGAAAUAAUUUAAUGCAAGUUCACUCACUUGUCCUUGUUGAUUGUUUUGAUCGACUAUAACUUCAACUAAUUCUCCAAAUGGACAUGUGGAGCCUCGCUGGAACCUAUCACACACAAUAUAACCAUAAAAAAUAUAACAGCCCACAAAUCUAAUUAUUAGCCAUCUUUAACAACUUAAAAUCAAUCCUAACACAUUUCUCACCUUGGUGGACUUGUAGUUGAAUUUUCUUAGUGAGGAUUAAAAGGGGAAAACUCCUUCAAGAGUUUUCAAGCUAAUUUGAAGUGUUUCCCUCUCUAAAAAAUGUUCAGUAGUGAAAGAAAGUACAAAGAAAAAACACUUUUUUUGAGGGUUUUUAAGGUGAAAAAGUGAAAGAGAAUGAAAAACCCUAUGAAAAAGUGUGCAAAAACAUGAAUUUUGAAGUUAGUAUGUGAAGGCUAUGGAGGUUUUAAGGUUUCUUUCCAUGGAGGAUGAAAAGUUCUGCAAAAAUGAGAGAAGAAAUGAGAGGAAGAUGAAGAAGGUGCUGGAACUUUAUAUAUUUAUCUCUAAAGUCAAUCAAAAUUUCACAUAAUUUAUAAAAAUGCCCUUUUUGUUCUUCUGGUGCAGUACCUUCAUUUUGACAAAGAUUUUGACCACUUUACUAUCAGAACUGGGCAAAGUAGAAAACAUCAAAGUUGUAGCCCUACCUCUUAGCUUUCUAAUGGUAUAAAAAUUAUGUCAUUUGGACUUCUUUAGUGGGAUAUAAUCUUGAAAAACCAAAAUAUAUGCAAAUAAAGCAAUAGUUCAUUAUGCACCUUUCUUCACCAAUUGAAAUUAUUUUUGAUCCUACUCCUAUAAAAACAUAAAAUAAUUAUAAAUAACAUAAAACUAACAUCAUUAACUUAAAAUAAACAUUUAAAUAUAAAUUAAACUAAACUAAUAAAAUAAAUAAAAAUACCUAAAUUAUAUCCUAAAUCUAGUCCAACUUAGACUAAUUAGGUAUUUAAUCUUCCAUUAAAUAUGUGAAUUUGAUGCACUCAUCAGUCUACCUCAAGUCACGCAUCUAUGGAGGUCGAGGUUUCACACAUGGUUACGAAAAACUCUUCCCUUUGGCCUGUCCCCUUCUCCAUAUCCAUUCACAAAGUCUUUGUGACUCACACGUUAUUUUUCGUCACUAUUUUCGUUAUGGAUUAAUGAUAGUAUUUUGUAGUAGCUAGUGUCAUGGAUACAAGUGUCUAGUUUUCAUCCUGUGUUAGAUGUCUAAUAGCCACUUGAUGCCUAGAGGGUCGGUCAUGUUUUGUUGAUGAGUCAGUCUUAUCUUUAUGUUUAUGUUUACGAAUUAUGAACAUGUUAUGAUAAUGCAACCAAUGUUUAGGCACUUUACAUUAUGAAUUUUAUGAUUAAAUGUAUAGAGCUGGUUGGAGAGCCUAAAUGGACAGUUGAGGGCGUUAAUAAAUGUUCAUAUGAUACUGUGCACUGAGAUAGUGACACUUUAAUGUUUUAUUAGAUGUUUCCACAUACAUUGCUUAUAUUGAGAGGUUCUUUAACUGUGUAUGAUGCCUAUGAAUGCAUACUUGUUAUAACAAUGUAUGCUUAUGAAACUUUAUAUAUGCUUUCGAAAUGAUGAAUAUUAAAGAGGCUUACUUAAGCUUAGUGGGCUAUACCCGUCUAGGCCUAUGCACUGGUGAUAUCCCAUCGUAAAAUGGGAUGUGACAAAGUUGGUAUCAAAGCUUUAGGUUCAUAGAGUCCUAGGUUUUCCUUGGUUGUCAACGGAAUGUUUAGAGCCGUAUGUAGGAAUCUUGUUUUUGUUUUAUGUACCUAGGCACAAAUUGAAAAUGGGAGACCUACAUAUAACUCCUUGUUUUUUGACCUACUUUAUGCUUAAGAGUUAUGUCUAGAAUUACUAUGAGUUUAUAGAUUUGAGUCUUACAGUAUAUGAUUGUUGUUGUCUAAAUGAGAUAUGUCGCCUAGGACACGAGCUAGUGGUAAAGAUGCGACAGAGCACGAGGCUCCCGUGGAGACUACUAAUAGACCACAUACACCUACUACUAGAGACCAUGGUAGACGUGACAAGGCUGCCAAUUCGGGGAAGAUAGACAGCCCUGCUUGUAGCUCCCCUGCUUGCUUUUGUUGUUGUUGGUGUUGCUUGAUGCUAGUGCUUUUAUUCAUUCCCCUCAUAACUUAGUUAUAAUACUAAAUAUUUGCGCAAACUUAAAAGUACGAUUUAAAUUGAAAAUUGUUGCAACAUAGCUUAGAAAAAAGUCUCAAUAUGCUUUUGCAGAACUUGCUUAUUCUUGCUUACAAUAUCAAUUCUAUAGCGGAUAAUAAAAGAUAAAAGGUAACUAAAAUUUGUUUAACACAGUUUACUCACUAGGCAAAGGAUGGUAAGGAAUGGGAAUUAAGAAGAGAUCAUUCUUUCUUCUUACAGAUAGGCCAAAACAUUCAGUCAUGUCCAAGUCUUCACAUUUGCUUCCAUUUGGGAGCAUCCAAUCAAAAUGGUAUAGCAAUUGUGCAAGGGGUAGCUCAAUGUUGGGGAGUGCAAAUGAUAUGCCUGGACAUAUCCUCCUUCCAGCACCGAAUGGAAUAUAUUCGAAAUUUGUUCCCCUAAAAUCAAUAGAACCGUCCAAGAACCUAUCUGGGUUAAAUUUUUCAGCAUCUUUCCAAUACCUAGAAUCUCUUCCUAUGGCCCAUGCAUUAACAAUGACUUUAGUCUUUGCAAGUAUAUCAUAUCCACUGAUUACACACUUUUCAUCACACUCUCUUGGUACUAGAAGAGGUGCAGCAGGAUGUAACCUCAAGGUUUCUUUAACUAUUAAUCUCAAGAAUUUCAAUUCAUGAAUACCAGCUUCAUCCACGUUACCUUUUCUAUCAAAAACCUGUCUCACCUCGGCUUGUGCUUGUUUCAUCACCUUUGGAUUUUUUAGCAUUUCUGACAUUGCCCACUCCAUUGUUGUUGAUGAUGUCUCACUCCCAGCCGCCAGAAUGUCCUACAAGAUGAUACAUUAUCAUUAGUUUUUUGCUGUUUAUGUUUUCACGAAUUUUAUAUAAACAUAUUGUAAUUUUCUGAUAGAAACUUAAUUUGAGUUUGAAUGGACAGAUUGUCAACUUCGCUUCAUUGUGCAUACAAUUUUUUAUAAGCCAAAAGUAUUUCAUUAAAGAUGGGUUACUUUAAUUCCGUAACCCUUCAAAAGUUUACAUGUCAGCCUGUACAAAUCACCCUUGUCACCAUGGGCUCCGCACUAUAAACCUAUAUUCUUCCUUCAAGAAAACAAACGCCACAACCCUAAUCAAGCCCAUAUACAGCCGCACUCAUCAGCUCAGAGCAUUGCAAAAACAUGUUAAGCUCAUUGUCCAUACAAUUUAAAAGAUGAUUUUACUUCUGUCCAUAUACGUAAUUGUUCUGAGUGGUGCAUCACCGUUAAUUUAUAUACUAUAAAAGAUAAUUCAACAAAAAUAAAUAAACAUUUCAAGUCAUCAAAUUUGUUUUUAGAUAGCUUUUCAAAAAGCAAAAAAAGGUUUGUUCUUAGAAAGCUUAUGGCUACUAAAGAAGUUAUGAUAGAAGUUGAUCUGUAGAUACAUGAGAGAAAAUGAUACUAACCAAGAUAAUUGCUUUUAUUUUGUCAUUCGUCAGAGGAAUUUCAAGGUCAGAACUCUGUUGAAGUUUAAGAAGAACUUCAAGAAGAUCUUCCUCUCCUUGUUGCUUGCCCAUUUCUGAUGUACUGUUUGUUUUCUCUUUGUGCUCGUUAACUAUGUCUUCAAGUAUCCGAUCAGAAGCCCGUUGCAAUUUCUCAAGUUUAAGCCUUACGCCACUGAUCAGUUUAAGCAGCUCAUUAGAAGGAUACAUAUCAGCUAAGCAGAAACCACCUGCGAGCUUUGUAGUUUCUGUUAUGAUCCUUAUGAAUUCUUCUUGGCCUUUGCUUUUCUUGCCAAAGGCUGCCCUUGAUGUUAUCCCAUAUGUCAUUGAGAAAAUUUUCUCGCUGAGAUUAAUUGGGGAUCCUUCAUUCAAAGAUAUGGUUUUGAUGAGAGCAGAAACUUCUUCUUCCCUGAUGAAUUGAAAUGACUGAACGCGACUUGGACUCAAAAGCUCCAUCGUGCUGAUUUUCCUCAACUGUUUCCAAUAGUUUCCAUAGGGUGAAAAUAUAAUGCCUACAGAAUCAUAUGACAUUAUCCUAGAAGCAAGAAGAUAAGGCCUUUGAGCAAAGGUGGUUGCGUGGUCUUUCAAAACCUCUUUUGCAAUUUCCGGAGAAGAUAUUACAAUGCUGGGAACUUCACCAAGUUGUAGAUGCAUCAAAGGUCCAUGUUUCUUGGCCAAAUCUCUGAGGGUGUGAUGGGGCAGAGAGCUUAUGAGCUGAUGCAGGUUACCUAUGAAAGGAAGUUUUCGUGGUCCUGGAGGAAGCCUUGCUGGGGGGUUGUUGGCUUUCGAUCUUUUCAGAACUUUUAGUACCAUGAACACGAAAAGAGAGGUGAGGAGUAGGGCGGUGAAGGAAGGAAAUUGAAGCUCCAUGAUGCUCAAGGAAAACAGAAGAAAUGCCACUUUUUUUUUCACCCCCCUUGGAAAGAAAGACAAAGAUGCAAGUUUCUCUCUCCUUAGCUAGCUAGAGAAAAGGCCUUCUCUUAGUAGCUCUGAAUUAUAAUAUUUAUGUGGAUACCAUUUAUAUUUAUAGCUAUAUGAUGGAUAUAAUAUAUAUUUAGUUUUUAAGUAUAUAUUUAUUAUGUUUAUUAUACCAUUUACUCUUUGUAGAAUUAUAUAAUUAUCUAAAUAUUUAAUAUUUAAGUAAGUUUUUAAUAAAUUUGUUAUAAAUUGAGUUUAAUAUAUGUUUAUUUUCAAUAUAACUUCUCAUGUACAAAGCACUAUACGGACGUCAGUUUCAUGGAAAGAACAAAGAUUUCAAAUAUAACCAAACUUGCAGCGUACAAGUCGGAGACAAGAGGAAUCUGAAAUGCUUCUUCAAAAUGCAUUGUAUCAGCUAUGUUCAUGCAAUGGCUCCUCUUCACUAGCUUUCCAGCUCACUAUCAAAUUAUUUUAAAAAUAUGAAUCCUUGGGAUUCCUUUUCACACGUUGAUGCCAGCCAAGUUGCUGCUGCAGGAGAUCUGUCGACAUUGUUUCAUGAAAUAAGAAAAAGCAACAAUUAAUCGUUUGCACGUGUGCAUAGGCAUAGAUUAUUCGUUUCCAUUAUCAGUAAAGGUUUUUUUUUUUAAAUAGUACAUUAUCUUUCAUGUCAUUCGAUUUUUCAAAAUUUUUAUUUUAAUCAUUCAACUUUGAAAAAUAUAAUUUUGAUAAUAAAUAUUUAUAAACAUUUGGUUAUUCAAUUGCUAAAAGAUAACAAACUUAGCUUUCUCUUGAUAGUAAGUUACAUAUUCAUAUCAACUACUUUGUCAUCUGUCCAUGCGUAAUAAAAAAUUAUAGCUUACUAAUAGAAAAUUAAAAUAAAGAAAAAAUAAAAACAAAUACAAAUAAAAAAUUAUAUUAAUAAUUUAUUAAUAAAUUGUUAAUAUUUAUAUUUUUAAUGAAAAUAAAAAUUAAAAGAUUAAAAAUAGAAAUAAAAUAAAGAAACAAUAAAAAAAUUAAAAUAAAAAAUCAUAUUAGUAAUUUAAUAAUAAAUUUGUAAUAUUUUAAUAUUUAAUGAAAAUAAAAAGUAAAAAAUAUUAUUGAGUUAUAGAAAUAAAUAAUUUUUUCUAAUUUAUUAAUUUAUAAUAAAGGAAACUUUUUGUUUUGAUGAAAAUAAAUUUUAUUAUAAUAAAAGAUAAUUUGACCAUUUUAUUAUUUAUUCUUCAAAAAUAAGUCAUAAUAAUAAGGCUAAAAUUUUUUUUUAGCCCUCAAGUAUAAGUUGUUUUUAGAAAUAGCCCUCAUCUUAAUUUUAACUGUUUUUAGCCAAGAGAUAAAAUUUUGGGAUAAAAAUACCCUUAAUGAGACUUCUUCAUUGAACUAUAUUUGAUGGCAUGUUUAAAAAUUUCCCACGUAACACACCAUGGUGAGAAUUUGUGACAUGCCAUGGAAGAAAUAUGCAACACGCCAUAGAAGGAAUAUGUGACACGACACUGAGGGAGUAUGUGACACGACACUGAGGGAGUAUGUGACACGCCAUGGUGAGAAUAUGUGACACGACAUGAAGGGAAUAUGUGACACACCAUGGAGAGAAUGUGUGACACGCCAUGGUUAGAAUAUGUGACACGCCAUGGUUAGAAUAUGUGACACGCCAUGUUGAGAAUAGGUGACACACCAUGGUGAGAAUAUGUGACACGACAUGGUGAGAAUAUGUGAGACGACAUGGUGAGAAUGUGUGACACGCCAUGGAAGGAAUAUGUGAGACAACAUGGUGAGAAUAUGUGAGACGACAUUGUGAGAAUAUAUGACACGCCACGUUGAGAAUAUGUGACAUGCCAUAAGGAGAAUAUGUGACGCCAUAAAGGGAAUAUGUGAGACGACAUGGUGAGAAUAUGUGACACCCCAUAGAGGGAAUAUGUGACAUGACAUGGGGGAAUAUGUGACAUGAUAUGCUGAGAUUAUGUGAAACUACUAAUAACUCUAUUAUAUAGAGUUAUUUUGACACAUUUUGAGGGCUUAAGUAGUUAUACUUUCGAGAUUUGAUGUUUGAAUUUUUACAUUUUAGGUGUUUUUUUAGUUUACGUUUGAUUACUUAUUGAGUGGUUAAUUUAAAUUAUUUUACUUUAAUUUUAUAUUAUUUUGUUUUAAAUUACUUUAAGAGUAGUAUUGCUAAUUUCUCUUAUUGCUUUUGUAAGAAAUUUGAUGAAAAUCCUCGUAAGUAUGUUGAUGGCUUCAUUCGUAUAUGUUGCGGUAUUUUGACUAUAUCUUUUUUUACAAAACUCCAAAAUGAAGUAAUUCUUAGACCAUUAGAACGCUAAGAAGAAGGGAUACAACUUUUAUGUUUACCACUUUACCCAGUUCUGGUCAGAUGAUGACAACAAUAUUUGUCUAAAUCAGAGCACUAUAAUAGUAUGCAUGUACUAAAUAUGAUGCAAGCAUAUAUUUCAACCCUAAAGUACAAUUGACGUGAUUCUUAAGCCAUUGGAAAGAUAAAAGAUAGGGCUACAACUUUUAUGUUUGCAAUAUUUCCAAGUUCAGACCAGAUCAUGGUGAACAUCACGUUCAAAUUUGAUAGACUGCCACAAUACUGGAAAACAUGGCCAUGGUGCUGAGCUAAAAUAGCUCACCAUGCAUUUUCCUAAGAGCUCAAAGCCAUAGCGCUAAAGAAGCAGCACCGUGAUGCUACUGUAGCAAACAUGUAGCACCUCAGUGCCAAAAAAUUCAGGCCACAGCGUUGGGAGAUUUUCCAAAAAUAAAAGUUUGAUAGGAUUUUGGAAAUUAGGUUACUUGGAGCCUAUUUAAGGGACCUUUUUUAGAGAAAAGGGAAGGCAGCAAGCAACUAUUCUGGAGAUUUUGAGCCAAGAACAAAGCAAGAAAACAAGAGAAUUUGAUAGAGAAUUAAGAUUGCAAAGAAGCUUUUAUAAUUAGUUUCUUUCUCUACUUUUGUGCUUUUUUAAUUUUCUUUGACUUGAAUUAAUGGCUAAAUUUCUUUGGAUAUUGUUUUUAUUACUUAUUAUGAGCUAAAUUAUCUUUCUAGGAUUGUGGUGGAUUUUUACAUGUGGUUUGAAUAUUAGUUUCUCUUGUAUUUAUCAUCAACAUGUGUAGUUUUGCUUAUUUAAAUCUGUUCUUAAUAUUUUCGAUUGUCUGGCAAACAAUUAACUGAUUUGUUAAUCUAAUUGAGACUUAACAAAGAGAUUUUAGAUUGGACUAAGAUUUGAAUAGUGUAUGUUCAUGUCACUUAGGUGAUUUGAUUCGCGAUUUGAGUAAACAUACACUAAUUGCCAUACAUAGCUAAAUUAGAACGCUAGCUUAAUGAACCUUAUUUAAUUGAUUCCUAUAGACAUAUAGUGAACUAAUUAAGUUAGGUAUUUGUACAAGCAACUCGAUGGAGACUUGUCCAUAGCUUUGCAUUAUAGGUUAGUAAAACCACCCAAAAAAGAUAAAUAAUAAGAAAAGCUGGUAUCAGAUGAAAUGUUGAAUGAACCCAUAAUCCUAGGUCUUUAAUAUACUACUUUUGUCAACUUAUUUAGUUUAUUAGUUUAUUUAGUGUUGAUUUUUAAUUGUUCUUAAUUAGUUUUUCUUCGAUUUUCGGAUUGCUUAAAUAAGAUUAAUUUAUUUUAUAAUUUUAGUACUUAGUGAAACUUUAGAAACAAAUCCUCAUGGGAACGAUACUCUACUUCAUCACUAUAUUACUUGUUAGAUACAUGUGCAAAAUCGACAACAACGACAUGGAAGAAAUAUGUGACACGACAUGGAGGGUUUAUGUGACACACCAUGGAUGGAAUAUGUGACACCGCUUAAAUUUAAAUGGAAAAAAAUUGCAAACAAAUAAGGAAACCGUUCGAAAUUCCACGACAUGCAUAUUAGUGGUUGAGGUGUUUAAAAUGCCAUCACAUUUUAUUUUCAUCAUUUGCAAAUGAUAGUGUCAAGUAAGAGUUUUUGAUUCAUUCUUCAUUCCUAAAGGGACCAGAGUGUUCGACUUCGUUCUGAGCAAAGUCAACGAUAUCACAGCAACAAUGUCGGUUAUGCGUGAAGAGAUCAGUUAAUCAUCAAUUAAAAUUUUCUUUUGUUUUGUGUUUUUUUGCUAGGUUGCUCUAGGAAAUGUUUGGGUUUAUGAUUAUGCUAUGAUAUAUUUUUCCUGUUUUCUUCGUGUUUUUAAGGUUUUUGCCUAAAUUAUGAAGAAAACUACAGCAUUUUUACUUACAUGGUUUAAGGUGGUACUAACAUUUUAGUGGGUCUGCAUAACGUGUAACAAGAAUAAAUUUCUUCGAUCUGGUGUGUAGUGGGUUAACUGCUUUUGUGUCUAGCUUAGCAUUACUUGCAUGGCAUGUAGUAUGUAAAUUGCAUAGUAGGCAUAUUCCCUAGUGUGCAACAAUAUGGGUAUUUUAUUAAUGGCGUGUAACAAAUAAGUAAUUAUACUUGGCGUGUAAGAACAAAAAAAUUGCAUGUUACAACAUUUUACUUGGUCUGAAUAGUGUGUAACAGCAAUAAAUUUCUUCAAUCUAACAUGUAGUGGGUUAAAUGUUUUUGGGGUUUAGGGUAGCAUUACAUGUAUGGCGUGUAGUAUGUAAAUAGCAUAGUCAGCAUGGCAUGGCAUGUAACAACAUAAGUAUUUUGUUCAUGGUGUGUAACAAAUCAAUAAUUAUAGUUGGCGUGUAAUAACAUAUAGGCAUGGUGUGUAACAACAUUUUACUUGGCUUGUUCAGUGUGUAACAACAAUAAAUUUCUUUUAUCUGGCAUGUUGCACAUUAUGGGUUAACUGUUUUUGGGGUCUAUCUUACAUGUGCAUGGGUGCUAUGUUUUGCAAAUGGAGUUCAGAGAGUAUGAUAACCUUGACACUUUGCUUGUUGUGCCGAGGGAGAAAUGGGCCUUCAAGGUCUCCAUUAACGCCCAUUGUAAGUGGUCAGAACUGCAUUACAUAAACAAGAUGCUCCAAGAGAAAGGGAGUACGAAGCAGUCAAGCGUACGUGCUUCGGUCUGCUGCUGGAUAUCUAUCCACAAGGCUACUUUUGCAUUAGUCUGAUACAGAACAUCAUGGUUUGUUGAAUCAUUGAAACCGAGUCAAUAGACCAUGAGUUAUAGUUAUGGUUUGCCAUUGGCAAGAGCAUGGUGCGUUUAUCAAAGCAGCAGUUCUGCCUUAUAACCAGACUGAAGUUUAGCUCACUGCCUAAUAUAUUCAUACAACCAUACGAGGUCACUCCCGAUGAAAUUCAUGCAAAAUACUAGAAUGGGUAGUAGAAUGUUAAGUUGUAGGAGUUGUUUGAUAUGUUCUGAGGAGGCAAGUUUCAACAACCAGGAGAUACAACCAAAAUGGCACUCGUCUUGAUCGUGAAUAAUAUUUUAUUUAGUCAAGACUAUCAAAGAUGGGGUGACACCUUAGCUUUUGGCAUUGGUAGAGGACAUGGACAUUUGGAAUGUUUUCCCCUAGGGUUUAGAGGCUAACUGAGGACUACCUAUUGAAGGGGUUCGAAGUUCCUACCACAAACUUGCAGAAGGAUAAUCGUUUAUGCUACAACCUUUAUGGAUUUGCUAGGACAUACAGGUACUGUCAUGUAGCAUUUUCUAGUUUCCUUUUGAUAUAAAAAUUUAUGGUGGCAGUCGUUUAUCAUUUACGAUAUGAUAAUGGUUGUAAUUAACUUGCAGUUCUGGGCAAUGGAGGCGAUUCCUACUUUAUGAAAAUCAAUUACCCCCUCCAUUCGAAAAGACGUCUUCUACCCAUGCAUGUGUAGAUGGUAAUGCAAUCAGAAGUCGAAGGACUUCUACAAGGCAAUUGAGAAGUUGGAGUCAUCUCAAUAGGUUAGGAAACAACUACUAAUUUGUCCGGUGAAUCUCUAAACUAUUAAGGGUUAUAAUGCAAUGCAUGUAUUUUGCAAUUGCGGGCACAAUGAACCUCGGAGCCCACACUAGAGGAGGCCACACAGGAAUAUCUGUUGGACAUCGAUGCCCCUCUAUUUGAGGGGCUCUAAUAUGUACCAAUAGGGCAGAUGGAGGAUCGAGCAAAAUGAGGUAUUGAUGCGAGAAUAAGGAAGAAAAACUUGAAUGUGAAAAAAGUCGCUGGUCUAGUUAAGCGGAGGUGCACUAUUGCUUCUGGAAAUGAGGAGCACUCAUGUGAGAUCUCGACCUCUAUAGACUCAUAAUUAGAAGUAGACGUAAUAAUACAGACUAAGGGUAAUUUCGUCAUUUCCUCUAACAAGCUCCUAGAAGAAGGUUUUCUAAUAUUUUAAGCUCUAAGUGGGCAUAAGGACUGAAUGAAUGAUGUAUAAUGAUGAAAACAUGAAGAAAACUAGAAGCGAUAAUAAUUUUCAUAAUAGGGGCAAAAUGGUCAUUUUGCACCCCGAGUCAAAGAUUUUAAGUUUUGUGAACUCGAGUACUUUUAGACUAUUAUGGACCUUGUCUCAGUAUCAAAAGAGUAAAAAAAUUGCACAAAGGAUUGGAGGAGAACAAGUUAACUUGCUAAGGGCAUUUUCGUAAUUUAAGUGGAGUUGGAUAAGCUUGAGCUGUAAAAUCAUCUUCCAACAGCUUCUUAUCAUAUUUCCAGCAGCUUUUUCUUCUUCUUCUUCCUCUUAUCUCACGUUGCUUUCAUCCUCUAUGGAACCUUGAUAUGAAACCACCAUAACCUCUCUCAAAAUAGCUCCAAUUUUCAAGCUUUUGUGCACUUUUGCAUAGAACCCUUGUGCUCUUUCACUCUCUCACUUUAAAACCCUUGAAAAAUCUUACUUCCAUACUUUCUCUCACUAACUAGGUGUUUAGAAAGAGAAAAAGGGAGCUUCAUAAUAGCUUGGAAAAUUAUUGGAAAGAAUUUCAAAUUUACAAGCUAUCAAGGUGAGUAGUAAAUUAGAGUUGAAUUUUAAGUCUUGAGAAUGGCUACAGAUUAGACUUAUGAAUGUUUUGUAGUUGAGGUCGUUCAUUCAUUUUAGAGUGAUUAGGAUAGUGAAAAUAGAUAGCCACUUAGAUGGCAAUUGGAAGCUAGUUAAGAGAUAGCUUUUAGAAUUUAUAAGUAUUGGAAUUGACUUAAUUGUGAUGCUAAUGUGAUGAUAGGUUCCAACAAAGCCCCAUCUCCCCAUUUGGACCAUUAGGGAAGUUAGAGUCGACUAAAGAUUCAACAUAAUACCGGUGAGUGAACUUGCAUUAAAAAGGUUUUGGGAUAUGUAUACAAGUAUGUUUGACUGAAUCCCUAAAGCGUUUUAAUUAUUUUGUCUUCAAAACUGGCACGGGAACAAGCCCUUAUGAAAUGUUUUUAUGAUAUGAAAUGGAUUGUGUGAUGAAUCCGUAUGUGUCUGUGUAAUGUUGAUAUAUAUAUACUAUGUCAUAAAUGGUACCAUUGUGUGACAAAUGAAACCGCGCAUGUGCGGGGUGAGUGUGCACCUGCAGGUGAUGACGGUGGUGAGGGAGAUGGAUAGUGAUAGUGCCCGUGUGCACGAUGUGGGGGGAUGCACAUGAUGGCACUAACUGUGCACGAUGUGGGGGGAUGCAUACGAUGACUCUGACUAUGUGCACGAUGUGGGGGGAUGCACAUGAGUUGGGUGAAACGAUGGUGGUAUUGGUGUUUAUCUAUGUAUAUAUGUAUAUAUAUGUUUAUGAAAUAAAAGCUCAUGAAUAUGGUAUAUGGUUGUAAUGCAUGUGAAAAUUUGACAUGUUGAACUUUGGAAAUUUUAAGUGUUUCACGUUGAUUUUGUCAUUUCAGCAGGAUGGCCUUCUUCUUGAGAGAAUGGAAACUUUUCUUUGGUGCCUUGUUUCUCGUUGCAGCGAGAAUGAUUCUCGCUAUAGCGAGAAACUCUCGGGUUUGAGAGGUUUGUUUGACCUGGUUCUCAUUGUAGAGAGAAUGCAUUCUCGCUACUGUAAGAAAUUUGUUGGAGCUUCUCACUGUAGCGAGAUUCAUUCUCGCUACAGCGAGAAACUUUCUGUUUUGGUCGCUUGAAUCUCGCUGCAAAGAGAAAGAAUCUCGCUGCAGUGAGAAACUUUCUGUCCAAUAUGCUAUCUUGCUGGUUUUUGUCAUAUUUUUUCAUUUCAUUUACAUCAUAGUUGUUCAUGGACUCCCAACAUUUAGAGGUUUAUCUAAUUAAGUUUGAAAUGAGGAAUUUUAGAGAGAAACCCUCGGCCAGUGGAGAAACCCUCAUCCAGCUAAUAACUUGAGCCAAAAAUUUUGCUGCAGCUAGAAUGCCUUUCCACUGCAGCGAGGACCCGUUAUUUCAUUUGACUUGCUUGUAUAUCACUGAAGCUUUCAUUCUUCGAAUUUUUGUUAUGUAUGGAUUCAUCAUUAUCAAGUGAUUAACCAUUUAAGGGUUUAAUGAGGGGUUUUAAUAAGAACCAAACUAAAUUGCAUUGUUUUGAAAACAAAUGCAUCAUGAUUUCUUUAAAGUUUCCUUCUCGUUUGCUUGUUCCCUUAUAAUGUUCACUCUCUGAGUUUGUACUCACCGUUUUCAACUUCAUGUUUUCAGAUUAGGAGGCAGUAGGUAACUAGGUCGAGGAGUGUUCGUAGAUUCGACUCUUGGUAGGCGUGCCGGCAUUUAGUAGCUGUACUUUCACCGAAGUCUCUUCGCUGGAAGUCGAGUACUCUUUUGUUGUGUAUAGACAAAACCAAUGUAAAUUAUUAAAAUAUAUGUUUUAAACAAUAUAUGUAUAUUUUGAUUAGUAUGCCACUACGAGUUGGCAAUGGUUAGCGUUAUUUUGCUUCGAAGUUAUGAAAUGUGACUUAGCAACUUUUGAUGGAAUGACGAACAGGUCAUAUUAAUAGGCUUGCUUGGGCUUAGUGGACUACGUCCAUUGCACCCAUGCACCGGUCAUGGCUCAAAAUUUGGGUCAUGACAACUUAGACCCUGAGUUGAUGAAGGAAGGGGAUGACCAUGGCAAUGUGAGUGAAUGACAUUCUUCCCACACCGAUGAGUAGACCCAUACACAUUGACCUCCUCAAUGAUCGAUAGGACGUUUUCAGACGCAUAGUUGCUUUGAUCUGCUGGUAAAGACGGUUUUUGUGGCAUACGAUUAAAAAUUCCAUAUUUGAUUAUUGAAUAACACAGUAAUAUUUGUUAUUGUAGUUGAGCAAGGUGAGGAAAGACAAUGACGGUGUAGUCACAGUCUGUCAGUUGCGACAGGUUGUGAGGAUGCAUAGUGAGACAUGUUGGAGAUGAAGGGUUCUAUUUAGUCAUUGAAGUACGUAAUGCAGACAUUUGAGGACCAUAUUGUUGGUCAGAUUCUUGACAACAUUAAAUUACAAGUCUAUUCUUCUAACUUUGUUCAUAUAUUGAUGGUUUACGUUUAGCAGGCUUAGGCCUAUUGUUUAUUUUGGGUUUAGGGUUUAACGUAUGCUAUGAGUUAAUGGAUUUUUUCAUUUGUCUCUUUCUCUAGGGUGGUGUUUCCUCUCACCAUGAUGGUUCACAGCACGAUUAUGCUAAUGAUGGGCAAGAUGAUGAACUUGGUGUUGGGGUUCGAGACAUUGACCAUGACGUGGUGGGUGCUGAAGUUGACAAUGUACCUCACGUCGAUGAGGUUGUCAAUGAAGCUAUGGAAGGGGAUGGGAAAUUUCAAACAGUUGAUGCUAAAGGAGAACAUGUACCUCAUGCUUAUGCAGUUGUUGAUGAAGUUGUGGGAGGUUAUGUGAACCUUUAAAUAGUUGAUGCUGAAGGAGACCAUGUACCUUAUGCCAAUGCGAUUACUGAUGAAGCCGUAGAAAUGGAUGGGAACCUUCAAUCAGUUGAUGUUGAAAUAGACCAUGUACCUCAAAGCACUCCUGAAGGCAACAUGUCACGGUCAUCGUCACUAGAUUUCUCUUAUGUCCAGUAUUGUGAAUCAUUAAUUUCAAACCCAUCUGAAUGGGCACUGGGACACAAUGGCCAACAAACACAUCGCAAGCCCGUACGUUGACCCGUUGGUGAACCACUAGGAUGUCAAGAACUCGAUGGUGGAAGCAUACAAAGCAUUCAAGAAAGACAAGCAUGCAAGGUAAGCUCAGAAAUAACAUUGCAAAUACUAUUUAUUUUGAAAUUUUAAUUCACCCAACCGUUUGAAUCUGGUAUGUUGCAUGUGCAAGCGUAACGUCGGGAUCUUAAGGGAUCAAGGGCCUAAGUUUUUCAUGUCAUUAGAGGGCCUUGAAGAGAACAUGACAAGUGAAUAAAUUGACGCAUGCCUCAGUGUACUGUGCAAGUGACUUACAUGGUAGAAGUUCAAGUUGUACAACACCUUGUGUAUGCAUGGUUGAUACGAUAUUCGUCGUAAGUUUGUUUGAGCAGUUUUCAAUUUUGAAACUAUGUGUGUGUUUGGGACUACAUGACGUGUAAGUUGAUGUAAAUAUAUUUCACAAGACACCAUUUGUAUGCUAUACACCGUAUAUCCAACUGACCAUAAAUGGUCCAGUAUGAAAUUUCCAUUUGAGUUGCUUAUGUACGUGCAGGGUGACAAGCUAACAUAUGGGAAAAAAAUGGGAAAAUGUCAAUUUCAUCCUCGCUCCUUGUGAUGUGGGUGGGCACUGAGUUGUUGCGAAGAUUGACUUGAUGAAGUGGAGGAUCAAGGUAGUGGACUCCGUAAGAACUUCUGUCGUGAAGGAAACCAAAUUGCGUGUGACUCAAAUGACAUCCCUUACUACUAUGAUGCCUAUACUCUGCCACCAAUCUAGUUAUUUCAAGAAAAGAUGCCGCAAGAAAUAAGAUUUGUCGUUGAUUCUAUUUGAAAUUCAUUUGCCAAAAUCAUUAGUGCAUCGGCAAAAUGAUAGUGUAAGUUGCGGUAUGUUUACAGUAAGGUACAUUGAUGUUAUUUUGCAAUUGGGACCGAUCAGAGUUAGGCAAACAAUGAUUGCAAAUAUGUAGUUGAUAUACACUUAUGAAAUUUUUAGCAAAAGUUGUGAUAGCGAACCCCUCCCUGCACGAUGAACAUAUGGGAAGUUGUAUGUGCAUUUUUUGUACAUAUAUUAACUUUAAUAUACGUACAUUUAAUGCAUUAAUUUUUCAUUUCAAACAUAGUGCCUAUAAUGAUCGCAAGAUGAAAAUUAAUUGGUUGUUUUACCUUCAAGAAGUCAUUUGUUACUAUUGGUGUGUAACAAUAUAAGACUGUAAUGAAAUGGAGUGUCACAACAAGAUGUAAAUGACAUCUAACAAAGCAUGGCAUGCAACAAUAUAAUAUUUCAACAAUGCUGUGUUACAAGAUGUAAAUGACAUCCAAGAAGCCAGGCGUGUAACAAUAUAAGACUUUUGAAAUGGUGUGUCACAAUAAGAUGUAAACAACAUCUAACAAGCUUGGUGUGUAACAAUAUAAGACUUUUGAAAUGGUGUGUUACAAUAAGAUGUAAACGAUAUCUAAUAAGCCUAGCAUGUAACAAUAUAAGAUUGCAAUGAAAUGGUGUGUCACAACAAGAUGUAAACGACAUCUAACUAGCGUGGCGUGUAACAAUAUAAUACUUCAACAAAAUGCCAUGUCACAAGAUGUAAACGACAUCUAAGAAGCCUAGCAUGUAACAAUAAGAUGUAAAUGACAUUUCACAAGCAUGGCAUGUAACAAUAUAAUGCUGAAUGAAAUGGUGUGUCACAAGAUGUAAACGAUAUCUAAUAAGCCUAGCGUGUAACAAUAUAAGACUUUGAACUGGCGUGUCACACUGUAUGAGUAAAAUGAAAUGGUGUGUAAGAAGAUGUAACACCGUAUGAGUAAAAUGAAAUGGCAUGUAAGAACAUGUAAAUGACAUAUAACAAGCCAUGUACGUGUGAUCACAUUACAAUGAAAUCUAGAAAAUAUGAGAAGCAAUUGAGAAACAAAUAUUUUCAUUUCAUACCUCCAUACUUCUGACCAGAUACAAGAACAACAUUUUCUCUAGAUUUACCAUUACAAACUAGAAUAACAAGCUAGAAUAACAAGAUGUUGAAAUAUCAACUUAGUCCAUUAUUAGAUAACAAACACAAAACCAACACAAAAUAUCAAUGUAAGAAACUUUAAAAGGAAAUUAUGAGAAAGAUACUAGACAUGGCUCACACAGUUAGUUAGACCGACUCAUUGUCUUCAUCUACAAGACACCCUACGUUCUCAAACAUUGUUUUUUGUAUUGGAUAGGUGUUGAAUGUGUAACUGGUUUAUCUACAAGUUAAACAUGCUUUCAGUCAUCGUCUUCGUGGAGGUACCAAUGGACCUGAAGAUGGUGCUAGAUUUAUGGAUGGAACUGCAAAUGAGGAUGGGCAAUUUUAUCUAUUAUGCCCAUACCUCUAGCAUUGUGAACGUCUUCGUGAUCAACUACCUUUACCAGUCAAUGGAAUCCUUCUCCUCUUAGGUCUUCCCGCUUGACAUUGCCAAGGUGGUGGCAAAACGACGAUUUCUUUUAAAUGAGGGGGAAUGUCCUAAUCACUAAGAUGCCUAAUUGGUGAAUGGACCCAGCAUAACCCUUUGCUAAAAAGGUUAUCUUGUAGUAGUCUACGCAAAAUUCAAUGACUUCAUGUUUGCACUUACUAAAAAAUCCAAUGAACUCAAUGUUGAAGCACAAUGUAAAAGUUACGUUCAUUACUAAUCAAAUAACAAAUAAAGAUAUUCGUACUUUAUUGCCACAAUGGCAUGGCUACAUGGUAGUAGAUCUAUCUAGAACACCCAACAUGAACACGUUUUCAUAGACAAGUUUACAAGUCCAUCCAUUUUUUCGUCUUUAACUUUGGAAUCCACUUGAUUGAUUAGUUUAACUACAAAGUGAUGUGCAUCAUUGAAACAUUUGCUCAAUUGCUUGGUAGCCCAAGGGCUGAGGGGCAUGGUCACCUUGACAGCCUCCUUGUACCGAUCAUGGAACCAAUGCUAGAAUAUGUCUAUGAUGAACUUGAUCAGAACAAUGAUUGGCAUUUGUCUUGCAUGCUUCAAGCAAGAGUUAACGCAUUUUGCAAUGUUGGAUGUCAUGAGUUGGUAUUGCCUUGCCAGUGACCAUGCACAUCCCUAUCUCUCAAGGCUUAUUCUCAUAAGGUAAGCGUGGGCUCUUACGUGAACCUGCUUAAGUUGGUUCAUAUGUCUAUUGAAAUUGAAAACCUUAUAACAGUCUCGAGCAAGGGUGAAAUCACUAAAGCGUCAUCGUGUUUGAACUUGUCUUUAAAGUUUUUCUUAAAGUGGUAACUACAUAAAUAGUGGUGCAUUUCUGUGUAUGCUUUACGAAUUGCUUUUUUAAUCCUGAUAUGCUGAUUAGAAAUGAACAUAGUGUUUUUAGGACAACCAACUGUAUCAAGUAGGUUGCUAAGAAACCACAUCCACGAGUUUUCGUCCUCAACUCGAUCUAUGCCAAAUGCAACUAGACAUACGCACUCGUUCGCAUCUUUGCAUACAACGACAAACAAAACACCCUUGAACCUACGUUUCAUAUGUGUCACAUCAAUUGCAACUACAGGAUGCAUUACGCCCUUAAACCCCUCGAUACAAGCACCAUAUGAUCUAAACCAAUAUUUGAAUCAUUGUGCCUCAUCAAUAGCCACUGCAGUGAUUGUACUGAGAUUUUUUUGUUCCAGCAUAUAAAACUACGAGGGUAGUAGUUAAAAUGACUCCUCCGGGGGAUCAAAGAAACCUUUUUGCAUAUUCCUUUGCUUGCUAGGCCUUACCAUACAAGCAUUCCAAUACCCACCAAACCCUCAUCUCACCAAUUACGUCCUUAGGUCUCAAUGUUACUUCAUUAGCUUAAAGCUUGUGUGACAUAAGUUCAUUAAUUAUCUUCACACUCGCAGUUUAGAAUCGCCCUUGCAAACCAUCGACAGUCCAUGUGUGCACUUUAUGGAAUGUUCGAACUUGCCAAUAUUCUCCUUCAAGUAACCUCAUUGCACGCACACCAAACUUACAUGCGUUGCCCAUACAAGCAACCGUAAAACGAGCUUGACUUAACCUUUUUACUCUUAUCUCUAGAUGCUCUUUUAAUGCUAAUAUGUUCAAAACUCAUUUCAACUUGGUCUUAGAGGAAAACAUUCUUCUUGUGUAUAAUCAGUCUUCGGCAAAUAUUGAUUCUUUAGUGGUAAUGGUUUAGAUUGAGAACCUUUCUACACCUAAAAUAAGCCACGUCCUAGAUAUCCUUGCAUUUUCCCUUUCCUGAUAACUAUCAUCGGGCAACAUCUUAUGUGAACAAAUCCCGUUGUCACUAGAAAUGGUUUUAUUGUAUAUGGGGUCAUCGCAUUAAACAUCUCCUACAUCAACACCUCCAACAUGUUUUGUUUUGCCUUCAACAUUAUUGCAAUUUGGAAUGUAACUAUCUUAAAGCUAGUGAUCAUCUAAAUUGUCAUCAUGCCAGUCAUCAGGCUUGUCAUUUGAAUUGUCAUUAAAUCUAUCUUUAGCAGCACAAAACAAAUCCUCAUUAGCCUGAUUAAAUGCAGUAUUAUCCUUAAGCAUCGCAGUGUCAUCCUCAAGUAUUGCGGUUUUAUUUGAAAAUGGCAUUACACCCUUUACAGUUUCACCCGAUGGUUGCAUUUGUUGGACAGAAGCAAGUAAUUGGUUUGAUACACAUGCCGAUCGGAAUUGUUCAACCAACUAUUUUGUGAAUGUCGUAUGUCUAAUUGGCUGCACAAACUCAUGUGCAUACGUCGAUUGCCAUUGUUGUGGGUUAGGAACCAAAUGCUGUGGUAUAUGUGAAGCACUAUAAAUCUCAUUUUGAUUAAGGUAAUUACCAUGUUGGACAACUUCUUCAUGUGGCAUAACAUUUGUGUGGCAUUUCUUAAUGGUGACGUACACUGCCGAAAGAUUCGUCUGCUCUAGCAAAAUUAAUGCAACAUUCUCCUCAUCCUUGAUAAUUGGGCGUGAUAGCUCUCCAAGUGUACUGAUUAAUGCAUGUAACUCAAUCUCCUAAAUCUGUGAGUUUACCCCAACAACAUCUUCAACCAACUUUAUCAAGCCCACAAAUGAUAAAUCAUUCCUAACUCCCCACAUUCGUGACUCACCACCCUUAUAAAUGCCAUCGACCCACUGACCAUCGUGUCUUAUCACAAAUCACACAAUUGGAAUGCCACUGAAAUUUGAAAAAAAAAAUGUUAGUCAAUUUACACAUUACAUGCCAUGUUCUAAAAUUUUGCUACAUGCCUUGUUGAAAACAUGUUUAUUACACGUUAUGUUGAAAAAGUUUUGUUAUAAACCAUGUUUUAAAAAAAAGGUUACAUGCCAUAUACUAAAACAUGUUAUUUCAAUAUAUUUUUUACAAGCCAUAUGCAUUAGAGAUGUUACUUGCAUGGCGUGCAACAUUUCUGGCAAAUGUUCUAAUGAUUUUGCUACACGCCAUGUUUACUACACCUUAUGUAUAGACAAAUUUUACUACUAGCCAUGUAAUAAAACAUGUUAUUUCAAUAUAUUUUUUACAAGCCAUAUGUAUUAAAGAUGUUACAUGUAUGGCAUACAACAACUCUGGCAAUGUUCUAAUGAUUUUGCUACACACCAUGUUUACUACACCUUAUGUACAAACAAAUUUUACUACCAACCAUGUAAUAAGACAUGUUAUUUGAAUACAUUUUUUACAUGCCAUGUGCAUUAGAAAUGUUACAUGCAUGUCGUGUAGCAACUUUAGGCAAUGUUCUAAUUUACACACAAAGUUUCAGAAAUUAAUGGGUUGUAGCAAUAAACCUAAUAGCAUAACUUGAUGUCAUCUCUUCUCUAGGAUCUAUAUAUUGAUGACGAUAUGGCGACAUGCCGAGAGAUAGACCAAAGCACGAUGAUGAUUGUUCUUAACAGAUAGUUGGCUGGCAAGAGAGAGCUAACAUAGCGAAGAGAGCUGAGAAAGUUGAGCAUUUAAUUUUUCUCUAUGGUGGGAGGGAGAUAUCAAAAGAUUAAUUUGCCAAAAAUGUAUUCAAGGGCAUUUUUGUCUACUCAUGCCAAAAUUAGGUAAAAGUAGUUAACUUCAUAUGGUAGGCUAUUUCUGAAAUCACCUUAUGAAAAGGGUUAUUUCUUACAAUUUUUUCUAAUAAUAAUUCCUAACCUAUUCCAUUUUAUAAAUUAAAUUACAUAAUAACUAUUCUAUUUUGUUCUUUUUUUUAUUUUAUUCUCACAAAAUAACUAUUCUAUUAUAUUUUGGAACCAGACAUGCCAUUACUUCCUUAUAAUCCAAAAUUCAUAAUAAAAUGUGUUUAAUUGGAGAGCCAUAAGGGCACUUCAGAAAGGUGAAGCCCAAGAUGCUGGAAUUAAUUUUAAGAGUUUUGUUUAUGACCCUUGUUUUGAUUUUUUGAUUUGAUUAAACAAUGUUAGCAAGAUUAAUGAAAACCUUAGAGAUCAGAUAAAAUUUAGAAAUUGAAACAAAACCAGAUGACAAACAUUCUGGAGCCAAAAAACUGGCCAAUAAGAUAGAAAAAAUGUUGAAGAUAUUGCUUGCAUGUACCCAAAUGGGCAAAAAGCCAAGUGGCAAACCACGAAAAGCAUGCACAUUAGUAUGUGUCUUUGACAAUGUUGAAGAACACUACAUGGGACUUUGCAUGCUUAUUUAUCAGUUAUGUUUAACACUUGUAAAUCUCUCCUUUAACAAGUGUUUACUAUGUGUUUAUUUAUGCCUUGUAUAUAUAUUGUUAAUGGUAAACGAAAAUCAUUGUGGCCUUUUCUAUUUGUUCAUCUUUGUUUAGAGAUAUAAAAUAGAGGCUACAUCACAACAACCAUAUACUCUCUUUCUCCCAAAAUUACAACAUGGUAUCAAAGCCUAAUUUGAGUUCUUAAGGGACCAAAACUUUGAAUAUCACCACAAAUCUUCCAAACAACAAGCCACCCUUUGAUCAUGGUAAAUAGUAGUAUCUUCUUUCAUCAAACAACAAUAUUAAAAAAGUUUAAGGUCUUGAAGAUGAAGGACAAUGAAACUUUGAAGGAUUGCAAAGAUGAGUUAAUGCAAAUAACAAAUCAGGUGAGAUUGUUGGGUGAGAAUAUUCUAGAAAAAAGUUUUAGGGAGAAGGUCUUUGGAAGUGCCAUAAGUGCAAAAUUCAAAGCCAAAGUCAAGUGUGAAACAACACCAAGAAAGGGACUUGAUGAGUCAUGGGACAAAGAAAAGAGAGACCAUCACCAUAACAAGUCUUAGUCCAAGAGUUUACCAAUGGGGACUUCUUGCAUAGCUAAUAUUCAAACCCCUUCAUGCAUUAGUUUUUGAAGUAUAACUCACUGAUAUAAUGGCCAAGUCAUUGAGCAAGUCAAAAUCUAAAUGUUAUAAGGAUAGAUUGAAGGUCCUCAAUGCAAACAUUAAGGGUGUCACGACCCGGAACUUCCAUCGAGCCUGUGACAACCACCGCGAUGUCCAGAUAGACAUUCAUUACUCGAAACGCCAAUCGAAACCUCACAAGGCUUAACAUCAGUUUUCUUGCUUCCCCUAUGAGUAUUAGUUACUAAAAUCAUGUUUUAAAGUGAUAUGAACCAAUUUCAAUUCAAAAAUAGUCAAAGAGAAGUUUCAACUACACAGGGGUAUUUUGGUCAUUUUUUCUAAAAAUUUCGAAACCAGCUAAAAUGUAGUAUAUGAGAGAAGUUUACACAUUUCAUAACAUAUUGGUCAUUUUUGAGGUACCCAAGUAAGCAAACAUGGAUUCUUAUGUAAGAAUGGCAUAAUAAACAUAUUGUAGAGCCGGGUUUGAUAGCACUACCCCCCUUAAAAUAAAAUUUUGACCUCAAAAUUUCAUUUACUGAACUCAGAGAAAAAGUGGGGGUAUUGUUUUCUCAUCUAAUGCUCGACUUCUUAUGUCCUCCCCUUUAUAGGGAAUUUCGUUUUGUUCAUUCUCAUCCAUAACCAAGAUUCAAUAGAAUAAUCUUCAUAAUUCAUACAAAUUCUCAUCAUGCCUGUGCAUAGUUCCACAUCAUUUACAUACUUAUACUCUCUUCUUAUCAUUUCCAAUUUUAUGCUUAAGUUUCCUUGUACUAUAUAUCAUUGUAUCACAAUGUCGUCUCCAUUGAAUUAUAAUCUAUUAUGCGUGUAUACUUUAUAAUCCCAUUGAUGCCUCAAAGAUUUGUCUUAACUUGAUCAUUGCAUCUCAUGCAAUACCACAAUUCCUAAGAGUCAUCCUUUUCUUCGAUUAUCUUUCAUGCCUCUACAUUACCUUGUAUCCUUCUUGCAUUUUGAUAUUGAUUUGUCACUUAAAACUCAGACUCAUUUGAAUCAUGUAUGCCUCAAGCAUUUUCGAAUUCCAAUUUCCAUAAUAUAUUAGGAAAGUUUCAUUAUCCGACUUCAUUAUCAAGGUCGACUUCUAUCAUCCUUUGUUCCACUCUUUCAUACGAAUAUAACAUCAUUCUUCCUUAACCAAUUUACAAAUUGUACUUGAAAUUACAAGACUUGAAACUAGAAUAUACUCAAGUACUUUUUAAUAUUAAUACUAAUAUCACUCUCAGCUUACAGCUUCCUUUUUUAUAACCACAUAACUUAGUGCUUGCUUUCACGAGAUCCAUGGCAGAACUUCCCUUGAGUAUUUCCUUGGGGAUAUCUAUCUUAAACUUAUGUCUCACAGCAGGUGAUCACUUAACUCAUGACUUAGCUGUUUGGCUCCUUAGCAAGUUUCAAAAUCACACAUCUUAUACUCAUCUCGUAUAAUUUAUAAUUCUUUCUCAAAGAUGUUUAAACAUUCUUGAAACACUUAAUCACUUAUUUGCUCUUUCAUACUCCAAGUAUAUCAUUUCCAUAAAGGCAUGCACUUGCUCACCAAAAUAUUUAAACGCAUGCUUCAACUUAUCUCCAAGGGUUUCUAACAUACCACGUAGUUUACUUGUGUUGUCACUAAUCCUUUCCUUUCAAUAAAGUCAAGACAAGAUUUGUAAAUUCUCGUAACAAUAUUCUAUAUAAACUCAUUUUCUAUAUCAUUCUUGAAAUCUUCAUUCACACUUUUAUCACUUGGUAUUGACAUCUCUUAUCAAUAUCUCAUACAUUCAUCUAACCUUUCCCUCACUUUGUUUUUAAACUUUUACAAGGUUUACUUUAUUUCUUAAGAUUUGACUUUAGUCAACAUAUUAUUCAUCUUAACACUCCCCCAAUGCACUUAAGACUCCCAAUAAUGAAACUCGACAUCAAAACCAAUGACCAUUUUCCAACUUGUGAGUCCAAUCUUUAUACCGCUCACAGUUUGCUCAUGUUUUCUAGCCAUUAGGGGCUCUUAACCAAUUACAUAUAUAAAGUGGAUAAUUCACUUAAUUAUUACAUCUCGUCCUUGCAGUUAUAAGAUCAAGAUUUCUCGAAUUUAGGAUGCAGAAGUUCCUUCCUAGAGCAUAUCCAAAAAUCCACAUAUUUCAAGUCCCACCUUAGGACAUCUUUCCCAUAUGGUGUAAUGAAUUCACAAUAUGUACAUCAUCAUACACAUAAUUACUUAUUAUUUAUGGUAUCCCACUAUUUUCAUUAUCCAUUAAUGAUCAUCUUCCUUGGCUUAUAACUCCAAUAGUUUAUUAACUUCCAGUACAAAGACCACGAAAAUAGUUCAUCUUUCACUACACUUAUACUCACAAUCCUUAUUAAUAAAAAAAUUAUCUUUUUCAGGUUUCUUCAUUUAUCUCUAAUAGACCAUAUUUGUAUUAGAUUAUCUUCCUAUAAUGUUAUGGCAUCAUUUUAUACUUCCUCCACCCUCAAGCUUACAAUCUUUGACUUUAUCACAUUAAUCGCUCAAAAUGUUAUCUAGAGCCUCAUUGAUUUCUUCCAUAUCCUUUCGAAUUGUAACCACAAUUAAGAAUCCCAAUUUCACAUCUCCAUGAUUAAUUGUUAGUCUUACCACACUAUCUCCCAAUAUCUCAUGCAAUUACAACACACUGAACCCGCUUAUUAUAACAUAGUCCCCUAGUUCAAUGUGUUUGCUCAAGAAUCAUCUUCUCUGAUACAAUUUGUCCCAUAAACCAGAAUUUUAUUUAUUUAGCUUUGCAUUCGGAAUCAUAUAAAAAACUCUCAUACUACGAUAAGUAAUAAUUUCCAACAAACAUCAUCAAUUCAAAUGGCAUUUUAUACCUCGUCAAAAUCUAGGGUUAUCACUCCAAAAGUUCAUCAUGUUAAUCGGUAUCCAUUUCUUAGUACUGCAAAAUACAUUCAUUAUUAAUUAGGGUAAUUGCUUGAAUCAUUAAUGACUUUCCACACCAGUCUUCAAUAAUUAUUUAAGAUGAUCAACCAUGCCACUAAGAUAAAUAUCUUUCCUUAAUAGUCAUAGUGCUAGUCCACCUCUGUCCUACCAAAAAUUUUCCAUAUACAUCCAGUCAUUUAAACAGCUACUUUAUAAUACAUUCUAGUCUUACACUUUUAAAAGCCAAACUAUUAACUUCUUUUUACUGAUAACUAUUACCUCCUUUACACUACAUCUUCCUAGUGUUAAAGUAGUACAAAAUCCUACGAAAAUAUUAAGUACCAUUAAGAUCAUCAUCUUAGUCUGAACAUAUUGGAAGAUUCUACUCCAGGUCCUCUUCCUCCUGAGAUUUUCUCCUUUGUUCCUCAAUCCAAGCUUGUUGUAUUCUCCUACAUUCCUCAUAACUCACAGGUGCAGCAUUUCUUCCACAACUGGGAGGAAAAUGUCGUACAACAGAUCCCUUCCUAGGGCGGUGAUUUACAACAUUUACUUUUUCUUUAUUCUUUUCUUAUUGUUCCCUUACAUUACUCCCACAGCCUGGAGGAAAGUGUCGAACAACGGAUACAGAUACCUUCCUAGGAUGAUAAUCCCCUUCGGCUAUCAUUAUUUUCCCCCUUUCUUCAGCGUAUUCCUUAAACUCUUUCAAAAGGGAAUUUCUCAUGCUUACAUUAAUGUCAUUACUAUAAGCACUUUCAAUGGUCUCACAAGGGUCGAAGCUUUCUUUUUCACAAACCCCCAUUCCCAAAUCCAGUGGAAUCCUAGGCAAGAUACUUCUUGGACUACUUGGUUCGGGUUGCCAUCGGCUUCUAACAGUAGAAUCUAGCGAUCUCUUGUUAAUACUAUGAGAGGCAUCGAGACUAUUGUCUCUCCUAGACAUGAUGUGUCCAACCAGCACACCUCAAAACCUAUACGCAAUCAAACAGUAGUUUCUUAAUUAUUUACGCAUCACAUGAGCAGGUAGGUUUCGAUAUGUAGAUGCAUGAAUUCAACUUAACCUAACCUAACUUAACUUGGGGCCACACUAACACUGUAAAUUUUUAAAAUAACUUUAAAACAAAAAGCUCUGUGCUCUGAUCUUUAAAACCAAAAGCUUUGAUACCAACUUAAUUAUCACGACCUGGAACUCCCAUCGAGCCUGUGACAAUCACGGCGAUGUCUCGAUAGACAUUCAUUACCCGAAAUGCUAAUUGAAACCUCACAAGGCUUAACAUCAGUUUUCUCGCUUCCCCUGUGAGUAUUAGUUACUAAAAUCAUGUUUUAAAGUGAUAUGAAUUAAUUUCAAUUCAAAAACAGUCACAGAGAAGUUUCAACAACACAGAGGUAUUUUGGUUAUUUUUCCCAAAAAUUUCGAAACUAGCUAAAAUGUAGUAUAUAAGAGAAAUUUACACAUUUCAUAACCGAAAAUAAGUUUAGAUAUCUAAAACAUUCAUUUAAAGUGAAAUUAUGACUAUUUGAAUAUAAUAAAAAUAUUCAAUAAAAUAUUCUAUUUUCUUAUAAAACAAUUUUUAUAGAGUUAUCUGUAAGAAAUUUUUGUAGCGUAAAAGCAAAAUAAAUUCAUACGUACUGUAAUACAGAUAGUCAAGGUAUGUAAUUAAAUUUACAAUGACACGUGGGCCCCCAAAUGACUAAAAGUAAUGAAGGCUGUGAACCUACAGUUUUUGAGGAUGCAAGUCCAACUGUAGCCCUCAACGAAAUGAGCUAUCUACUGACUAUCCUGAGCCUAAAAUGGGUGGAAAGGAGGGUGAUGAGAUUAUAUAAUCCCAGUGAGUAAACAAAUAUCCUCUAAAAUAUCUAAAGUUGAGUAAAUGGAGACGAUUGAAAUAAAUCAUCAUACUGUAAUCCAUCACCUUUCAACUCAUUUCAACCAAAUAGAAUCAAUUCAUUUAUAUCGAGUAAUCAACAUGGCUUAUGAAUUUCUUAAAAUUUGGCUCGUGCCAAAAUUAUUCUCAUACUCAGUUGUUAGGAAUACCUUGGCCUAGGGCUAUCCCAACCAAGUUCGCCAAGGAUGUUAAAAAGUCAUGUACGCAUAAAUCAUAUUUUUAUUUUGAAAACAUAGCCGUUCUUUGGCGUUGGCUGAGUUCACCCUCACGUGGUGGUUGGGCAUGAAGUGAACUCUAAAUUUUUACCUAAGAAGUUACCCUACGCUCUUCUUCAAUCGAGGUAAGAAUAUAAUAGGGUUUACAGUGCCCCUCUAAUAGGCUGGUCCACAGAAACCCGCCACUGCAGUGACUAAUCAAUAACCCACCAAUUCAAUAAAAGUUUAGACAGCAUGACAUGGCAAUUUUAUCAUUAUCCAGCCUAUCAAGGCAAACAACAGUUUAUGCAUUUUCAACACAAAUACCCAUCCAGCCAUUCAUGCCCACAUUAUCAUAAGCCAUUCAAUUCAAAACAUAAUUUACAAUACAGCAAGUAGUCUCCAAUUACUCCAUUUUCACGUCAUCAUUAAAUUUCAAAACAAUUUAUAAAAUCAUUUCAUUUAAACACAUUUUUCGUAAAAUUACAAAAUCGGGUAAAAACGUACUUCAGAUAAUUAAGACGAUAAUAAGGCUAUUCACAGUAAUGGGAAUCGAAUUCGGGAUACUUUGAUUCUUGAUCCUCGGAUACUACUUCUUUACUCUUGCCAGAAUGCUCACCACCUAGACAUAAUGCACAAUAAGCAAUUUGCUACAUUUGUGCUAAACCGUUGUAAAACUAAUCUAAGCUCUAUAUGAAUGCAUGAAAUGGAAUGCGAAUUGUUCGGAUCAUCGUCUAAACACGGUGUUCUACAUAAAUUCAAUUGUGUACCUAAAUAAAAUGGUAUUGGCCUAAUUCGAUCUAUCACCCGAUUAAUUGACCAAUAUGUCCAAUUUAACUCCAAAUAACUUCAUUUCUCACCCAAUACUCCAAAUCAUCAAACUCAACUUAAGUAACAUAAAAUUUAGCAAGAUCAUCUUCACAUUUCUUCUUGGGAAUUUCGACCAUGGGGGGUGCAUGAACACUAUGGUUUUUCCCACUUGAUUUUUACACCAUAAAUCAUUAAUUCCUAACCAAAUUACUUGAAAUAAAAUCAAUUCCACCAUCAACACAUCAUAGGGAAGAUUCUGCCAAUGGAGGGUGAUGGAAGAAAAUGAAUUUUUCUUGUUUGCUUUCCAUGCUACACAUCACUAACUAACUAAAAACACUAGAAUAACAUGUUUUCUAGCUAAAUCCAAGAUCAAAACCCCUCCCCCCAUGUCCGGCCAGCAAAGGUAUCUUCAUGCAAACUUGAUUCUCAACUAUGGGAAAUGAAAAAGAAUGCAUAGGAAAGGUAGAUCACAAGCUAAAAUCAAGAAAUCUUAUCUUUUGUCACUUGAUUCCUUGAAAUCUAGUGAUUUUCCCUUGAAUUUCUUAGCUAGGGUUUUGUUCUUCUUCUUUUUUUCUCUUUUUCUCUCUUUGGCCAACCAAGAUAAAUGAGUUGGGAGGGUUAUGGGCUGAUUUUUAAAGCCAAAUAUAAAUGGAUGAAAAUUUGACAUAUGUCACCAUUCCAUUGGCCCAUGUGUCAUACUUACCCAUUAAGCAAUCUCUCUCCACCAUUUAAAAUUCCUCAAUUGUCCAUAAUAAAAUGAGGUGAAAUUCAUGUGUUGGACAAGUGUUGGGUGGUGAAAAAUUCCAAUUUUGCCCCUAGGCAGAAAAAUGACUAUUUUGCCCCUUAUGCUCAAAAAAAUGUCAAAAUUAAAAAUUUUCUCCUCUCAAACUCAAAUUAUGUUCUAAAUGGUCAAUCUUGGUGAAAAACUUCUUCCAACUUUCCAAUUUUAACCUUAGGUGACAAAAUGACCAUUUUACCCUUACGUUAUGAAAAUUCUAAUUUGACUCUAAAUCGGUCUUCGAAAUCCGAAUCACCAUUUUAAGUCAUUUUAGGGUAUUAAAAUUCUCAAUUUCAUCUUAAAAUCUCUAUUUGGACUAGUUUGAGGCUUAAUUCAACUUAAUUGUACCAUUUGGCACAUUGUCGUCCUUUAACGAUUUUCGAGGUACCGAAGUAAGCAAACAUACAUUCUUAUAUAAGAAUGACAUAAUAAAUAUAUUGUAGAGCCGGGCUUGACAAUGGGAGAAUGUUGAAGCUACUGCUUGCAUGUACCAAGUGGACAAAAAGCCAAGUGGCAAACCACUGGAAAACAUGCACAUUAGUACGUGUCUUUGACAAUAUUGAAGAACAGUAUGUGGGACUUUGCAAGUUUAUAUAUCAGCUAUGUUUAACACUUGUAAAUAUGUCCUUUAACAAGUGUUUACUAUGUGGUUCCUUAUGCCUUGUAUAUACUGUUAAUGAUGAAUGAAAAUCAUUGUGGCAUUCUCUCUUUGUACAUAUUUGUUUAGAGAUAUAAAACAGAAAUUGCAUCAUAAUAGCCAUAUACUUUUUUUCUCCCAAAAUUACAACAAAAAAAAAAUUAUAUGAACAUGAAACAAGGCCCUUUACCAAGUGUGAUUUCUCACACCAAAGAGAAGCCAAUAAUGAAUCAAAUGGCUAGUAGAGGAGGUGUCACUGGUAUAAAAAAAAUUGUUGGUAAAAAAAAAGGAAGGAUCUUCAGAAAAAAAAAAAACCUAGCAGCCUUUGAGAAAAGGGUUCGGAUCUAGCAAUCGAAACCGCACAAAAAUCAUACACAAAAAGCACAUAAAAUGAUAAAAAAAAAUAGGGAAAGAGGUUGAGGGACUUUUUGAUCAAAGAGAGAGAUUUCAAGUUUUUGAAGGAAAAGGGUUGAUGUCUCGAGUUUGUGCAUUAGGAUCAAAGGAAUUACUUCCAACGGUUUCUUUGUUAGUGGCUAAGGUUCUUGUGCUUAGAGAGAAAUAGGGAGUUAGGGUUUCUGGAGAGGCGAAGAGUGCUGGAAGUGCCAUUCAAGACUGGGAUAAGGUUAGGGAAAAUAAAUGACAAGAAUAGAAGAAAAAGCAUAUCUUUUAUAGUUAGGGUAUUUGUUUAAACAAUGUCGUUUUACUACAAACUAGAAGGCUUAAAUGGUUUUGUUUCUUGCUGUAAGGGAAACCUCCUCUUCACUAUGUCAAACAGUGGGUUUUAAGCUUGGAAAGGCUGAGAAAUGGGCCAAUUUGAGCCCAUGAUAAAAAAGAAGCUUUGAAGCCCUUGGGCUAUUCUAAGCCUAAGGUAGGUAUGGACUUUGGACUUUCUAGUUUGGAUUGUAUCAUAUUUUGGGGUUUGGACCUUAUUUGGGCUAUGCUGUUUGUUGUAUGAUGUUGGGCCAUUUGUCUUAUAGUUUAGUUUGUAUUAAGCCUUUACAUUUACAUAAUAAACAUUAGUUCUUUUCGUUUAGUUAAUAUUUUUUUUAAAAUAUAUACAUGUAUGAGAAUAAUAUAUAUACAUAUGCAUAUGCAUAAAAAAAUAAAAUGGUAGCAGUUGAAAAGGUGAAGAUAUAGAAUGAAUGAUUAGGAAAAUAAAAUAUUAUAUAAGAUGAUGGAGUUUUUACCGGGACAUGAGAAGUCACAAUUUUAGGUCAAUUUUCUUAGGUGAAAUAUUUGACUAAGACUCUACCAGUAUGAUGAAAGGGUUUUAGUUGUACGUCAAAAUAUUUAUUAAUCCAACUAAUAUCUUAAAUUAGUAACUAAGAAUAUAGAAAAUUGUUUACUUAGAGUAGAGAAAUAGAAUAUUCAUGUCUAAAAGAUAAUAAUAAUAAAAUAUAGAAUAUUUAUGUUCAAAGAAACGCAAGAAGUCGUAAUUGCGGGUUAAUUUUCUUAGGUGAGAGAUUUAACUCAAGCUAUGAUGGAAGUACUUUAGUUUUUAAGACUCAAUAUUUCUUAAUCUGAAUAAUAUUUUAAAUUAGUUAAUAAAAGUUGGGGAUACUAUAGAUUUAGAAUAGAAAUAUAAAAUAUUUAUACUUAAAAAAAGAAUAUAGAAUAUUUAUGCUUUUAAAAUUAAAAUACAUAAUAAUAUAAAACAUGUUAUUUCAAUUAUACCAAAGAUGGAAUUUUAAUCUGAGUCAUGAAAAGUCCCAAUCUUGAGUUAAUUUUCUUAGGUGGAAGAUUUGAUUUAAAUUCCACCAGUAUAGUGGGUGGGUUUUAAUCUUAAGUCUCAAUAUUUUAAUUCAAAUAAAAUUUUCUUCCUAAAUAUUAAUGGAAGUGUAUUAAUAAAAUGGGUAAGUAAACCGUCUGAAGCUCCAUGGAAUCUCAGACAACAUCUAAUUCAAAUACACAAUUUGCAGAAGGAUAUAAUGAGAUGGAAAGAAACGCAUGUCUUGAAGACCACAAAUGAUGUGGCUAACAAGCUGGCCAAGGAAGGAGUUACUAGACGUUCAGAUUUAAUUUGUGUGAUGGAAAGAGAUGAAGAAAGUUAAGGAACUCAAUCAGAUUCGCUUAGAAUUUGAUUUGGUCAUAAAGAGCUGUUAGGAUUCGAGUUGCCGUAGGACUGUUGUACCUUCAAACCGAAUGAAAUUGAAUUUAAAUGGAAUACCAAAAGUGGAUCUGUUUUGAUUGAGCUUACCUUUAAAGGAAUUCAGCUUAGCUUUAAGGAAGAGUCGGAUGUUGGUGUGAACACGGGUUUUGAUAUUAUAACUGUUGCGGACAGUCACGUUCUGGAUAUUGAGACAGCAAUGGUUUGGCUAAAAUAAAAUUCGUACAAGAGGAUAGCUUUGGACAAGCUCUGAUCGGGUUUGGAUUGGACUUUUACAAAGCAGUAUGGCUUUUUGUGAGCCUCAAUUAUGUUCUUAGAUUUCGGACAUCCCAACAUCCGCAGACAAUUUACUUAGGGGUUCUUUAUUUUAUUUCUAUUUAUUUAUCUUAUAUUUUCUUAUUACUAGUAGUAAUAAGUCCAAAGUAAAUUGCUUGGACAUCUAGUAACAAAAUUAUAUAUUUAUCCAAAACAUAAAAGCAUAUUAAUGAAAUGAAAAAUAAUAAUAAUAACAAUAUUAAAUAUAUAGUAUAAAAAAUUAUAAGUAUCGAAAUUUAUUCUAAGUCACCAUCACCUUAUUUAAUUGUCAUUGCAUCUAUUUGGAUAUAUUUUGUACACAAGUUGAGGUCUUAAUGAUAGGACUUUUUGAGAGGCUUGCGACGACAAAUUCUCUCGAAAAAUUCCCUAACUGAAAGAAUACUUUCGGGUCCCAUGAAUAUAAAGGGAGGGCCUCAAGAAUAUUUUUAAUAAAAUGCCUUUACUCGUAUUAAGAUUUACAUGACAUGAAAAUGUUUUUACCCGCAAAUGAUUAUCUUGGGUUUUACUUCAUAAGCUUAGAAAGGUGAGUUUUCUCGAAUAAUUUCCUAUAUAAAAGAGUAUCUCUGUAUCCCACUAGUACGAUGGGCAGAUUUGAAAAAUAUUCUCAAUAAAAGGUUUCAUGUGACAUUUAAUUGAGAUUUAUACCAUACAUUCCAUAAUUGCAUCAUGUGCACGUCAUAGAAAUAAACCAAUUAAUGGAAUUUAGGUUGCGAAUAAAAUUAAAAGAAUAUAAUGAAUAAUAAUUAAGAAAACAUAAGAAUAAAAUUAAAAAUUAAGGUAAAAUAGGAUAACAUAUGAUUAAAUCUACCAAAAAUCAAUAUAGGAUCUGAUCGAAUAAAAUGAAUUUAAUAGGUGACGAAUCGCAUCAUAAAAAAAAUAUUGGUAGUGACUCCGACACUUUCUCGUCCCACCCAGACUUUCUCGUCGAGACUGACAGAUUCUCAAACCGACACAUAGUGACAAGAAGAAAAUAAAUUUAUUUUAUCCCAAUAUGGUAAAGCAAUUGAUUGUGCAUAUGCAACAUAAAAUUGAGACAUGCUGCUAUUAAAAUUUAUUCAAACAUAAUACUUGAGUUAUUUUCUGUCAACUAGUAUAUAUAAUGUUAGUAAAAUUUUUGUAUUGAUGAAAAUGAAAAUAUUUACUUAUUAUAAUUUUAAAUAUCUUUUAUUAUAAAUAUUAGUAAUAAAAUUUAUAUAAUUUAUACCAUAGAAUUCUGAUUAUAUUGAACGAUUUUUAUUAAAAAAUUGUUUUUUCUAAUUCUAUUAGUAUUAUAUAUUUUAGUAAUAAAUAACAUAUUUUUAUUUAAUUUUAAUUCCAAAUAUAUUUAAAAUAUUAAAAUAUUAUUUUAUUAAUGGGCAUGAUUUUGUGAGGAGUUCUUUCAUUAGAAAUCAGAUAUGGGUAGGUUUGAUUUUUUUGGUCAUAGGGGUUUUCGUAUUUUUAUUCUUUGUUUAUUUCAAUUUCCUUGUAACAAUAAAUCCAAAGUAUUUUUCUUUGACAUUCAACAAUAAAUUUGGGUAAUUUUUUAAAAAAUAUUAAUUAAAUAUUUUUAUAUUAUGAAAUGAUAAAUAAUAAUGAAUGAGCAACCCAAGCCGAGCAGAGCUUAACUUUUAACGAGAAGGCCUAAUUCGUAGAUACUUACAUGUUUUCAAUCCUUUCUUGCUACAUUAACGGUCACGUAUCCCAGUUGUAAUAUACAAGUCUCGAAAUCAUUAAGUUAUAAGCUUAAGUUUCGGUGUAAGUAGGUUUACUCUAAUUUUAUAUGGGAUUUUUUUAAUUAUAAAUUCAAAUUUAUUUAUAUGUGAUAUAAUAUUUAAAAAAGACUUGUAAAUUAUUUAAAAAAAUUCAAAUAAGUCUUUAUUCUUUCUAUUACUAAUAGUUGACUAAUUAUCAUUAAUUUAAAUGUUAUUUGUAAUUUUGUACCCAUAUGACACUGAUAUGACCUUGAUGUGAAUGAUAAAAAAUGUCACGUGGAUAUGUCAUCAAGUCACAUUAGCCAGGGACGGAGGAUAGUACUCCAAAAUUUUUAAAAUUAUUUAUUUAUCAUAUAUUUUUUAAAAAAUUUUCUUUAAAAUAUUAUUUUUUAAGCCCCUCAAAAUAAAUUUUUAUUUAUCAAUUAAUAAAAAUAAUAAAUAAUAAAUUGACCCACAAGCCUUACUUAAUUUUACCCCAAUUGUUAAGUUUCUCCACACCUCUUUCCCUUUUUCUUUUUCUCUUUCUAUUUUAUUUUGUUCUUUUAUUUUUACUUUACUCUCUUCUCUGUAACGUAACACUAAAACACACCUCAUUCCUCAAAAAAAGAUUUAUGAGCUUGUGAACUUAAACAAGGAAAGAUGAGGACCACACCAUUGUCUGAAAUUAAGAAGAAGUAAAGUUAUCCUUUAUGUUCUUUUUUCUGUUUAUAUUAUUUAACUAUUUAUAUAUUUAACUACUGUGUGAAAUCCUUUAUCUGGUAAUUAACUAUUUAUAUUUUAUGCAUUAUAGUUUUAUAUUUAGUAUUUUAAGUUUAAAUAGAAAUAAAAUAAGAAUAUUGGAUGUUGACUGCAUUAAUUUUUUUUUAUAUUUGAUUAAAGUAUGAGUAAGCUAAAAAGAAUUGACAAAUUCUUUAAAAUAAAAAGAUGGAAAUCGUCCAAAUGAUUCUCCUACACUUAAACCACCAAGCCUCAAUGCUUCAACUCAUGAACAAAAGCAAUUAAAAUUGAAACGCCUAAGCACAAUCUUGAAAAAAUUGUUGGUUAAGUUCAACAUUUUAACUUUUAAAAAUUUUUCGCCUUUAUUCCUCUUAAUCUUUAGGCCCCCAAAAAAAUGGAUUAACUUCGUCCCUGACAUCUAAAUGCCACGCCAUCAUCUAUUAUAAUAUUUUAACAUUCCACGUCAACAUCAUAUGACAUAAAAUGAUAAAUGAUAUUUUAAUUGAGUCAACCAUUAGUCAGAAGCACUUAUUUGACAAUAAAAAAAAAGUAUAAGAACUUGAUUGAAUGCAAUAAAAGAAUAAAAAUUUAUUUGAAUUUAAGGAUUUUUUUCGAUAUUAUUUCUUAUUUAUUUAUUAAUUGAACAAGUGUUUUCUCCAAAAAAUAAAAAAUAUUAAUACAGUUGAACAACAGUUAGUGAAGUAAAAAUUUGCUCUCUACGUUUGUUACCUUCAAGAUCAUGAUAAACUUGUUUAAGAUUUGGUGAUUAAAAAAGUGACACAAAUUUAAAUAUUAAGUAUCUUAAAUUUGAGUGAUCUAAUUUUGAAAAUUAAAUUUUUUAACGUUUUCUAUUAUUUCAAAUAAAAAAUGAAAGAUUAGAAUCCAAUCUUAAGUAAUGAAUUCAUAUAUUUAUCCUUAAAUCAAAUACUCAAAUGUAAAUAUUCAAAACUAAAAAUUUCACCAAAUUUUUAGGUUGUAUUUAAUUUCUAAUUGUCUUCCCUUCAAUUCAAGUUAGUGGAGAAAAAGACUUGAUUGUUUGGAUCAAGUGCUUAGGAAGCAGGGCAAUCAAGAAAUGAGGUAGCCAAGUAGAAAUUCUAGUUAGGGAGGAUCCUAGAUAAUUUGGGGGAUAGUACCAAUCUGGGGACACAUUUUUUUUAGCCAUCAAAUAUAAGGUGUUUUUAGAAAUAACCCUUCUCAUAAUUUUGACAAAUUUUAGCCAAGAGAAAAGAUUUUGGGACAAAAAUGCCCUUAAUGAAAUCUCUUCCUUCAUGUGCACUGUCAUACACACACAAAUAGGCGAAAAUAAAUCUACCAAGAAUUUGCUACAUGACAUUUUGUUAAAAACAUCCUCAUGUUGUAAGAAAUGAUUUUUCUUAUUUUCGGACAUUAACGUUAACACAAAUGUAGGUAUGUUACACAGCAGGUAUACUAAAUGAUUGUUUGAUCCAUUCUCAAAGAUAGGAAAGUGUUGAAUAAUUUCAUAGCAAAGUAAUCAAUUAUAGCAAAGAAGUUCACAACAAACGGUAAGUUAAUGAAUGUUGAAUUUUUUGUUGUGUUUUUUAGUGGGUUUAGUGAUUUGAAUGCCAUAUUGCUUGAGAAUGUGGUUAAGCGUUUUGGCGUUAAAUGGCAUUUGGUUUUGUUUGAAGUUGUUGAAAUCCCCAGAGAUAUUACAUGCCAUGGCCAUUUGGGUUGAAUGUUGUAAGCACAUGGAGAGAAAAUAGGCAUGGCGUGUAACAACUCUUGAGAUUUCUCUAAGUGCAUGAACAUGGCAUGUAGCAACCAGUGAAUUUUAGGCAUUAUGUGUAUCAUCUUAGGAUUAUAUGCAUGGCAUGUAGCAUGUUAUUAAUUUUAGGCAUAUCUUGUAACAAAAAUGGUAUUUUAUGCAUGGCGUGUAACAAAUUAUUCAUUAUACAUGGCAGUAGCAACCAAGAAUUUAUAGGCAUGGCAUGUAAGAAAAUAAAUAUUUUUGAAAAUGUCAUGGAGCUUCUCUGUGUUAACUGAUCAUUGCAUGUAGCUUACAUGUGCAUUAUUGUCACGACCCAAAUUCCGGGCCAUGACCGACGCAUGGAUCCAAUGGAUGUAAUCCACUAAACCCAAGCAAGCCUAUUAUUUAUCUUACUCAUCAUUCUAUAAUAAACUACUAAGUCACAUUUCAUAACUUAGAAUCAAAAUAGUGAUAUACAUUGCCAACUCGUACUGGCAUUACUCAUUUAAAAUUUACAUACCAUGUUUACAACAUGAAUUCUAAUAAUGUACAUCAAGUUUGUCUAUACAUCUCAAAAAGAAGACUCAAUUUCCAGCAGAGUGACUCGGAUGAAUAUAUAGCUACCGAAUGCCGAGACACCUACCAAAAGAUGGACACAGGUCUACAAAGACACCUCAUCCUAGUUACCGGCUGCCUCGUGAUCUGAAAACAUGAAUUUGAAAAUGGUGAGUAUAAACCCAGUGAGUGAACAAGAAAGGGAACAAGCAUACCGUAAGGAAUCUUUAAUGAAACCAUGAUGCAUUCUUUUUCAAAACAAUGCAAUUUGUUCUAUUCUUAUUAAAGACCCCUCAUUAAACCCUUAUAUGAUUAAUCAAUUGGUAAUGAGGAACCCAUACAUAACAAUUAAUUCCAAAAAUAAAAGCUUCAGUGAUACACUAACAAGUCAAAUGUGACGACGAAUCUUCGCUGCAGCGAGAAUGAAUUUUCGUUGCAGCGACAUUGGGAUUUAGCUAUUAGCAGAACGAGGGUUUCUUAACUGGCCAAGGGUUUCUCACUAAACCUCCUACUUUUAAACUUAAUUCAUUAAAUCCUUAAUGUUGGAAGUCCAUGCUUUGAUAUGGUAGCAAAUAAGUGAAAGAUAGGACAACAAUUGGACAAGAUAGGAGAUCAAAACAAAAUGAUUUUCGCUACAGCGAGAUUUAAUCUCGCUGCAGUGAAAUUUCAACCCAGAAACAGAAUGUUUCUCGUUGCAGCGAGAUUCAAUCUAGCUGCAGCGAAAUUGCUACCCAGAAAAUAGAAAGUUUCUCACUACAGCGAGAAUGUAUUUCGCUACAGCGAUAAGCUAUAGUGUCAUUCUUGCUACAGCAAAAAUGCAUCCUCCCUGCAGCGAGUUUUCGACCAGUGUACCCUUUCAAAACCCGAGAGUUUCUCACUGUAGUGAGAAUGAUUUUUGCUGCAGCGAGAUACAGGGCAGCAAUGAAAAUUUCCCCUUUUUUCUCAAAGAAAACCACCAUACUGAAAUGUUCAAACCACAAGAAACACAUUACACUUUUUCAAGGCUUAACAUGUCAAGUUUCACACGCAUUACAACCAUAAAUCAUUGUCCAUUAAUUUGCUAUAACACACAUAUUCACAUAUGUAUAUAUAUAUAUAUAUAUAUAUAUAUAUAUAUAUAUNNNNNNNNNACAACCAUAAAUCAUUGUCCAUCAAUUUGCUAUAUCACACAUAUUUACAUAUAUAUAUAUAUAUAUAUAUAUAUAUAUAUAUACGUAUAUAUAUAUAUGUAUAUACCCAUCAUCAUCAUCUCACCAACCCAUCAUCAUCAUCACCAGCUCAUGCGCACUCCUUACUCGCACAUAACCGGGUCGUCCUCGGUCUAUGCGCACUCUCUACUCGCACAUAGCUGAGUCAAUGUAAUUACACAACAUUAUAUUCAAGCAUAUAUGUAUAUCAACAUAAUGCAGCCACAUAGAAAUCCAUAAUAUCACAUAUCAUAACGUAAACCAUUUCACAAGAGCUUGUUCCCAAGGCAUUCAUUUUUGAGAAAAAUUGUAUAAAAUCAUUCAAACACUUUGUUCAAAACAGUCAUUUUCCCAAAACAAUUUUGAUAGGUAGUCCACUCACCAAUUAGUUGUAGAACCUUUAGAUGACUCCAAUUCCCUUAAUUGUCCAAUUGGAAGGAUUGGACUUCCUUAAAACCUAGGAUCACAUUAACAUAAACAAUAGAUCAAUUUACACACUAUGAACUUUAAAAGCUAUCUUUUAGCUAGUUUUCAAUUGCUACAUUAAAUGGCUAUCUAUGUUCACUAUCUUAAUCACUAAAAAGUAAUGAACAUACUCAACAAUAAAACAACUCAUAAAUCACAAUUACUAGCCAUUUUCUGCAGCUAAAAUCAAGCUUAAUUCAUCACUUACCCUAGGGUUCCUUUGUAGUCAAAUUCUCUUCCAAUUGCUUCCAAGUCAAUAAGGUAAUUCUCUUUUUCUCUCUCUAGAAUGCCCAACUAGUGAGAGAAAGUCUGGAAAUAAGCUUUAUCAAGGGUUUUGAAGUGAGAUAGUGAAAGAAUUCAAAGGUUAUAGUCAAUAGGGUUCAAAGGUAUGAAAACUAGAGCUAGAGAUAGAAAAUCAAGCAAGCUUCAAAUCAAGCUUCCAUGGAGUUUUGAAGAAACGUGAGAGAGGAGAAGAAGAAGAAGAAGACCAGCUGUUGGAAAUUCAAGGUAUUUAUAGGCAAUCUUAUCCUUUCCUAUAAAAUUACGAAAAUGCCCCUCCACCAAUUAACUUACUCUCCUCCAAUAUUUUAUGCAAUAUUUUUGCUCUUUAACACUGGGACAAGAUUCAUAAUGGUCUAGACAUGCUCGGGUUCAUAAAAACUUAAAAUUUUAACCCGAAGUGAAAAAUGACCAUUUUGCCCUUGUUAUGAAAAUUGUUGAAACUUCUAGUUUUUCUUAGUGUUUUCAUCAGUACACAUCAUUUAUACUGUCUUAUGCCUAUUUAGGCCUUAAAAUAUCAUAAAACUUUAUUCUGGAAGCUUAUUAGAGAAAAUGAUGAAAUUACCCCUAGCUCAUAUUAUUACAUUUAUGCUUAGUUACAAGCCUAUAGAAGUUGAGGUCUCACAAUUAUUGUAUUCUGUUGUAGAUGGAUUUUAGGGAGUAUGAGAACGUUGAUGUGAAACCAAAGGAAUAACAGAUCGUGGAGACUCAAAAAGAGGACGAUAUGAAAUUAGAAUUCCCUACUAUUGUGGUGACUGAAAAUGAGGAAAAUGUGAAACCAUAAUUCCCUAAGGGUUAUUUAUGUGUCGAUCUCCUGCACGACAUCAUGCUUUGUAGAAUCAAUGACCUAGUACAAUGGAGCAUUAGUACAAAGUAACCGAGAGAAACAAGCCAAAAUGGAUACAAUGUCCAAGGAUUAAUCGCAAUGUCUGCUAUUGCUAAUUAAAGCUUAACCGACUUGGCGAAGUGCGAAUAAGAGACAAAAAGAUUAAUCAUUUGGACAUGUGGCCAUGUUUGCAUCAUUGCACUUGUUUAGGCUUGAGUGUUGAGUGUUUAGGGUUUAUGGUUGAAGGUUUAGGGUUUAAUGAUAUGAGAAAAUUGGAAAUCACUAAAAUAUGAGUGAAGUAGAAUUAAUAGAAUUUUGCCAUACUUUGAGAAUGACUUACAAAUGACUUCAUUUACAUGUUGAAUUACGUAGCUAUUUAUAGUAGUAGAAAAGGUUUAGCUAGAAAGAAAAACAUAUAAAUAAAUGAAUAUUCAAAAUGGAGCAACUUCAAAAUGAAACAGUUUUCAAGGAAUGUAAGUGAAAAGACAUUUAGUCCUUAUACAUUUAAUCACAAUAAUGAAAAUGAAGACUACUAAUUUAGCGUCUCAAAACUCUGCACCUAAAUUAGAAGUGGGUGGUGAUUGAGGUUUGUCUAAUGCGUUUUGAUAAAUCAAAAUGCAAUUUUUUUUCCGAUCAAAGGCACCCAUGUUGUUUAAAAAUCAAAGAAAAUCCCUUAUGAAACCUUAGGUUUAGAAGUUUCAAAUUCUUGGGUUUAGGGUUGCUGAGGGCACGUAUUGAUCCGGUGAGAAGCUACUUCAAACCUUUGUGAUCAUUUCAACCGUUUGAGUUUCAUUAAAAACAACUCAAAAUAAAAAUCCCUACAUGGCCACUAGCCCCACGUGCACCAAAACCAUUGCUCGGUAAUUUUUAGGCAGGAGCAGAGUUGAUAGUAGCAUUGAAAGACCUAAUGCUUGACCAGAUUCAAUUCCAUUUAAAAUCCUGUCCUUGCUUCCCGCAAUAGAUGUAGUUAACACCUUCGUUUUAUCAAGUAUGUGGAAGUUUCUUUCUUCGCUCGUUAUUACUCUUGCUAAUAUGAAGAUCUUGAAAGUUAUCAACCUUUUAGGUGUACAAUAUCUGUUACAUUAUGGCAAAGUGUUCAAGAACUUUAUUUACAAAUGUACAUUAUAAAUGAUUAUAAGGGUUUGUUGCCUGCGAGUCUCUUUAGAAAUAAAACACUCAUGAAAUUGGAACUAUCUGUUUAUACUAUUAUUGUUUGGAGCAUCUCGACUGACAGAUCCUUUCUACUAAAGACUAUCAAUAAUGGUGGUUUAGACUUUGUCAAUGAUAAUUUGGUUGGAAGGCUUUUGCUUGAUUGCCCUAUGCUUGAAGAGUUCUUGAUUCGAUCUUCUCGUCAAUCUAAAAGUUUUACCAAUUUAAAUAUUUGUAAACAUGACUGAAAAGAUUGAAUUGAGAUGAUCAUGGUGAUAUGUCCGAUAUAAACCUUUUCAUCUUGGCCUUGAUGCCUUAAGUAUUGUCUACGUCAAAUCCAAUUAUUGUUGUGUUCGAUUAAAAAGCUACUAAUUAGUAAACUUACAUUCUCUUGUCAAUCCUGACAUGAGUGAUCAUGUAAUGGCCUUUGAGAUGAGUUCAACGUUGAUGCUACAUGUAAUUUGUUUAAUGGAAUGAGUAAUGUUCGAUCACUUCAGUUCAAUGAUGAGUUACUAUGGGUAAGUUCAUUGAAUUUUUCUUGUUGAUGCAACAUUUUGAUGGGAGGAAAUUUUGAUAAAUGGUCACACAAAUAUCCUUUUUGAAAAUAUAGUCUUUCAUGUCUCAUAAUUGAGAGUUUCAAAAAAGAUCUCAAAGAAAUGCUUGUAAAUUCUUUCAUCAUUGAUCUAUGUUUAAUAUUUUGAGUAGUGUAAUAUAAUGAAUUUACCUAAUGAACAAUAGUUACAUGUUGGUCAAAAGAAUUUACCAUGGUAUGCUGACUAUGUCAAUUUCAUUGUAAGUAAGCUUCUCUUUCUAAAUUUAACUUUUCAGCAAAGAAAGAAAUUUUCACAUGAUGUUAAAUUAUAUAUUGGGAUAAACUAUUUUUGUUUAAGCAAUGUGUUGACAGAAUGAUAAGAAGGUGCAUUCCAAAGGAGGAAGUUGAAAGUGUGAUGAGACAUAGUCACUCGUCAGAAUAUGGGGGCCAUUUUGGAGGAGAUAGAACAAAUGUAACAUUCCCAAAUAUGAUGUAAAUUAAGGUAAUUGAGAAUGAAUUACAAAAUAUGUGAAGUCUUGAGGACUUUAAUGAUAUGACAUAUAUGCCAAGUGUUGGAGAGUGAACAUAUUGACACUUAGGCAAAAUUUUAAGGAAAUAGGUGAUAAAUCCCAUAAUUUGAGGUUUUGAUUUAAGUUUGACUUCAUAUUUGUGAAUAUAUAUGUAUGGGAUUAAGUUAAAUGGAUGAUUUGAGGUGUGAUAUUAAUAGGAAAUAAAAUUAGGGGGUUAGACUUGAAUUUUUGGAAAUUUGGAAAGCUGAAAAUUGACUACAAGAGAAAAUGCAUUGAUACAUCCCCAAAUAUGUCGAUACAUUCUUGGCAAGAUAAACAAUAAAGGCUUUCAGUAGAUUUUCUAUUGAUACAUUCAAGAAUAUAUCAAUAGAUUUGGCCAAAGAUGAACAUGUAUUGAUACAUUUGAAGCAAAAAUCACCCAACGAAAAAAGUAUCGAUACAUUCCCUUUAUGUAUCAGUACAUGUUGGGUAGUGAGCCAUUCUACCCGAAAUCUAUUGAUACAUUGCAAAUGUAUCAAUAGAUUUAGUUGAAAUACGGGCAAAUGUAUCGAUACAUCACUGAAAGCAAGGCAAACAUAAAAAAGGGUUCACGAGCAUUUCACCUAUUUAACAAAAACCCCCAAACUCUUUCUCUCUUUACCAUCUCAAAAACCUAUUGCCCCAUAUGAAUUCUGGGAGCUAUUUGGACCUAUUCUGAGCUUGUGAAACACCUCUAGAGGUAAGAUUAAACGUUUUAACCAAUUAUUUUUCAAUUUAUUCUGUUAGAUUCUAAGAAAUCUAGUUUUUCCAACAUUGGUGAAUCUCCCUCGAUUCAGCUCGAAUUUGGAGCUAAGAUCCAGGUAAUCUAACUUUGAAGGUAUGAGUUUAGCUCAUUGUUGAUGGAUUUAAGCUUAAAUAGUUGGAUUGCUAAGAUUUGGUAAGUUUUGAAAAAGCUGGCAUUUUUUAAAAGCUAGGAUUUAACUAAUAAUUUAAUGUUUGAUGUGUUCUAAGGGGAAAACAGAGUUAAUUCAACUCGUUGGUGAGUUGAAGGACAAUUAGAGGCUAAAGAUCAAAGUUUGGCUUGGAGUACUUCUAAUUUGUCAUGAUGACUGGGUUAAUUAAAUGCAUGUAAUGCAUAACGCAUGGAAAAUGCAUUGCACUGGUAUUAUAUUAUGCAUGUAAGCCUAGAUGAACAUGCCUAGGCUAAAGAACAAAUGUUUUAUGUGCAAGUAAGAAUAUAUGUAUGUAUAUUUAUAUAUGUGUGUAAAUGAUAUGUGUUGAGGUUAUGUGCCUUAGUGCAAUGCCAUGUGGAUGGUUUAUAUUGUGUAAGCCUAGGCUAGAAUGUCUAGAAGCUAUGGUUAACCCCUAAGAGUAGGUUACCCUAGGUUAAUGAUGUGCUAAGAGAAUUUGACCAAAUGAUGCCUUAAGGAUAUAAAGUACUUUAGAAUGUUAAACAAGCUUAUAAACGAUUAAAGCUCGAUAAAUAUGAUUUGAGAUAUGUUGUGGACAUAUGGAAUGGUAAAGGCAUGAUGACCUCAUUGUGGAUUGUGUUCCGUCCGAGGGAUGAAUUCUGGACGUUGAUCUGACUUGUGGAUGAAUGGAGUUUUGUCCCCCUGUGACCUUUGUGUGCCUAUAGGGAUGGUGGUAAGCAAGGAUGGUGGCAUUAGUCCCGCUUAUGAUUCCCACCUGUGGUGUUUAGAUGCCACCUGUAGGAGAUUAUUUCAGGUGAUGCCGACCGCUAGGAGAUUACGUCGUUUGAUGACUUUGAUUCUUCAUCAACUACUUCGACGCUAUGUGUAAUCUGUUCUCCCUAAUGGCUUUGCCUUGAAUGUGAUUUGAUUCUCCACCGGUUGGACACUGAAUGUGAUUUGACUACGUCUAAGGGAGGAUCACUCGUUGAUGUGAUUUGCAUAUGAGAUGAGAUAGUCGUGGAAAGGCUUAAAUAUAUAUGAUGUGAUACUCCGACGACUAGAGUGUGUCAUGGAGAUUGAUUUAGAAUAUCUUGAAUUGGCUUCGAGAGUAAGUCUAAUGAUGAGUGUGGCCAAUGUAUGGUCGUAUGAACAUUUGUACAGAUUGUGAGCCAAGGAUAAUGCAUAUUAUUUGAAUUUUAUGAUGAAUAUUUGACUAUUAAAUCCCUUGGCAUUUACGUUGUAUGAUUUUGGACUCUGAGGCUUGCUCGAGUCUAGUGGACUUGUCUGUUGAACUCGUGCACUAGUCAUGAACUUUCAGGUUUUAGUCAUGACAGAACAGCAGCCAAAGUUCUUAAAUUAGGUUUGUAUUGGACAACACUAUUCAAGGAUGCUCAUAAGUUUUUUUUGCAUUGUGAUAGAUGCCAAAGAAUGGGGAACAUUUCUAGAAGACAUAAGAUGCCAGAUAGCAACAUGUUGGAUGUAAAAAUUUUUUAUGUCAGGGGAAUUGAUUUCAUAGGACCAUUUAUAUCCUCCUUCAACAACCACUACAUUUUGGUGGCUAUUGACUAUGUGUCAAAGUGGGUCAAAGCCUUAGCUCUACCCUAAAAUUUCUACAAAAGAGCAUCUUCACCAAAUUUGGUACUCCAAAUGCUAUUGUGAGUGAUGAAAGGAGUUACUUUUGUAAUAAGUAUUUUACAACAUUAUAACUAAGUAUGGAGUGACACACAAGGUUGCCACGGUCUAUCACCCUCAGAUGAGUAAGCAAGUUGAAUGGUCAAACCAAUAGAUCAAGAGAAUUUUAGGGAAAGUGGUAUCUCCAUCAAAGUAGGAUUAGGCCAAUUGACUUGAUGAUGCAUUAUAGGCAUAUAGGACCACUUAUAAAACUGCAAUAGGUAUGUCCCCAUAUCAAUUGGUAUUUGGAAAAGUGUGCCACCUCCCGAUUGAAUUAGAGCACAGUGCAUUUUAAGCCAUCAAGAAUUAAAUUUUGAUUUAAAGGUAAUGGGUGAGAAGUGUUUUCUUCAAUUAAAUAAGAUGGAUGAAAUUCACUUGGAUGCUUAUGAAAAUGCCAAAUUAUACAAGAAAGAGACAAAGCGAUGGCAUGAUCAAAAGAUUGUCGAGUGGCAUUUCAAGCUAGGUCAGCAUGUGUUGUUGUUCAAUUUAUGAUUAAAGCUAUUUUCAAGCAAGUUAAAAUCAAGAUGGUCAAGACACUUUAUUGUAUCCAAGGCGUUUCCCCAUGGAGUAGUAGAAAUAGUAGAUGGGUCAACUAAUAAGACAUUUGAGGUGAAUGGGCAACAAUUGAAGCACUACUAGGGAGGAAAUACUGAUCGCCAACAACCUUCCAUCGAUCUUUUCGAUUCUAAAUGAGCUUAAAAAAAUCCAGCUAAUAACUAUAAAGGAAGCACUUCUUAGGAGGCAACCCAAGUUUCUCAUCUUAAUUUACUUUAGUAGUUAUUUUUUUAGUUUUUAGUUUAUUUACAAUUUUUUUCUUAUCAUUUUAUGUUUCUUUUCUAUUCUAUGUUUGAUUUUGCAAGUCUUAGAAAUACAAUAGAGUAAAGUGAUAUUGAAAAAAAAAAAGUGAGAGUCACAACCUUCACAUUGAAAGCCACAGCUCUAAAAGCAGGUAACAUAAUAUCUACAAAUAGAAUGGUUGAGCACCGCGACCUUCAUUUCUUAGAGACACAACGUUGGCACAUGAAGAAAAAAAAUGUCCAACAUAGAAUGGUCGGCACUGGAAUUAGGAAUUAAAUUUGCUAGAAAUAGAAAGCUUGAGUGCCACAGCAUUGAAACAUGAAGUGUAAUGCUUCAAGUGUAGACCAAGCGAGAGUCGUGGCUCUCAAAGUGAGAGCCAAGGCGUUGAGUCGAGGCCCAGCCCCAACCUUGUUUAAGACAUGAUUUUCAUCAGUCUUCUCACAUUCUGCAAUAGCUUCAACACAUAACCUAAGCUCCUAAACAAUCCUUUUUCUUCCUCAUCCCCUGGUUCUUGCCUCUACAAUACUCACCCACUUGUGCUUUUAAAUUGUAAGUGUGUGCAUUUAUCUCAUUCACCAUUCCUCAUCUUCUCCAUAUAUGCAAUCAAUUAAGUGCUUUCUUCAACAAUUUUCAUUUGUUUUGAGAAUUUUUUGUUGAUAGUAAUUGCCAUUGCUAGAUUCCAUAGAUUUUACAUAUUGAUGGUAACUUGCACGUGGUUGGUGAUGGGUUUGAAGAUUUUCUUCUUGAUUAUGCUUUGGGGGAGGUGAAUUCUUGUUUGAUUGAUGAUGAUUAUAGUGAAAUUAUUACUGAUUAUGGGUUUGGUUCAUAGAAUUUUGUGUGCUUGCUAAUGCAUAUGUUGAAAGUCUUGUUUCCUAUGGUGUGAGUUGGUAGAAAUUUGCUUGGUGGAUAAUGGGCAUGUAGCAGAAGUUGCAAUUUUGGGUUGGGAAACAAUUAGACUAUGGCAUUUACAAACAUGGUGAUUUUGGAAAUAAUUUGUGCUAAAACAAUUUGGUUUGGUUUCUUUUACACACUUAUUAUAUUUUGUGCUCAAAUUUUUUUUAGAUAUUGGAAAUAAUUGAACUCUUGUUAUUUUGGUUGCAUUUUAUCUUUGUUGGUUUUUGGAAAUUCUACAAUAAUGGCACCUAAGCGCUCAAAACCAAAUUAAAGUGGCACAUUCGAUCGAGCAAAGUUUGUCUCAAUGGAUGCUUCAACAAGAUAUUAUAAUUUGAUGAUUAACAAUGUGCCUAUCCUUGAACGAGGUUUAAAUAUUCCUCUAGUCCAUUAUGAAGAGAUACAUAAGAUGAUUGAAGAAUGACAUUUGCAGCAAUUUUGUGCCUAACCUAAAGCUGGGGUUGUGCCAGUGGUAAAGGAAUUCUAUGCGAAUGUAUUUGAGCAUGUUGAUUGGGUUGUUUUGGUCCGUGGCAAACAGGUACCAUUCGACAGUUAGGCCAUUAACAAAUUCUUUGGAACUCUAAACCUUAAAAAUAAUGAAUACAAGCAAUAUUUGGGAGAUCAACAAGAUAGUGAUGUGAUCAUCUCGGAGCUUUGUGUUAUGGGAACCCAAUGGAAAACAUCUCAUGGAGAGCUUGUUUCGUUCAAAUGAAGUGCCAUGAAGAAGGAGCUAAAAGUGUGGUUACAUUUUUGCGGCAGCAAGAUUGCUCCCAUCUACCCACAUCAGUGAUGUUACCAAGGAUCGUACAAUUCUUACGUAUGCUAUUUUGACUCAUAAAUACAUCGACAUCGGGAAGGUUAUUUCUCAUGCUAUACUUCACACAUGUCGAAUCAAUCGAGAUGGUAUAGGAUUUCUUUCUUUCAUAACUGCUUUGUGUGGAAAAGCUGGUGUAUGAUGGAAUGAUAGUGAAGAGUUGCAGCAAUCUAAAAUUCAAACCACCAUUGGAAUUCUGAGGCAAUUGGAAGAGUCCACAGUAGUGGCUGGUAGUUCUUCUCCAACUGUUCCAUAACCUCCACAGCGAGCUCCAACCCAUAGUGCAAAUGGAUGGAAUGGAUUGAUCAUCAUAUGGACCGCCAAGAAAGGUAGAAUAGAACACUUCAGCAAAUUAUGUGAGGCUAAGAAAAAACAUAUUGGGAUGGAUAUGGCUGUUUUCCUUUCGUUGCCCACGAAUUCAAACUCUGAUGACGAUUUUAGUAAGGAUGAUAAAGAUGACCAAUACGGUGCAGCUAUAGUUUAACGGAGUAUUUUCUUUUCCUUACUUUUCAUAAUAUUAGGGAUAAUGCUUACUUUAAGUGUGGGGAGGAAGUUUUUAAAUUUUCAUGUCUUUGAUUAUGUUUUGAAGUUAAGUUUAGUUGUUUAGCAUGAUAAUUUAGGAGUAGUGAAUUUAGGAAAAUGUUGAAAAACUAAAGCUAAAAUUAGUGCACUAAUGAAAUUGAUUCGCCCAUCCAAUGAUGAUAACUAACUAUUUUGUUGAUCUUUUACUCUUAGUUGUUUGAAUGUCAUGUGGAGUCUUGUUAGCAUCAUGAUCGGAUGAAAUUUUCAUACUUGAGCACUAUAUCUCUACAUUGAAAUAUCCUAUCUCUUUAGAGAAAGUUUAUGUAAAUGAAGAUUUUAUAAAUAUGUUUAUAGUUUUAGAAUUUGUUUAAUUCUUCCUUGAUGCAAAAUCAUAAAGCUAUACUUAGUCAGGGACUUGACUUAGGCCAUUCUUGGACUAAUUGAGCCUUUCAAGCCAACCUAUUUACAUCUUUAUCUAUAAUAUGCCCCUUUGAGCUUAAAUUGUCUUUUAUUUGAUUUAACCCAUAAAUAACAUUAGCUUAGCGUUUGAGAAACUUCUCCUAUUUUUACAACCCUCACUCCUAAACAUAUAUAUUGUUUUAAGAAAUGUAUGUUGAACUGUUUGAUGAGAAAAGUGGAAAAGAUGAAAUAUAGAGAAAAAUGCAAAACAUUUUGAAGUAUUCAUCCCACUAUUAAUGAAAAAACCAAGUUUGGGGUUGUUGAAAAAAAAAUAUGUUUGAGGAAGGAAUAGUGAAAGUGAAAGAAAAAGGGUGUACUCGAUGAAGAAAAAUAAUAAGGCUAUAUAGGUCCUAAAACAAUUAUGUGUUUAGAGUGACUUAUGCUACAUAUUAUCCCGGAUCCUACCUCCACCCUAGCCACACAUUACAAGCUAAAUAAAGUCCUAGGGAUCCUUAAUUUAGUAUUAGCCUACAUUAUUGGAGAGGGAGAGGAAAAACAAACUUAUGAAAUUUUUAACUAGUUUGAAGUUUGAAUGAACAUAAACCUAUCCGGAGUGCAUGAGAUUCAUGGCAAGAGAUUUCACACACAUUCACACACACACACACAAUAAUUUAUCCAAAAAUGAGCUUGCAUUGGAAUGUAAUGUGAAUUUAGAUAAUAUUUAUGUCUUACUAUGAGUUGAGAUAACGAGAUAGUUUAUGAGCAAAUUAAAGGUUAUAAAUGAAUUGGUGCAUCCGAUUUUGUUAGUUUGAUGUUUUCAAUUAUGUUAUUUUGUUUUCUUAGUUUUUGCUCGAGGAAUAGCAAAAUAUCAAGUUUGGGGUUGUAAUAACUCUAUGAUAUAGAGUUAGUUUGCCACAUUUUGAUUGUAAAAAGCAUAGCUAAGUUCUUGUGUUUUGAAGUUAAUUUUAAGUAAUUUUUAUACUUUUCUUUAUUUAGUUUAUUGCAUGUUGAAUUAUUUUUAAUUUGAGUAAUUUGAGCUUAUUUUCACAUCAAAAGUCUUAAUUUGAGAAAUCACAAAUUUCGUCUUUAUUUUAAAGGUUCUCAAGUGUAAAAAGCUUCAUGGAAGUGAAAUGUGCAAGAUGGUUAGGUGUAGAAUUUGCUAAACAUAUUGUAGUAUUUCUGCCAUAACACUUUCUAAAGAACUCCAAAUGAGGUGAUUCUAGACCACUGGAAAGUUGCAAGGAAAGGCUACAACUUUUCUAUUUAUCACUUUGCCCAGCUUGGAUUGGAAGGUGAUCAAAACCAGUGUCAAAAAGAGAGUACUGCACUAAGAGAGUAAAACAAAGACAGAACACUUGAGAGCCGCGGCGCUGAAAGGAAUUUGUGGCGAACUUCAAAGUCAGAACUGUUGAGAGCCACAGCGCUAAAGCUUAUUUCCAAAAAUAAUUGUUUGACUAGAAAUUUGGAAAUUAAGCUAAUUUGUGCUUAUUUAAGGGACAUUUUCAAAGAAUUUUAGAGAGAGGACAAUAGUAGCUAUUUUGAAGAAUUGUAGCUAACAAUCAAGCAAGAGAACAAGAAAAAUUGAGAGAGAUUCGAGAUCAAAAAGCUUCAACAUUAGUUUCUUUCUUUAUUUUGUGUUUUCCUUAUUUUCUUUGACUUGAAUUCAUAGCUAAAUUUCUUUGGAUAAUGUUUUACUUAGAUAUCAUGAACUAAUUUAUUUGUCUAGGAUUAUGAUGGAUUUCAACAUGUAGUUUGAAUAUUAGUUUCUCUUUUAUUUAUCAUGAAUGGGUAUAGUUUUGCUUAUUCAAAUCUAUUCUUAAUGCUUUUAAUUGCUUGAUCAAUAAUUAAUUAAUUUGUGAAUCUAAUUGAGACUUGACAAAGAGGUUUUAGAUUGGACUAAGAUUUAAAUAGUGUAUGUUAACAUCACUUAGGUGAUCUGAUUCGCGAUUUGGAUAGACAUACGCCAAUUGCCAUACAUAGCCAAAUUAGGACACUAGCUUAAUGAACUUAAUUUAAUUAAGUCCUAUAGACAUAUAGUGAGCUAAUUAAGUUAGGUAUUUGUGCAAGCAUCUCGAUGGAGACUUGUAGACAGCUUUGGAUUCUAGGUUAGUAAAACCACCUAGGAAGGUAAAUAAUAAGCGAAGCUGGUAUCAAAUGAAGUGUUGAACGAACCCAUAAUCCUAGGUCUUUAGUCUGUUGUCUUUCUCAAGUAACUUUAAUUUCUGUUAGUUAAUUUAGUUCUUGCUUUAAUUUAGUAUUAAUUAAUUUUCUUAAAAUUUGAGUUACUUAAAUAAGAUUAAUUUGUUAUAAAAUUUUAGUACUUAGUAAAACUUUAGGAAGAAAUCUUUGUGGGAACGAUACUCUACUUAUAACUAUAUUACUUGUUUGUGAUAACAUGCACUUAUGUGAAAAAUCAAUAACACUCAUACAAGCACCUUGUGCUGUGAGGAUCGAUAUACCCGUCCAUGGGAGUUGCUCCUUGGCUAUUCCUGUCACAACCUAAUUUCCUGACCAUGACCAGUGCAAGGGCCCAAUGGGCUCAGCCCACUAAGCCCAAGCAAGCCUAUUUAUAUAAUCUGGUACACUAAUCCAUAUGUCUUUAAAAUCCAAAACUUGUAAUGUUCAAAUAUAAUUCCUUUGAAAACAAUUCAUAAGACCCAAUAAUGUAUUCAUAAUAACAUCAUCAACCAUAAUAUACAUAUAUAGCUUGACAAAUGAGUCUUAGCAUUUCACAUCCAGCAUUCAUAUACACAUAAUUAGACCUUGAUCGUUAGCGGAGUGAAUCUGGGCACGGUUGCUAACAUUUAGUGUCAUGGUAAACCUACCGAGCAAUGGAUAAGGAAGAGCACUUCUUCCUAGGACCAACCACCUUUAACUCAGAAAACCUAAAACAUGAAGUUUAAAAACGUGAGUAUAAACCCAGUGAAUGAACAUAAGAAGGGAACAAGUAUCAAUUCGGGAAGUUUUAGAAAACAUGAUGCACUUAUGUUGAAAACAAUGCAAUUCAACUUAAUUUCUUAUCACAAUGAAAAUCCAUUUUUGCUACAGUGAAAAUCAAUUGGAAAGCAUUUCUCAAAUUUUAACAUUCAAUAAUCAAUGCAAGCACAAUAUAAUUUCCAUAACCUCUCUAUAUAUAACAUAUAUAAACAUACAUACGACCACCGGCAUCACCCCAACUCUCCCUCAGCUCACGUGCACUCCCACAUCGCACAUAACUGGGUCAUUAUCAGCUCAUGUGCACUCCUACACCACACAUAGCUGGGUCAUCAUCAGCUCAUGUGCACUACCACACCACACAUAGCUAGGUCAUCAUCAGCUCAUGUGCACUCCUACACCGCACAUAGCUGGGUCAUAAUUAUCAAACAAUAAUAUCAUUCAAUGCAUAACAUUCACAUCAACAUAAUGUGGAAACACAGGAAUUCAUCACAUUCAUAUUUCACAACAUAAAAAUGUUUCAUUAAGUGCUUCUUCCCAUGCAAAUUUUAAAAAAAAACCAACCAAAUAUCUCAAGUGGUUCAAUCAAGCAUCUAAUCAUUUAUUCCAAAACAUUUUGAUGCAAGUUCAUUCUGUUGUCUCCAUUAGUUUUUUAUGAUAAUAAAACAUUCCCAUUUAUGUGUGUCUAAUGCCUUUACUUGAGUGGGCAGGAAAGUAAUAUAUGAAAUUAAUUUAUUGACUCUUCAAAGAGUAUUUUUGAAAGAAAAAGAGGGAUAAAACCAACAAGAUGUAACUAAAUAACAAGGAGCAAGCUUAUUGGUGAAACAAGGAAAAACAUUGGUUAACCAAAUUUCAAAUUGGAGAAAUGGCGAGCUGAAAAGUUUGAGAAACAGAACCAAUUUAGUCAACCAAGUUAGUCAACUAAGUGCUCUCUGCCAGAAUCUGCAAACCAGAAACAGAACCAACUUAGUCAACCAAGUUAGUCGACUAAGAGCUCUCUGUCUGCAAUUUGAUCCAGAGCACUACAAGACAGAUUAAAGGCUAGAACUCAUUCUCAAUUGUUUCCAAUGGAUAUAAACUACCAAACUGCCAUCAAAGUUGCAUUUCCAAGUAUAAAAGGGUCUUCCAACAAUAAGAAAGAAGUUUUUUAAAGCUUUGAAUGAGAUUUGAGCUAUAGAAAGUAGAAAAAACCAGAAAAGCUUCACUGCACCUUACUGCACUUAAAUGCCAAAUUUUUGUACUAGAGUUCAACACUUCAUCUUGUACCAUCUAAAUCAAGUAAGUGAUCAUAGGUACUUCUUUAUUACUUCUUUUGUAUUCUUAGAGUGAGGGAGUCACUCUAAGGGGUUGUUCAAGCUUGGGAUGGCUUGAUUGUUGUAGGUUGUGGUUGAGCCUUGGAAAACCACAUUGGGUUUUAGUUGAGCCCGUGAAAAACUAGUGUAAAAGGUUGUGGCUAAGCCUAGUAAAAGCCAUUGUGAAGCUUGGUGAAAGCUUGUGAAUUUCACAAGUCCAUAGUGGAUUUGUGGGAAAAUCCUUGGUUGGAUAAUCAAGGUAGUGGAUGUAGGUCUUGGACUAAACCACUCUAAAUUGUUGUGCAUUUUAUACUCUGUUUUUGGUUUUCUUAAGUUCUAGAAAUUACUUUCCAAUCUUAUCAAGAGCCAAAUUGUGCUAUUCACCCCUCCCCCCCUCUAGCACAUAUUAUCAUGACCAACAAUUGGUAUUAGAGCUAGUUACCUAUUUUUAAGGCUUAACAUCCUUUAGGAGGAUCCAAAUGGCUCAACAAAAAACCAUAGUUGCAGAGGGACAAUCAACAAACAGACCACCUCUGUUUGAUGGCUCUAAUUACCCUUAUUGGAGCACUAGAAUGUCAAUUUAUAGUAGGGCUAUAGAUUAUGAAAUGUGGGAUGUCAUAAUUGAUGGACCCUUUAUGCCCUCAACAGUGAAUGUAGUGACAAAUGAGUUGCCCAAGCCAAGGUCUAAAUGGACUGAGGCUGAAACUAAGAAAGUUCAAACAAACUUUAAGGCCAUCAACACAUUACAUUGUGCCUUGACCCCCACUGAAUUUAACAAAGUCUCAAGCUAUACAACAGCUAAACAAGUGUGGGAGAAACUUAGGAUAAUCCAUGAAGGGACUUCCCAAGUCAAGGAGUCCAAAAUUGCUCUCUAAACACAUAAUUAUGAAAUGUUCAAAAUGGAGCAUGGUGAAGACAUCACCAGCAUGUUUGAUAGGUUUACAAACAUCACAAAUAACUUGAGCCAGCUAGGCAAACCUAUCUCUGAACAUGAAUUAGUUAAGAGACUGCUUAAAAGCCUACCAAAAUCCUGGAAACCAAAAGUGAUUGCCAUUAGAGAGGCUAAAGAUCUAAACAUCAUCACUCUCGAUGAGAUUUGUGGUUCUCUUCUUACUCAUGAGCUGGAGCUUAAGGAAGAAGAAGAAAAAGACCGAAGGGAAGCAAACGAAAAGAAAAAAAGUAUUGAACUUAAAGCUAGCAUCCUUGAAGAAGAGUUGGAAGAGCUUUCUUGUGAUGAUGAUGAAGAAUUAGCUCUAGUUGCAAGAAAAUUCAAAAAGCUAAUGAGAAAAAGAAAUCAAAAGCUAAUUAGAAGAGGUUUCAGGAAAGACCAAGGUGCUUCAUGGAAAAUAAGGAACAAAAAAGAGGAGAUGAUCUGCUACGAAUGCAAGUAACCUGGUCACUUCAAGUCCGAGUGUUCAAUGCUGAAAGAUGAAGCCCCCAAGAAAAAUAAGAAAUCCAAGAAAGCAAUGGUGGCUGUUGCAUGGUCGGAUAGUGACACAUCAAGCUCGAAAAUUGAUGAUGAAAAAUCUGAGGAAAGAGCAAACAUUUGUUUAAUGGAACAAGAGGAUGAAACAGAGGUACCCUCAUCCCCUUGCAUUAAUUCAAAUGAUGAUUUUUAGGAUGAGUAUGAGUGCCUUUAUGAUGAAUUUGAAAAGCUUUUUUCAAAAUACAAAUCAUUAAAGAAAAAGGCUGCAUUUCUUGAAAAUGAUUUGGAACAAAUCAAACAAGAAUUUACUUCUGUUUUUAAGCAAAGAAAUAUUUUGCAAAUUGAGUUAGAACACUCAAAAACAGACUUUGAGGUUUUUAAACAAGAGCUGGAAAACAAGUCUGAAGCUUUGCAAAUAACUCCUAAUGAAAAUACAGCUCUUAAAUGUUUGAAAAAUGAAUCCUCAAAAAGAGAUGUACACCACAAUAAAAAUUCAACUAAAGCAUUACCUAGAUGUUAUAAUUGUGGUAAACAUGGUCAUUUAUCAUAUAAGUGUUUUAAGAAAAGAAUAGUGCAGAAAGUUAAGAAAAUCUGGGUUCCUAAGGGAUCUUUUGUUGCAACUAACACUCAAGGACCCAUCAAAGUAUGGGUAACUAUAAAGAAAAACUGAAAUUCUAUUUUGUAAGUUGAGCUAGACUUAAAUGAGACAUGUUCAAAAACUCAACUCAAGAAGAAACAGCCUUGGUACUUGGAUAGUGGCUGUUCACAGCACAUGACAGGACAUGAAAUGCUGUUUGCUCAGUUGGAUAAGAGAAAGGGAGGAACCGUAUCCUUUAGAGAUGAUUCAAAAGGAAGAAUUCAUGGUAUAAGUACGAUUGGUAAGAAUUCCCAAACUCAAAUUAGUCAUGUGUUGUUGGUUAAAGGCUUAAAGCAUAAUUUACUAAGUAUUAGUCAAUUAUGUGAUAAAGGAUUUAGAGUGUGCUUUGAUUCAACUAAGUGUGAAGUGAUAGACAUGAGUACAAAUAAAAUCUCAUUUAUAGGAAAUAGAUUGAAGAAUAUAUAUGUAAUUUUUCUUGAAGAUCUUGAAGUAAAUAAUGAAGUACGUCUUAUUGCAAAUGAAAAAAAUGAUAGUUGGCUAUGGCAUAGGAGAUUAGGACAUGUGAGCAUGAAUACUAUGUCAAAAUUAAUUAAGAAAAUUCUUGUUGUUGGACUGCUUGAGUUAAAAUUUGAAAAUGAUAGGAUAUGUGAUGCUUGCCAACUAGGAAAACAAGUUAAGACAUCCUUCAAGUCUAAGAAAAUUGUGUCAACAUCUAGACCUCUUGAAUUGCUUCAUAUUGAUCUAUUUGGUCCAAUAAGUACAACUAGCUUAAGAGUAUUAUCUUAUGGCUUUGUUAUAGUUGAUGACUAUUCAAGAUAUACUUGGGUGUAUUUUCUUGCUAUUAAGAAUGAUGCUCUACAAGCAUUCUUAAGUCAUUGUAAGAGAACAGAAAAUGGAAAAAGAAUAGCCAUAGUUAGCAUAAGGAGUGAUCAUGGAGGAGAAUUUGAAAAUGAUGAGUUUGAAAAGUUUUGCAAUGAAAAGGGGUUGGAUCACAAUUUUUCUGCACCUAGAACACCCCAGCAAAAUGGAGUUGUAGAGAGAAAAAACUGAACCUUGAAAGAAAUGGCUAGGACCAUGCUAUGUGAGAACAACCUACCUAAAUAUCUUUGGGCUGAGGCAGUAAAUACAAUAGCUUAUAUUCUUAAUAGAGUCUCAAUAAGACCCUUAAUUUCAAAGACUCUAUAUGAACUUUAUAAAGGUAUGAAACCAAAUAUUUCUCACCUUAGGAGCUUUGGCUGUAAAUGCUUUGUAUUGAACAAUGGAAAACAGCCCCUAGGGAAGUUUGAUGCAAAGAGUGAUGAAGCAAUAUUUUUAGGAUAUGCUUUAAACUUAAAGGCCUAUAGAGUUUUCAACAAAAGGACCUUAACCGUUAAAGAAUCAAUUCAUGUAGUUUUUGAUGAGUCAAAUGCAUUGCAAAAAGAAGUUCAUGAUGAUGAUGAUGAUGUAGAAGUCCUAGAAAAACAAAUAAAGGAAAUGAGCUUAGAAAACAACAAAAAUAAUGACGAAAGCUCACCUAGAAAAGAAGAUGAAACUCCACCUUUAGAAAAUCUGCAAAGAGCAGACAAUCAGCAUGAUGAUCUACCAAGGAGUUGGAGAUUUGUGAGAGAUCACAAAGAUCUACAAUACCAAAUAAUUGGUGAGAUUUCUCAAGGAGUUAAAACUAGGAAAGCAACUAGAGAACUUUGUGAGUUUUCAGCGUUUAUAUCUCAAAUUGAACCUAAAAACUUUGAAGAAGCUGAAAAAGAGGAAAGUUGGAUAAUGGCCAUGCAAGAAGAACUUGAUCAAUUCACAAGGAGUCAUGUAUGGUCAUUGGUACCUAAACCUUCAAAUCACCCUAUUGUUGGUACAAAAUGGGUAUUUAGAAAUAAGGUAAAUAAGCAAGGAAAUGUAGUUAGAAAUAAAGCUAGGUUGGUAGCAAAAGGAUACAACAAAGAAGAAGGAAUAGAUUAUGAUGAAACUUUUGCUCCGGUUGUUAGGAUUAAAGCCAUAAGGUUGUUGCUAACUUUUGCAUGUUUCAUGAAUUUUAAAUUAUUCCAAAUGGAUGUGAAAAGUGCAUUCUUAAAUGGAUUAAUUCAAGAGGAAGUAUAUGUAGAACAACCACCUGGUUUUGAAGACUUUGAAAAAUCUGAUCAUGUUUUCAAACUUCAUAAAGCCUUGUAUGGAUUGAAACAAGCUCCUAGAGCUUGGUAUGAAAGGCUUUCAAAAUUUCUAGUUGAAAAGGGGUAUGAUAGAGGUAGCAUCAAUACUACAUUGUUCAUUAAGAGAUAUAUAAAUGAUUUAAUUGUUGUGCAAAUAUAUGUGGAUGACAUUGUUUUUGGUGCAACUAAUGAGGCUUUGUGCAAGAACUUUGCUAAGGAAAUGCAGGGUGAAUUUGAAAUAAGCAUGAUGGGAGAGUUAAAGUACUUCCUUGGUCUUCAAAUCAAACAAAGUAAGGAAGGAAUCUUCAUCAACCAAGAAAGAUACACUCAUGAUAUGCUCAAGAAAUUUGAUAUGCUGAAGCUGAAAUCAAUGUCUACACCAAUGAGCCCAUCCACCAAACUCGACUUAGAUGAAAAAGGUAAGGAUGUAGAUCAAAAGCUCUAUAGAGGUAUGAUUGGUUCUCUUCUCUACUUAACAACAAGUAGACCAGAUAUUCAGUUUAGUGUGUGCUUGUGUGGUAGAUUUCAGUCACACCCUAAAGAAUCACACCUAACAGCUGUUAAGAGAAUUUUUAGAUACCUUAUAGACACUCAAGAACUAGGAAUAUGGUACUCUAAAGACUCAACUCUUAGCUUAGUUGGAUAUUCAAAUGCUGACUUUGCCGGCAGCAAAACUAAUAGGAAAAGCACUAGUGGAACAUGCCAAUUUUUAGGAAGGAUGCUUGUGUCUUGGUCCAGCAAAAAGCAAAACUCAGUGGCACUGUCGAUAGCAGAGGCUGAAUAUGUAUCAUUAGGUAGCUGCUAUGCACAAAUCCUUUGGAUCAAGCAACAAUUAAAAGACUAUGGAAUAACUAUGCAUAAUGUACCAAUAUACUGUGAUAACACAAGUGCAAUCAAUAUAUUAAAAAAUUCUGUGUAGCACUCUAGGACAAAGCACAUUGAAAUUAGACACCAUUUUAUUAGAGACCAUGUGGUGAAAAAUGAUAUUAAGAUAGAAUUCGUGAAUACUUUACAUCAAUUAGCAUAUAUUUUUACCAAACCUCUAAGUGAAGAUAAAUUCUGUGAGAUUAAAAGAAAUUUAGGGAUGAUUAGUGUGAAGGAAUUAUAAGAAAACCUUAGGCUCUCACAUAGAAAAUAGAAUGCUUUCAGUCAACUAAGAGUGGUCUGAUAGCCUUAAAUAAUAAAACUCGGUGAGUUUUAGAGAAAGAAGUGUAAAAUGUGGUAAAAAUUUGGGUUUACUGGGUGCAAAAAGAAUGAAGAAAAACUGUCUAAGGUAAAUAACCAGAUUUUAGAGGGAAGUUUGAAAUUAUAAAGAAAUAAAAUAAGGCAGCACUUAAAGAAAGGUGAGGAUUUUUUUUUCGUAACAGCUGCUGACUGCCUCUCCUCCUCUCUCCCUUGAAACUCGUUGCUCUAAAAAUAAAAACCUAAAUCUCCCUUUUUGCCUCUAAAAUCGACUCAAACCCUAAAAAAUUUCUACAACCAAUAUGGCUAGAACAUCUCAAAGCAAAGAGAUAUCAGAGAAAAAGAAAGGGAAAAGGCCAAUGGAGGAAGAAACAGGAACUGAAAGUCUGAAGAAGAAACUGAAAAUCAUGCCUGGUUCAGUGAAAGAUAUAUUCGAGAAACUAAGAGAAAAGAAGCAGAAAACUGGUAAGAAGAAAGAUAUAGAGCCUUCACUCCACAAAGGUACCAGUUCUUCUUCUUCAAAAUUUAGGAAUAAGUUGCAUGAGUAUAGAUUCAAAAAUAUCGAGAAUGCACCAAUCUCCUAUGGAAAGUUUAUUGAUUGGAAGAGUUUUGAGGAAAAUGUCGAAAUCCAAACUAGUUUAUCUGAGUACUUUGAUGAACUAGAAUUGAAAGGUUACAGCACCUUUAAGAAUAGGUCUUGUAGUCCAAGUCUGGUCAAAGAGUUUUACUCUGGAAUUGCUUUGAAAGGAAAGGAAUUAAUAGAUUCUGAUGAUUAUGUAGAAGAUGGGUUGAAUGUUUAUCUGAAUGGAAAAGAGUUUAUUAUGACUGUUGAGGAUUUAGGGAACCUGUUGAAAAUAGAGUAUGAAGAAGGUGAAUUUGAAUUGCUUGAAAAAUAUGAUCCGUCCUCAUUGUGGGAGAUCAUCACUAGAAGGAAAGAAAAUUAUUCUUCAAAAAGUAAUUCUGGUUUGAUAACCAGCCCUCAUAUCAGAAUUCUACAUUAUUUCAUAGUAGUUAAAAUACAAGGCAGAAGUGGAAGCCUUAGCUACAUCAGCUUUCAGGACCUUUGGCUAAUGGAGCAUGCUUUCAAUGGAGUGUUUAUGAAUUUGGGAAGAUUUAUGAUUGAGAAAAAGAGAAGUGCCUGCAGACUUGAUAAGGUAAAUCUGCCAUAUGGGAAUAUGAUUACAUCCCUUGUGCAGAAGAAGGGAAUAUGGGUAAAGAGGUAUGAUAUGGACUUGGUAAAAACCAGAGACCAAGCUAUUCAUUUUGGCAGCUUGGUUAAAAUGGGCUAUGUACUUGAUGGAGAAAGGUUCAUUAAAACCUCCAAGAUUGGUCCAAGAAAAGAACACAGCCUACCUGCUUAACCUAAAAAAGCUCCCUCCAGAUUUUAAAAUGAAGUGAUUUUUAAUUUGCUCAUGAGGAUUGAUGGUAAGCUGACUGACCAAGGAAUGAAGCUACAGAAAAUGGAAGAUAAAAUCACUAAGUUGGAAAACAAGCUGAAGGAGAAGGAAAACAUGCCAUCUGAACCUGUGGCUACAGAUAGCUCUGCCACAUCCAGCACUGCAUCUGCACAACAAGUGCUGAAAGUUUAGUUAAGUCAGCAGAAAAAUUUGCUCCUCAUGUUGGAAGUUCUAGCAUUUAGACUGAAGGUUCCACCCAUAAAUCUGCCAGUCCUACUCUACAGACUGAAGACUCUCCCCAAGGGGUUGAUCAACAAGCCAAGACACCCUCCCCUGAACCUCAAAGCAAAAAUAAUUCAGAGAUAGAGAAACACUAGGCCUCUCCUCCAAACUCAGAGGAAGUUUCCAUCAUGGAUGUCUUCCACCAAAUGGUUAAGGAGGGACAAGCUGAAAAGGACACUGCCAGGACAGAAACUCAAAAGGAUGGUGAAGGUGUAGGAAAAGGAAAGAAAUCUGCAUCAGCUACUAGAGUAAAGACAAAAGCAGGGAAAGCCAAAGCCACUGCAGCACCACCAACUGAGGCAAAACUACCAACCAAAGGCAGGAAGACCAUGGCAACUAAGACAGCUUUUCUCAAGAGAAGAAAGUCUUCCAGGUUGGUAGAGAAAUCCAGACCAGUUUCAACCUCCUCUCCAAUCCCUGUCUCAAACAAGUCCUCACCAGAACCUUCCCCAAGACAUUCAUCACCUCUCCGAGAGCCCUCUCAUUUUCCUCUCAACCUUUUCUACAGCACUGAAUCCUCACCCUCUGACACAUAAGAUGAAUAGAAGCCCCUCCUUUUGAUGCUGACAAAAAGGGGGAGUAGAGUAGAAUGGGUACACGAACCAAGAACCACAAGAACCAGGAACCAGAGAAUAAAUUUAAAAAAAAAAUGUUAGGGUAGAGGAACCAGGAAGGAACCUAGGAAAGGAAAAAAGACAGAAUCAAAGAUGAAUGAACUUAGAAAAAUAGAAGAUAGGAAGCAAAAAAAGUCUAGGGGCAGUUUCAGAAUACUUGUUGAUUAACUGUUAUUUGUGCCAUGGUGGCACUUAAACACUCAGUUUUAAUUCUAUUAUUUAUGUGGUUGUAUGUGAAAAAUGAAUGCUGAUAUAGCUAUGUUGCUUAAUUGCUAAAAAUUGAAGUCUGUUGAUAAUUUGUUAUUUUGGUAUUUUGACUGUCAUGAACAAAAUCUGCCGGUGCUAUUCUAAUAUUGAUUUACAUGCUGAUAAAUUAUUUUUGUUAUGCCAUUGCGGAUAAUUUUUGUUUGAAAAUAGAUAUAGAUGGUAUGAAUAGUAUAUCAAUUGAAACAUAAAUGAAGUGAACAAAAUUUGAAAUCAAUAAACUAUUAAUAGCUGCUGGAACAGUGAUGAAAAUCUGUCAACACUUAAAGCUGAAAGUUUAAUAAUGAUCUGCUAAUACUUACUUGCUGAAAAUCACUCUAUUUUGCUGAACAUAUGUAUACUCUAAAUGUACAAUAUCAUUUUCUAUAUGACAAGAAUAAAAUUGGCUGAAAUAAAAUAAGCAAAAUAUGCACACACUAAGGGGGAGCUUAUACUUAGGGGGAGCAAUCCUCAAUUUUUGCAGAAAACUAAAAAGAAUUAAAAUGACACUAUGCUGUUAAUCAAGGAAUGUUUUGUCAUCAUCAAAAAGGGAGAGAUUGUUGACUCCAUUAGUUUUUUAUGAUAAAAAAACAUUCCCAUUUAUGUGUGUCUAAUGCCUUUACUUGAGUGUGCAGGAAAGUAAUAUAUGAAAUUAAUUUAUUGACUCUUCAAAGAGUAUUUUUGAAAGAAAAAGAGGGAUAAAAUCAACAAGAUGUAACUAAAUAACAAGGAUCAAGCUUAUUGGUGAAACAAGGAAGAACAUUAGUUGACCAAAUUUCAAAUUGGAGAAAUGACGGGCUGAAGAGUUUGAGAAACAGAACCAAUUUAGUCAACCAAGUCAGUCGACUAAGUGCUCUUUGCCAGAAUCUGCAAACCAAAAACAGAACCAAAUUAGUCAACCAAGUUAGUCGACUAAAAGCUCUCUGUCUGUAAUUUGAACCAGAGCAUUACAAGGAAAAUUAACAGCUAGAACUCAUCCUCAACUGUUUUCAACAGAUAUAAACUGCCAAACUGCCAUCAGAGUUGCGUUGCCAAGUAUAAAAGGGUCUUCCAACAAUAAGAAAGAAAUUUUUUGAAGCCUUGAAUGAGAUUUGAGUUAUAGAAAGUAGAAAAAACCAGAAAAGCUUCACUGCACCUUACUGUACUUAAACGUCAAUCUUUGUAACAGAGUUCAGUACUUCAUCUUGUACCAUCUAGAUCAAGUAAGUGAUCAUAGGUACUUUUUUAUUACUUCUCUUGUAUUGUUAGAGUGAGGGAGUCACUCUAAGGGGUUGUUCAAGCUUGGGAUAGCUUGAUUGUUGUAGGUUGUGGUUGAGCCUUAGAAAACCACAUUGGGUUUUAAUUGAGCCCGUGAAAAACUAGUGUAAAAGUUUGUGGCUGAGCCUGGUAAAAGCUAUUGUAAAGCUUGGUGAAAGCUUGUGAAUUUCACCGGUCUAUAGUGGAUUUGUGGGAACAUCCUUGGUUGGAUAAUCAAGGUAAUGGAUGUAGGUCUUAGACCGAGCCACUCUAAAUUGCUGUGCAUUUUAUACUCUGUUUUUGUUUUCUUAAGUUCUGGAAAUUAGUUUCCAAUCUUGUUAAGAGCCAAAUUAUGCUAUUCACCCUCCUUCUAGCACAUAUUAUCAGGACCAACACAUUCACCGGUCCUCGUUGAUUCUUAAAUCGACUCCAACUGCCCCUAAUGGUCCAAAUGGAGAUGUGGGGUCUCGUUAGAACCUAUCACACAUAAUAGCAUCACAAAUCAACUCAAUUCACAUAACCAUAAUUCUAAAAGCUAUCUCCUAAAUCAUGUUCUACUAGUUAUUCCUAGCUAGCUUCCAACUACCAUUAAGUGGAUAUCUAUUUUCACUAUUCUAGUCACACUAAAAUGAAUAAACCACCUCAACUGCAAAACACUCACAAAUCUAACCACUAUCCAUUAUCAACAACUUAAAAAUCAACUCAAUUUUCAUUACUCACCUUGGUAGCUUUGUAAUUGAAUUCGUUUUCAAAAGCUUUCAAACUAUUGUGAAAAUUCUUUCUUUCUCUCUCUAGAACAUCCAACAAGUGAGAGCAAGUAUUAAGGAAAGGCUUUGGAGGGUUUUAAGGUGAAAGAGUAAAAUAGCACAAAGGACUUUGUAAAAAGGUGAAGAAAAGCAUAAAAAUUGGGGUUAACUUGAGAAAAUUUAUGGAGGUUUCAAAGCAAGCUUCCAUGGAAUGUGAGAAAAUGUGAGGAGGGAAGAAGAAGAAGAAGAAGAAGAAGUUGCUAGAAACUUAGAUAUUUAUGCCUAAUGUUUAUCCAAUUUCUCACGAAAUUACCAAAAUGCCCUUAACGAGGUCACUUUGUCUUCCUCUUACCUUUAGAUAAUCUUUUUACUUCUUUGACACUGAGACAAAGUCCAUAAUAGUCUAAAAAUACUCGGGUUCAUGAAAACUUAAAAGUUUUGACUCAAGAUGUAAAAUGACCGUUUUACCCCUACCAUGAAAAUUAUCAGUAUUUCUAUCUUCUUCAUUUAUUUUAUCAUCAUUCAUUUAUUCCUUAGGUCUAUUUAGACCUUAAUAACAUUUGAGAGCUACUUCAAGGAGCUCACCAUGAGAAAUGACGAAAUUACCCCUAGUCCAUGUUAUCGCAUUUACUUUUAAUUACGAGUCUAUAGAGGUCGAGGUCUCACACUCCUCUUGUCUCCUUGGUGCCCAAAAUACCUUAUUAUGAUGUCAAAUCACUUUUUUUAUCUUGCAAAUUCUUCCUUGAUAAAAAUAUUAUUAUUUUAUUAUUAUUUCUUCACGUGCGUAAUAUUUUAUCUCAAACUAUUCCUUUCAUCUUUUAUCACUUUUAAACAUUAUAAUUAACCUCAAUUGGCAUUCAAUAAGCUUUAUUAAUCACCAUAUCAAAUUACAAGGUAUUACAAUGCCAGUAGCUAUGUCAAGCUUAAAACCUCUAGGGAUCGACCCCUCCUUGCCAUGUGAAUAACCUUUCAUGCCUUAUUUGCAAAAAUUACAUUUCUUUGGUUUCCUUAUCCAAUCAUACUUUCAUCCAUUGAUACCACAUUAAUCCAACAACAUCAGAGUAGGAAGUUCAUGUCAAUCUAGUUAGGAAAACUCAACCAACAUUCAAAUUAUAUUAACACGUAAUUCAUUCAAACUUGUCCAACAUUUACUUAAGUUUAAGCAACAUCAUUUCAUAAAAGGUGGGAGUUUCAUUAUAUGAAUGUAAGAGGUUUGCUUGGGACUAGCGGGCUAUACCUAUCUAAAUUCUAGUGCUGGUCAUGGAACCCCAAAAAGGGAUCGUGAUAGUAUCAUAAAGGGUAUUGUUAGUAGGGGUAGCUGACAAAGCUAUAUGGUUGCUACGCAGAUUUAUUUUUGCUCAUUUGAAGUUUUUGAGAUCACAGGGGAAGGCUAUCUAGGCCACCCUUAUGUGUUUUCUUUUGUUGUUCUCAUCAUGAAUACAAAGUCAUUACCUUUCAAAAAAAAAAAGGUAACAUUUUAUAAAGUAAAUUCAAAUAGGUGGUCAAUCACACCUAAACAAAAAAUAUUGAUAAUGAUUUCAUUUAACAUUAAAUGGUUUAGUUUCGGAACCUGCACAUUAUGACACACACAACUAGAUUUUAGAUGUAAGUAGAUAUAUAAUGGGAAAAUGUUUACGGUUAGUAGUUUUUUUCUAUUUACACCAAAAUUGCUAAUAGCAAGACCAAAUAUCCAUUUGGAAAACGAGAUUGCAUUUAGUAUUUUGAUUCAAUAUGUACUACAUAGGACCCCUGCUAGCUUUAAAAAAUUUUCCUUAAUGUAUAAAUAUAAUUUACUAGAAUUAGGUGCAAUAAAUGAUACAACAUAGCAUAAUAGUUACAAGCAAGACUCAAUUAGAAAAAGAUAAGCAACCUUUUAUUCAAAGACCUCAUAAAGCAUAAAAUCCAAUUAUUAAGCCACUCUUGGGCUGAAAUUUCAAAAUCUUAUUUCAGUAAAGCUUGAUCACAUUGUUCCAUCGGAAUGGGCUCAAGGAUUGGCUUGACACAAUCUUGAUUUUCUUUGAUUUGAAUGCCAAACCAAUCGCAAUUUUGGUAGAUCCGAUGAAUACAUGGUGUCAUUUCGACAGCAACUUUGACAAUAUCGGGUGCUCGAAGAGAAUCUUUAACUAUUACUUUGUUAAAUUUUUACCACAAAUUUCUUAUCAAGCCUGUCACAUGAUUAUGUGCUUCUUCUUCCGAAACACCUUCUUGGGUCAUGUAAAAAUGGAUGAAAUUCAUUGAUUCUCCCCUUUUGAUUUCAACCUUCAAAAGAUAAGUAAUAUCUAACUUAACAAAUUAUUGAAAUAUAAUAAAAUAGGUAGCCACUAGUUUGGUAGACAAGUGAGAGAGAUUUGUUGAAACGUUAAAUUGGUACAGCAAUAAAGCAAUAGCAAUGCAGGCAAGAACAAACCUCGGCAGUGUUUAAAUCAUUAAUGAGUCGACCAAUGUAGCCAGGCAACCUAACUAAGUCAGAGACAGACCAAUGCUCCACAAAUUCUGACAAAUAAUCAUUUAUAGAGUGUCCUGCCACUCCAAAAAAGCCAUAGACAAUGGAUACAGGUACACCAAUCGAGACCCAAGCAUUCUCAAGAUAUUCAUCUGCAGUUGGAGUGUAUCCGCUGUGAAACCAUCGUGCUUCCUUGAGAUAUCCUCUAAUAUAACACAACCACUACAAAAAUUGAAUGUCAACUUGUCAGUAUAAAUUACAAUUAAUAGAUAAAGUUCUCAUUAUGUAUGUACUCCAUGCAUAAUUUCCAUUUUUUCUCUAUAUAUCUUUUUUUAAAAUUAUGUCAUUUUUUUAAACAUCUAAUAUUCUUUUUUGUAUUUUAUAAAUUAUUAUUUAUAAUUUCUUUUUUUACUUUUCAGCAUUAAAAAUUGUAAAACAUCAAUUAAUUUACAAAAUUGUUUUGAAAUUUUUUUAACAAAUAGACUAAAACUAAAGGUUUUUUUCCCUUAAUUUCUAUAAAAGUUCAAGAAAGACAAAUAAAUAAUAUUUUAUUUGGUCAUUCGAUUAUGUACCAUACCUAUUACAUUUUUUUUAGUGAACAUAGCUAUUCCUUAAUAUAGGGUAAAAUAUCCAUGCCAUUAUCUUUCAAGGCAUAUUGGACCAAUUCACUAACAUGGUUGCACAUGGCUGAGGAUACUUUCAUGUACUCUUGGAAGUUCCUCCAUUGCCUUAUUAAGAUCCCAUCUGCAAUUCGGGAAAAGUUUGUCAUUAAAAGAGUUUGGAAACGUGUACGUAGAAUGAACACAAAUUUUCAAAGCAUUGCUCAGACUAAGGAAAGAAGUUGAAAAUCUAAAUUUCUCACCUAUUUACUGCAUCUGUGUACUUCUCAAGCUCAUCAAGUGAGCCAUAUACGUCCAAUAUGUCAUCUAAGGCUGUUCCCAUGAAUCCGAAUUUCGCGAGGUUCCUCCUCAAUAGGGGUAAUUGGGGCCCCGGAGGGCAACUCCCCAGUGCCCAAAAAUAAGACUCAAGUAGCCUAUCCCGAGCGAAAGGUCGCCUUUCCUUAUAGUUCAAGUCCCUCCACCCCCUGCCCAAUCAAUUGGAAAACAGUAAAUAUCUUUACAUACAAACAGCAACUAAAUUCAAUUUGUAGACUUUAUUACAAUUUACUACCUAUUCGCGAUUUAGGGGCAUUUUCCAUUAAACCAUGUAUAUCCAUUUAACAGCACUGAUAUUUAGUAACAAUUUAAAUGAUUUAAGUUGAUGUGAAAAUUAAAUUUCUUAACUAUCACAUUUUAUUUUUACCCAUAAAAAAACUGACAUUUUAAAAUCUGAUUUAUUUUCAAUCUAAUUUAACUAAUGAUAUCUAGUAAUAAUAAUUUAAAAAUCUGAUUUCUUAACAAUGUAAUUUAAGUAAUUACUGAUGUCAAGUAAUCGUAAUUUAAAAAUCUGAUGACAAUCUUAGCUUAAAAGUUCUUUUUUUUUUCUUUUUCAGAUUUAUUUUUUAAUAGAUAAUCUUACUCCACUAGUUCCUGUACCUCCUUCAGAUAAACAGAUUGCAUGAUAUUGUAGUUCAACUUGGCAAGCUCGAGCAAAACCAAAUUCAUCUUAUCAUCAUAUUGGUAGAUAGCAAUGAAAUCUCGUGCUUCUGUCCAAGGCAUCCUCCAGUGCAGUGGAUAUUCCAGUGAUUGUUGUAUUUGCCGAGCUAUAGUCUUCUUUAGCACUAACAGAUGUUUUGUACUAAAAUUCAGGGCCUCGUCUAAAACAUCUUCUUCUGGCAUCCCAAGGUAAGAAGCUUUGUGUAAACUCAAUAGCCCAAUAACAUCUUCUCGUGAGCUGUCCAUGAAUUUUCCAUCUAUCUCCAUGAACUUAUUAAACAGAUCUGCACAUUUUCACCCCUCACAUCUUGAGUAUGUAUGUUACCCAAAUAAACAAGAAGUGGAAUCCCUUAAAUGAUCCAGCUGCAGGGUCCCUGCAAGGGCACAGCUGUUGAAAAUGCUAAAUGAAGAUGAGGCGUCGGUAAGGAUUCGAAUGCAUAGUAAAGCAAACUAUUCCUUUCAAGAUAGUUGGGUAUAGAUUGGUAAAAGAUAUUGUAUUCAUGAAUAUCUAUUUAUUGUGAUAGUUUCAAUAAAGCGAAAUAAACUAGAUUUGUCAAAAAAAAUUAAAUAAGGAGGAAAAUUAAAAUUAAAAAAGAACACGAACAUUUUGAGUCUUGUUAGCCAAUCUGAAGUGUUAAAUUGAAUGAUUGAUUAUUCCAAAAAGUUAAACUAAUAAAAAAAACUUGAUUAUUAUAUUUAAAUUCUAAUACACUUCUUCACAUGUAUUUCAGAUGAAUAUUUAAUGGGCUUGCAGGUGGACUCAAGUGUAGAAAUAAGCCACGCCCAAAAAAGGAUUAAAGAAGUAUUGUAAAGUUCAAUUUGUAACCAAACACUCGAAACAAUAUUAAAAGGAGAGUAACACAUUUUCUAACAUUCGAAAUCAAAGCUCUAAUAUUAUAUUAAGUUGGGCGUUCAAUUAUUUCAAAACUUUAGUUGAUAGGAAAGGGACAACUAUCAUAUUUAAGUUUAACACUAGGCUUGACAAAAAAAGAUGACCAUAAAUUAAAUAUAGUGUCCUUUAAUGAAACGCUAUUCAAAAUGAUAAAAAAAUAAGUUAACUAUAGUGAAAACAUUUUGCGCAUAUAACCUGUACCAAUGAAGAAACCAUUUUGACGUAUAAGUCUAAAUUGCAAGGCGGCAGUGUAAAGAUCAGUGGCAAUGUUGGCAUCAACAAGUUUAGCGAGAAUAUCCUUGAUAUCCUUCUCAAAGUGGUAAGCCCCUCCUAAGCGUUGCAUUGUAUUGAUCAGAUCCAGUUGGUCACGUGGUUCUUUCAUGCUAGCAAGUAAAUCCCCAGCACCUUGCUUAAGUUCCUCAAGACGAGUGACAUGGUUCUCGAACUGCAAAGUUAACCAAAAUAAAGUGGUGCAGGUUAAACACAGAGUAAUUCUAAGGUGAUGAAGCUUGGGCAUCUAAUGAAAGUAAACUUACUGAGUAGGGUGUGGUGAAGGACUUGACGAGUUCAACAUCCCAAACAGUGGGAAGGUUACCUGCUGAUCGUUGUUCAAUACCUUCUGCUUCCAUGGUAAUACUAAAAUGAUUAAUAUUGCGUUGUAACUCGACCGGUUACAGGUAUUUAUAUAGAGAUGCAAUGAAGAAUUUAUCCAUAACAUAACAGAGGAUAAUAAUUAACAGCAGAAAUAGUAGAACCCACAAAUAGUUCUAAAUGACAAAACAGCAUGUCUUUCGGUUUUGUUAUUCAAAUAAUUAAUUUUUAAAUUAUUUACUUAUAUAUAAGCAUUAUACCAACAAAUAGAAGAACCCACGUGUAAAUCUUUUUGAUGGAUAUGCAUCAAACAUAAUUGGAGAUUUGUACUACGGAUUGAUAAAAAUCCAUUUGACUUAUUCAAAUUCUGAUCCGAUUUAAUUUGAUUUGAUUAGAAAAAAUCAUCAAAAUGUUAUGAAUAUUUUUGUGAAUAUUUAUUUAUACCAUGUAUAUCUAGAGUUGGAUGUAAAUUAGAUUGGAUGAAUAUUAAGAUUUAAUCCAUCUAAUCCCUUAGUAUUAUCUUCUUCUUGUAAAUUCAAUAUAGAUAAGGGGUUAUUAGCCUAUAAUAGGCCUCUUCACUUCAUUUGUAAAUAAACACUUGAAUAAGAUCUUCUUACUCCCUCUAAAUACUUUCUCUUUCCUCUAAAUACUUUCUUUUAUAUUUCUCUUGUAAUUGUUCUUUCAGAUUUAUUUCAUAACACGUUAUCAGAACGAUUAUCCGAUCUCUCAAAUUUUAGAAUUAUUAUGUUUUCAUCAUCUUCAAGCUCCAAAAGAAUUUCAAUGAUUGGGUUUUGAUUUCUGAUUCUAGAGAAUCAGGUAAGUGACUUGAUAUCUCUUUAGUAUUUUCAUUCUUUUAAAAUCAACCUUAAUAUGAAUUUUACUAUUAUGUUGUAUAUAUUAUAUUUUGUCCCUUGAUUGGAAAGUGAAUUUGCUAUUAUAUAGUUCAUUCCCUAAAGUGAAUGUGACAAACGAGUUGCUAAUAAAAAACUUACAUCUCCUUACCUUAUUUGUUGAGUUUGUAGGUUUGGAAAGCAUGAAGAUAAGGAGGAUAAAAUGGUACAAAUUACUCUUAUUUAAGUAACUAAAAUUUUAAUUACCUCUCCUUUAAUAUGCUCAAAAGCUAAUCUAUAUUCAUUUAAAUAAAUUUAAUUUCUAAAAUUAAAUAACUUGAUGAAUGAAGAUACGCAAUUGAAAUGGUAAAAAUUAAUUCAUAUUCAUAACUCUAGGCAACACUCAAAUAUUAUUCAAUUGCACCAUUUUAUUUGAUUAAUCCAUAUUCAUUUAUAAUAUUAUUCAAUUGCAAUCACAUUACUUACAAUCACAUUACUUGUAAUCAAAUAGCAUUGUAAAGUAACAAACGCCACCAUAAUAUGAUUGCAAGCAAUAUGAUUAUAGGAAAAAAUAACAUUACAAUAUUUGGUAUACAAGCAAAAUAAUAAUUAAAAUGUAGGGAGAUAAUAUUACAGCGUUUGAUUUACAAGUAUUUUGAUGUAAAUGUAAUAUUAAUUUUCAAAAUUACCCUUACUAUUAAAAUGAAAAUUUAAUAUACUUGUAUUUUUUAUUGUUAAUUUUUAUAUAAUAUCAUCUCUUAAAUAUAUUUUUAAUGUCAUAUAUUUUAUUUUCAUUUCUUAUUAUAAUCUUAUAUAUUUUAUUUUCAUUUCUUUAAUAUAAUUUUUUACAUUAUAUAUUUAUUUAUUUUAAUUUCUUUUACCUAUAUUAUAUAACUUUUAAUUUCUUAUAUUUUAUUUUAUUUUAAUUUCUAAUUUUUAUAUUAUAUAUUUUAUUUUAAUAUUUUUUAUUUUAAUUAUAACAUUAGAAAAUGUUUUUAAUAAAGUAAUAAAGUUGAAGGGUAAAAAUGUCUUUACUAACAUUGCAGAGUGCAAUGUAAUGGGAUUGUAUUGGUUUUGGAUUGUAAUCACAUUACAUUACUUGGCUACAAUGUGAUUGCAUUGCAAUCUUACAUUGCAGUGGUCUGUUGCAAAAACAAAUAUUGCAGUGUAAUUUAAUUUGACACAUUAUAGGGAAUGGGCUCCCACUUCUCUUAUACCAAAUGCUACAUUAAAGUAGUCAAUUCCCAUGAUUCGUAGGGUAGCUUCUUGAUGUUAGAAUAAAAGAUAACAAGAAUUUCAAGUUUUUUCAAACUUCUGGAUGCCCAAGCUUUCUCCAAACGACAACGUACUAAGUAUAGAGUUCGAAGGUUUGUUAAGAAUUGAAGUCCUUCUAACAACAAAAGAUUCUUGUAAGAACUAAAACUUUAAGGGUUUUCAUUCCUUCAAAGAACAUAAUUGGAACUCUUGUUAAACUGCCUUUGUGAUAUUGAUAACCAUAACUCAACAAGAGAGUUUUGAGAUGUGGAUACUCUAUUUUGUGAAGAAGAAUAUUUAUGUUACUCUUUAUUAAUGACAUUGUUGUGUAGCUUUCAAACCUUUCAUUCCUAGGCCAUUUCUCUAACUCACUUUUCACCAUGAAUGUGUUUUCCCCUUCUGAUUUCAUCCAAUGAAUAAAAUCAUGAGCCACAUCAUGCAUUUUCACAUGUCUUUUAUUACUACUUUCCAACAACAAACCUAACUUUUGGAGGUUUUUUUUAUUGUUACAUGCAUUUCCCUCCUUGCAUCUUCAAGUUAACAUCGUCGAACAUUCCUUCCCCAAUUCCAUACAUAGUUAAUUGGUCGAUACUAACUUCAUAAUCUUCUGGGAAAAGAAUAACACAAUAAUCAACAUGAAUGACUAUUGUUUCCUUUUAAAUAAUCAUAACUAAUCUGAAGUCCGUUGUAGAUACCUCCACAAACAUCUUGAUUCUCUUUAUGUCUAGAGCCUUUUAGUCAUUGAUUUACUACUUCCCACCCAUCUAGAGUUUCAGUUUUCAAAGCUCUUCCCACAAUCACAAUUGUAAGAGGCAAACCCUUGCAUUCUUCGGCAACCUCCUUAGCUACAUCAUGCAAAAGGGAAGUGACAUCUUUUAACCGAACAUUAUCUUUGAAUAAAGCCCAUGCUUCAUGUUCAGAUAAGAUAUUGAGCAGAACAUCCUUUUGACAAUUCAUUUGAGUGAAAACUUGUUUAAGGCAGGUGGUUAGAAAAAUUUUGCAACCAUUGUGAUCAUCACCGAAUGGAAUUCUGAUAACCUUCAAGUCAAGUUCUUCCCAAACAUCAUCAGGGAUUAUAAGGAUGCUAUUCACCUCUUUUAUUCUCAACAACAAUUGCUCUGCUUUUCCUUUGAUAGCGUUCUUUUUAAAAGCUAAAUCUAAUAAGUUUGCGAUUUUGUCUUGAAUAUUGUUGAAAUUUGGAGUUUGGGACACGGUUGUGAUCACAACUUUAUGGAAAAGUUGUUUGGCUUGGUUUCCCACUUCUUUUGCCAAAGUGCUUUUACCGUCUCUUCCCAUCCCAUAUAGUCCAAUCAUGUUGAGAAGAAUUCGAAGAUUCAGAAGACAUGAAAUCCUUAGAUGGAAUGAACUCUAAUCCUAGAAUAGUAGCUUGGUAACCUACUCGUUGAAAAUUACAAGUCUUUAAAAGUUGAGAGAUAGAAAGUGUCUUCUUCGCUACUUUCUUACUUAAUCAAUAAUGCUAACCGCAACAAGGACACUAAUUGAAACACUUUUUACAUUCUAUUUCAUUUUCCAAACUUUGAGCUUCUUCUAGUUCUUUCUCUGCCCUUGUUAGCCAGUCCUCAACGUCCUUCUCAAUUACCUCAGUUUGCCUUAAAGCCUCAUCAACAUCAUUUUUCACCCGAUCUUUUCUCAAUUCAAGUUGGUUUUGCCGAUUCUUGAACUGCUCAACAAUUUUGCCCAAACGAAUAAAGCAAUUGACAUAAGGUGAUGCGUAUUUAGUUUCCAGGUUCCCUACAAUGUUGGCAGCAAUAGCAAACUCAGCAGCCAUUCUUUGAUGAUUUGAGAUUGAAAAGCAACUUUGAUGAGAAAAAAGAAAAGAAAAGUGACUUCAAUAAGUAAAAAGUGUUACAGAGAGAUAAAUACAAUUAAUGAAAGAGAAAAUUAUGAAAGUUGGUCGUCUUCAAAACUUGACUUCAAAAAUAACCAUCAAAAUAAAAUUAACUGUUUUUAGCCAUAUUUAACCAUAACUUGACAAAAAUAUCUUUGAAACCAUUUCAAAUAAAUUAAACUAUUCACUACAAUUGCUCUCGAUUAUCGUAUCUGCUUUAGAUUUCUCUCUCUCACCAUUCAGCUCUCUCUAAUUUAUCGAUUUCUCUUUUCAACAUUUGUCUAUCGUGCUCUUGAUUUUUCUUUCCUAUGCUUUCAGGAUGCCAAGAGAUGAUUUUAAUGUGCUUGGGGUGGGUGGCUAUUUAGAAAAUUUGAUUUUAGGUGUUUUGGAUGAAACUAAAAUUAUAGAAAUGAUCACAGAUGUUUGAAAUAGUUUUUAAUUGAAUCAAUUCGGGCCUAAACACUAAUAAACUCAAGAAUUUAAAAUUUAUAAUUCUAGGGUUUCAAAGGGAAUUUUUUUCAAUUUUUAGUUAAAAUAUGUGUUUUAGAUUAGGAAAAUUGUGUUUUGAUUUAUGAAAACGUGUUAGAAACAUUUUAAUCAGUGCCAAAUCGUAAAAAAAAAAAAAGAAAUGAAGAGAGUUGAAAAGAUUUGAAGUUUUGGUUCGUAGGUAACAACAACAUUUCAAGCAUUAAAGUGUAACAAAAUUUUUUAAACAUGGUGUGUAACAAUAAUAUUUUUUCAAUAUGGUGUGUAACAACAUCAUUUUGUUCAACAUGGUGUGUAACAUAGUUUUGUACAUGGUGUGUAACAACAAUUUUUUUUUUUUCAAUAUGGCAUGUAACAACCCUUUUUUAACCAUAGCGUGUAACAUAUUUUUGAACAUGGCGUGUAAUAACUUUUUUUAACCAUGACAUGUAACAUAUUUUUGUACAUGGCGUGUAACAAUAAUAUUUUUUUUCAACACGACAUGUAACAUCAUGUACACUUGAUAUAAAGAGGUUUAAUACAUGACGUAUAAUAUGUUUUUGUACAUGGCAUGUAACAUUAUGUGCACUUGAUAUAAAGAGGUUUCAUUAAGGGUAAUUUUGUCAAACUUAGUUAAACAUAAUUAAAAUUAUAAAAGGGUUAUUUUUUUAAAACAUCUUAUCUUUGAGGACUAUUUUUUAAAAUGCCCCAUUAUGAAAUAUUUACAAAUUAAGUACCUUACCUUCUGAGCAAUAUCUUAAUGAAAAUGUGAGUCACAUGAGAAUAAAUUGUCGAACGACCAGCUUGAAAAUUGAAAAUGCAAUUGACAACUUCCUUAUGAAACAAAAGCUCUGCAGAUGAAGAACAUUUUUAUUUCUUCAAGUUUGUUUUAUCAAUAAUCAAUUGAUUUCAUUUCACUCUUUGUUUAAGAUUUACUAGCCUAAUCUCACCCAUAUAAACAAAAUCAAUUUCGAAUUGUUUAUGCUUUCUAGUUUAGUGAUAUUCAAUGGCUGGAGGCCAUGAGUUCAUGGAUGAAGUAUGGAUAAUCGUCAAUUAAUUAACAAGGCAGUAGAAAUGUAUUUAUAUAGUUAAAAUCAAAAUAAAAAAUUGGAGCCAAAGCCUUUUACCCUUUUUAUAGUUGAUGCUCCUUCCAUCUUUCAUCACUUGACUUUCUCCUUGGUCUUUGAGGUGAUGGCCUUGGAGUACUAGUGGCUUCUUCCAAUAAUUAUUAGUCAUUUUACAAUUAUGAGAAAAUACCUUAUUUAAACAUCUAUAUAAUAUAUUGUCCUUUUCUAAAUAAUGAAGACCUCAAUAAGCUAAGUUUUAAAUUGAUUAAAUUAUGGAAAACUAUUUAAUAAAUUGCUGAUGGAGUUUAAAAUCUCUACCAGUCGAGUUAAAAGGUUGUCAAAUAUCUUAUUAAGUGCAUUUAAAAAAUUAAUAAUAAAUUAAUAUGAUGAAUAAAAAGAUACGUGACAAUAUUCUAAUCUAUCUUGUGUUGUUUAGAAACUAAACUGAUAAUGUAUAAAAUAUUAUUCUAAAUUUCCCAAGAAUAAUUAUAUUUUAUGAAGACUAACACGCCUAUUUUUCGAAGUGGUAAGAACUAAAAGCGUAAUCAACCACCUAUUUAUUGAUGUAUAAACAGUAAAGAUGGUUAGGAAGUUAAUACAAACGAACCACCCAAAAAUUAACAAGUAAAAUAGAAGAAAGAUGGAAGAAAGAAAUGAGAAUACUUGGUAAUUUGCUAACAUGUAGCAGCAGCAGCUAGUAAAAUUCAGAUUAUGCUUUAACGUAGUUUUACAUUCUUGUUACACUGUAUUGUGAUUCUUCUGAUGCAACGUUGCUCAUUUUGCAUGGAGCCUUCCAAACCAAAGAAAGUAAGAAGAGUAGGUACAGGAAAUUUAAUUAAAUAUUGGCAACUUGGCUCAACGUCGUCCCAUUGAGAAAGCUACAAUGCCUAAGCUACUUCAAUGCAUUGAGAAACUUUGUUUUAUUUAUUGUUUUCCAGCUACAAUCCAAAACAUUGUUUUCAUUAAUAGUGUAGAAAUAAAUUUGUUAGAGAUCCUUUGAUUUGACAACUUGUAUACAAAACAAGAAUUUUGGAAAUGGCAACCAUUGUGUUUACACUGAAAAUAUAGAGCUAUUAUUUAUAUAGAGAGACAUGUGAGGUUUAUAUCAAUCACAAGAGCUCGAAGUACAUUUUUCAACAAAAGCGUCCUUAACCUUAAACAACAUCGAUGGAUAGAGUUACUUCAAGACUAUAAUUGCACCAUUUUGUAUCACUCCGACAAGACAAAUGUGGUGAUGGUGUAGACACCUCAUUUUGUCCAAGUCAAUUUAAGUCAUUAUUUUUAUUUUAUUUUAUUUGUAUCCAUAUUUAUUUAGUAUUGGGUCAAAUUAGGUGUGGGUUUAAGUGAUUAAGCCCCUUUAGGAUGGAAGUUUAAUUAAAAGGUUAGGUCUUUUGAGCUUUUAAAUCCAAAGUGUUUUGGGCCACUAUUACAUGAACCUUUCUUGGACUUUCCAGGUCCAAAGGCCUUUAAUUAAAUGGAUUUAAUAAUAAAACAAAAAAAUAGAGAGAAAAUCAAUAAAAUAAAAAAUAAAAAAAAAAACAACAAAUUUGAAAAAUGGAGGUCAUUGCUAAAAACCUACCAUGGCAACCGCUACCUUGUGUGUAUUGAGUCAACCUUGUAUAGGGCUAUGACAAGGUAGAAUUCCUUAGGAGAGUGAGUCUUUUGUACCUCUAAGGGAGAUGUUGCCCACUUUCAAACAUUGCAAUGGCUCUUGGUGACAUCUUUAGAAAUACUUGUUAAGUCUUUAGGGGAGAAAACCCUUUAGGAAAAGAUUGUUCCCAUCUCAAGCAUUGUAAUGGCUAUUAGCGAAAUACUUAAAAAAUCUUGUAAACUCUUUAUAGAGGGUGUGCAGUUGACAGGCUGUUGGGCUAUCUCACUGGUUUAGGUACGUUUGUGGCUAACCAUCUAGGGGUGCCCCUAUAGCUCGAUGAUGGUGCGUUCCUUUUCUUGGUUCCUUUGUACUUAUUUGCAAUAUUAAUAUAACACAAGUGGUUGCAUAUAUGGCAUUUGGUAUGCCUUUUGAUUUUAAUAUUGAUUUCCAUGACUUAACUCAUGGCUAUUAUUCAUGUUGUUCAAAUAUAAUUGAACAAUUGGGUAGCUUGAGUAGAAAUGUCCACCCAAGUGCUGCACGGAUUAUCAUGUACUUAAGCAAAUACGGCGUAGUAUGUGACAGUUGGUAUUAGAGCAUGGGUGAGAUGUGCUAAGCAAAACAAUAAUCAUGGUGACCACAUAGAGUUCACCAAAGGACCAUCAGAAGAUUGAUGAGCUAAAGACCGUGGUGACCACAGUAAAAGCUUAGAUGGUCCCACGUGAGUGAAUAAAUAAAAUUGAGACAGUCUAGCAAAAACUGUCCAAGAUUAUUAAUACCUUGAAUGAUGAGACCAAGGAUGUGUUGAGCACUCUCCAAGGCGAGAUUGGAGAAUUGAAAACUUAAGCAAAUCUUUUGGUUAUUGUUGCAGGUAAUACUAGUGCAAACUAUAGUCGAAAAAGUCGAGGAAGAGUCAACAUGAAUGGGUUCCAUUCGUUUCCUCAGCGCCUUACAAGCGCAAUUGGAAUAGAUGGAGAAGGAGGCCCAAUGAGGUUUAAUGUAUGUAAAGGUGUCAUUGAAUGAGAAAAGAACCAAAGCCAUGCUUGACACAAAGGCCUCAAACACUUUCAUCACCUACGGAUAAGUAAAGAAUUAAGGUCUAAAGAUUCAGAAAGACUUUGGACAGAUGAAAGCAAUUAACUCACCAACCUUCGUUAUUAUGGGGAAUUCAAAAAUUGUGAAGAUCAAGUUCAACUCUUGAGAAGGGAGUGUAAAUUUGACUAUAGCUACUAUAGAUGACUUUGACUUUGUCUUUGGUUUGGAUUUCAUGACAAAGGCAUAGGCCAUUCCAUUUCCUGUGGCUAACUACUUGAUGUUUUUGGGAAGACAACCAUGUGUGGUACCAAUUACAAUCCUACCUAAGAGUGAGAAGAAGGUUAUAUCUUCCAUUCAGUUCAAGAAGGGGAUUAAAAGAGGAAAACUGUUUUAUGUGGCGAUUUCGAUUUAUAAAGAUGGAAGAAGCCAUGAUCUAGUACUUGUAAGACUAAAGUUAGUUUUGGAAGAAUUUAAGGAUAUGAUACUAGAACAAUUACCUAAAAUACUACCACCUUGACUAGCAAUUGAUCAUGAGAUAGAACUAUUUCCGGGAGUUAAGCCUUCGACAAAGGGACAGUAUAGGAUGGCUCCCCCAAAGCUAGCAGAGCUAAAGAAGCAACUUAAUGAGUUGAUACAAGCAGGAUUUAUUUAACCUACAAAAGCACCUUUUAGGGCACCGGUACUAUUUUAGAAGAAGCAAGACGAAAGUUUAUGGUUGUGAGUAGACUCCCGGGCUCUAAGCAAGGUCACAGUAUGAAACAAAUAUCUUAUGCCUUUAAUAGCAUGUUUGUCUACCCAACUGAGUCACACAAACUAUUUAUCUAAAUUAGAUCUUAGGUCUGGCUAUCAUCAAGUUAGAAUUGCUGAUGUGGAUGAACCAAAAACCACUUGUGCCACACGGUACAGUGCAUUUGAAUUUCUUGUUAUGCUUUUUGAACUAACUACUGCUCCUGCCACAUUUUGUACAUUGAUGAAUCAGGUUUUUCAUGACUACUUGGACAAGUUUGUGGUAAUCUACUUGGACAACAUCGUAGUAUACAAUUCAACAUUAGAAGAGCAUAAAAAACAUUUGCGAAAGGUGCUUCAAAGGCUUCGGGACAAUCAAUUAUAUGUGAAAAGUGAGAAGUGUGCUUUUACGCAAACCAAAAUUCAGUUUCUAGGCCAUAUCAUUGAAUAGAGUCAUAUCCAAAUGGAUAUACAAAAGGUGAAGGCCAUUAAGGAGUGGGUGACCCUAAGAAUACAACUGAACUUCGUUCAUUUUUGGGGUUAGCUAAUUAUUACCAGGAUUUGUGGAAAGUUAUUCAAAAAGGAUGGUGGCAUUCAUGAAAUUGAUGAAGAAGGGGCAAAAGUGAAGUUGGACACUGCAGUGCCAAGCAGUUUUUGAAAGCCUAAAACAAGUCAUGAUGAUAGACCCUGUUUUAGCCCUCUCAAACAUCAAAAUGCCUUUUGAGGUACAAAUAGAUGCAUCAGACUUUGCUCUUGAAGAAGUAUUGUUACAAGAAGGAUACCUAGUUGCAUUUAAGAGUCGAAAAUUGAAUGAAGUCAAGAGAAAAUACAUUGCACUAGAGAAAGAACUUUUAGCAGUGAUUCAUUUUCUACGGGUGUAGCAACAUUACUUGUUAAGAUCUUAGUUCAUGGUUAAGAUAGACAACAUAACUGUAAACCACUUUCUCACAUAGCCAAAACUUAUAGCUAAGCAAGCAAGAUGACAAGAGCUCUUGACUAAAUUUGAUUUCUCCUUUGAGCACAAAGCCAGAAAAACCAACUGUGCAGCAAACGCCCUAAGUAGAAAGGUUGAGUUCAUAGCUCUUAGGGUAAUCGAGCCAAUGAUAGGCAACAAAGUGACCACAAAUAUCCGUAAUCUUGUUGAAGAAAACUUGCAUUGAGAUCCCCAAGCAAUUUCCAUUAUAAAGUUGGUUGAGAGUGGAAAGUCAAAAUACUUUUGGGUGGAACAUAGACUCCUACCAAUAAAAGGACCACGUUUAUUUAUUCCAAGAGCGAGAGAGUUGAGAUAGAAGUUGAUGCAGGAAUGUCACAACACCUCUUACGCAAGACACUCAAGUUGGCAGUGGAUCGUUACAUUACUAAAACAAGGUUACUAUUGGCCUCAUAUGUAGCAGAAUGUGAUAGAUUAUGCCAAGACAUGCCUCAUUUGCUAAUAAGACAAAGUAAACAAAUAGAGAUUAAUGAGCAUGCUCGAACCUCUACCAGUGCCAACCAAACAAUGAGAAAAUAUUUCUCUGAACUUCAUAGUAGGACUUCUUAAAGUGAGAGAUAUGAUAGCAAUCUUGGUAGUGGUGAACCGUUUCUCGAAGUACGUGAUGUUCAUCCCAUGUAGAAGUUUGGUUAUACAGAAGAAAUGGCUUGUAUAGGUUUUAAACAUGUGAUAAAAUAGUGGGGUGUUCUUAUGAGUAUUAGUAGUGACAGGGAUCCGAGGUUUACUUGUUUCUUCUAUACAGAGUUUUUCAAGCUAUUGGGGUCAGAACUCAACAUAUCUUCUAAUUAUCACCCGUAAAUAGAUGACCAAACAGAACGCUUAAACGAGUUGUUAAAAGAAUAUCUACGACACUUUGUAUAGGCGAACUAGAAGAAUUGGCCCAACCUGCUAGAUGUGGCCUAACUAUGUUUUAAUUCGUACAAAGCUCAAUGACUAAUAAAACCCUUUUUGAAGUCAUCAUUGGAUAGCAACCUAGACUUCCCCAUACCUCAGUGGAAUCAUAUAGUGGAAACAGUCCUCGAGCCUUUAACUUUGUAAAGGAGUGGAGACAAAACACUAAUAUUGCCAAAGCCUAUUUAGAGAAAGCCUCCAGUCGCAUGAAAACUGGGCAGAUAAAGGUCAAAAGAAGCAACACUUAAAGACAUGAGACCUGGUGCUAGUGAAGUUGGUACCUGAACAACUUUGAUUCUUAAGAAAGAGAUAUUGAAGACUAAUGCGAAAGUCUGAAGGCCUAGUACCAAUUAUGGUAAAGGUGGGGAAGACUUCCUACAUGAUUGAUUCACCCAAGUUGAUGAAGGUACACCUUGUAUUUCACGUCAGCAACCUAAAACCAUUCCACGUAGAUCCAACAGAUGUAAGUAGGAGUCAAGCCAUGAAAGCCACUAUCAUCACCAAACCACUAUCAUAGCGCAGAAUAGAGGAGAUCUUGGCAAGGAUAAUGACAAUAAUCAACUAACGACCAACACAAGAGUAUCUGGUGAGAUAAGAAGGUUUGGGGCCAGAUGAAAUCACUUAGGAGAAGGAAAUUGAUCUCUGCAGCUCAAAACAGAAAAUUGGAGUAUUCUAAGCCAACUAGUGAACGAGGACGUCGAUAGAUUGAGUCGGGGAGGAUGUCAUGAGCCAACCUUGUAUAGGGCUAUGACAAGGUAGAAUUUCUUAAGAGAGUGAGUCUUUUGUACCUCUAAGGGAGAUAUCCUUUACUUUCAAACAUUGUAAUGGCUCUUGGUGACAUCUCUAGAAAUACUUGUUAAGUUUUUAGGGGGGAAAACCCUUUAGGAAAGGAAUGUUGCCAUCUCAAGCAUUGUAAUGGCUAUUGGUGAAAUGCUUAUAAAAUCUUGUAAAUUCUUUAUAAGGGUAAGUAGUUGGUGGGUUGUUGGGCUGUCUCACUAAUUCAAGUGCAUCUGUGGCUAGCCAUCUAAGGCUGCCCCUAUGGCCCGAUGAUGGUGCGUUCUUUUUCUUAGUCCUUUUGUACUUAUUUGCAAUAUUAAUAAAAUAUUUUCUUUUAUAUAACACUGGUGGUUGUAUAAAUGGUAUUCGGUAUGCCCUUUGAUUUUAAUAUUGCUUUCCAUGCCUUAACUCAUGGUUAUUAUUCAUGUUGUUAAGAUAUAAUCGAGCAAUUGACUGGCUUGAGUGGAAGCGUCCACUCGAGCGCCACAUGGACUAUCGUAUACUUAAGCGAAUAGGGGGUAGUUCGUGACAUUGUGCCUCAUGCUUUCCCCUUUUGCUCGAGCACUGGUUUGGAAUUUCUGAAUCCUUCCCCAAAAUGGAAACACAAUAAAAACACGCAAACUAAAAGAUGAUGAAACUAAGAAAAGAUAGGGAAAAGACAAGUCAAAUGCUACCAAUGGCAGUAGUCAAGCCUCUUGUUCGCUACCAAUGGGAGCAACAUCAAAGUGAUCCCCUCUCCUUUAGUUAUAAAACUAGGAGAUAGGAGCAUGGUGAGGGGGAAAAAGAAUCCUUAAAAGAAAAGAAGGAGAAUAUAACAAAUUUAAUAGAUAGCCCAUCACACCUUAUAAAAAAAAAAUUGGUGACAACUCCAAAACCUUCACAUCAAGAUGGACGGAUUCCCAAACUUGCACGUAAUAACAUUAAAAUUUGUUUUGAUGUCGUGGGUUUUGAAUUUUGUCUACUGUGAUUGCUUUGAGUAUGUUUUUUGCGGGCUUCAGGCUGCGUGAUUUUUUUUUUUGAUGGUUGCUAUUUGGCUCCCGAUAUGGUGGUUUUUGUGUAUGGAGUUUUUGAGAGCUUUGAUGCAGGAUUGAUGUGGUUGUGAUGUACGUCUCGUUUAUGAGACUCUAUUGAACAUUUGUAUCCUUGCCAUGAUUCAAUGAUAUUUAAACAUUUUAAAAAAAAUGCUUGAAAUUAAAUCAUAGAAAAUUUGGCUCUCCCACCAAAACAACUUGGUGAGACCAAAACCCCUAAAGAAUUAUUGAUGCCCAACUCUCUCCAUCUAUUAUUUUGCGGCUGUGGCUGUCUGAUUCAAAAGCUUGCCGUGGACCAGCUUUUGCCGCCUGGUUUGACUAAUUGAAUCCAUAGCAACUGUCGACAUGAGCACAUAUUCCCAUUGACUAAAGAUAUACUUACUGUACAUUUUUCAACUCUUCAUUUCAGAAAUAAUGGAUAUGGAGCAAAUUGUGGCUUGGAGAGAAAUAAUUGGACGAAUAAUAGAUGGAUAAAAUCUGUUAUUAAAGAGAAAUAAAAUAUGCUGAUCAAUCAUGGUUGGAUGCAAGUUGUUAAUAAUUAAACAGAAAUAAAUAGUUUAGCAGUUUCAAAAUCCAAAAGGUUAUCAAUAUAUAUAAUAUGCUAAUGCUAUGAAAAAUCCAUAUAUCUAUAGCAGCUAAUUAAGUUUACCCAGGCGAAAACAUUUAUAUGGCACUCCAAGCCAGUAUUUUCACUAAGUCCUGCUUCCACCGAGGCGUUUAUAUGCCAACUCUUCCGUCCAAAUUUCGGGGGAGACAAUGCUUGGCUUCCACAAACUCAAUGGCUGCAGCAGCCCUGCAAGGCUCUCCGCUGUCGGCAAACACUCACCAAGAAGUCUUUCGUCCUUUGGCAGACUUCCCCCCGGAUAUAUGGGGCGACUGUUUCAUGUCUCUCUCGCUCGAUAACUUGGUAACUCACGUUUCUCACGUAAAUUAUAUGCAUUUGUAUGUUAAUUUUCACAUUUAUUAUAUACGAUAUAAGUAAGUGUUUAUAGAUAAACAAACAAAAAUAGAAUAUAACAUGUUUUUCGUAAAAAAAAAAAAAAGAAAGGUAAAAGUACGAUAGUUGGAAAAUUAAUAAAUAUGAAACAGAACAAACAUGAAACUUUUUGGUGUUUGAAAAAGAAAUAAAAACAUGAUUGAAAGACGUAUGAAAGUACAAAUAAUCAACAGUUUAUUUGAAAUUGAGGAGUAAAGUAUGAUAACGAGAAAGUAUCGAAGAUCUCUAAUUAUUGUACCUUAAGUUGCUUUCCUUGUGCGUUCUGCAGGAAUUUGAAUCACUCUGUAGACAAGUAGAGGUGUUGAAAAAGAAGGUGAAGGGCAUGUUAUCGGCUCCGAGUGACCAAGUAGAAAAAAUCCUCUUGAUCAACUCUCUAUGCCGCCUUGGAUUAUCGUACCACUUUGAGAAUGAGAUUGAAGAGCAAUUAAGUUACCUUUUUGUUUCAUUAUCUAAACAUAUGGAUGAUAAAGACUAUGACUUGGAAACAGUUGCAGCGAUAUUUCAAGUUUUCAGGCUACAUGGUUAUCGAAUGCGCUGUGGUAAGUCUCAUUUACGAAUAUAUGUAUAUGCAAAUUUUAUUGAAUUAGUUCAUUAAGAACAUUUUUUAUCACUAGCAUGCAAUGAAGGAUGCUAGCUAAUCCAAUAUUGGAUUUUAUAUCAGAUGUGUUUAACAAGUUUAAGGAGGGUGAUGGUGAGUUCAAGGAAGUGUUAGCUAGUGAUGUCAAGGGCAUCCUAAGCUUGUAUGAAGCUAGCCAGUUCAGAAUAAAUGGCGAGAAAAUUUUAGAUGAAGCCCUUGCUUUCACAACGAAGCACUUAGAGUCCUUGACAGACCAAUCAAGUCCCCAUCUUAGAGAAUACAUAGGAAACGCUUUGAACCGACCUUAUCACAAAGGCAUGCCGAGAGUGGAAGCAAGGCAAUAUAUAACUUUCUAUGAAAAAGAAGAAUCGCCCAAUGAAACAUUGCUCAAGCUCGCAAAAUAUGAUUUUAACCGAGUCCAAUUUCUACACCAGCAAGAAUUAAGCAUCCUUUCGAGGUUAAUAUUAGUUCUAAGCUUUAAGGAUGAUAGGUGCAAGGUAUUCUUCUUUUGAGAUAAACAUGUUAGAUGAUAAUUGAUUGCAAACUCUAUUAUUUGUGUUGCAGUUGGUCCAAAGACUUGAACAUAGCAUCACAACUUUCUUACGCCAGAAACAGAACGGUGGAGAUCUUUUUUUGGACAGUUGGAUUUUAUUUCGAGCCACGUUAUGCACUUGCCCGAAACAUAUUCACUAAGCUGCUGAUCAUCUUAGGAUUUAUAGAUGAUACCUAUGACGCAUAUGGUACCUUCGAAGAACUCCAAUGUUUCACAGAUGCAAUACAAAGGUACCCUUUUUAUCCUUUCCUUUUUUAUACAAGUCUUUCUUUCCAUUUGUUUCACAUAUGGAAGGUUUUUUCUUUUUUUUUCUUUCGAUGAUGUCUGAUCAAGUAAAUUCUUCAUGUUUAGGUGGGAUAUUAGUGCCCUUGAUCAGCUGCCCGCAGAUUAUUUGAAAUUUCUUUAUGGGGCACUCCUUAAUGUUUAUGAUGAAGUGGAUAGAAUGGUGAGCAUGGAUGGGAGAUGUUACAGCAUGUCUUUUACCAAAGAUGAGGUGAUCAUUCUUUCUUAUCCUCCACCUAGUUACACAAUUAUCGAUAGUUUUAUUUACAUUGAUGAGAAGCAUAUAUCUUAGAGUAAAGUUGUGUAUAUGUUACUUCCAAAGCUAUGCAUACUUAUGAUUUUUGUCCCUAUGGUUUCAAAUUUCACAUUUUUUAUUGAAGACUUCUCAUUUGACUAAAAACUCUAUGCCCAAUAAAACAUGGGACAAAAAAAACAUGCACCUUGUUAUUUCUUUGAUGCUUAAGGGCUCAAUGUACUGGAGUUGACACUGAGACUUUACCUUUUUGUGGUAAAUUAGUUGAAGAAAAUUGUUAUUUCCUACCUGGUUGAAGCUCAGUGGACGCAUGAAGGUUAUAUGCCAACAUUCGAUGAGUAUUUGGACAUUGCAUUACAUUCAAGUGCAGCCAUUCUAGUGAUUGCUGAAGUCUUGGUCGGAAUGGAAGAAGCAGAUGCCAAUGUUUUUGAAUGGUUGAGACAAGGUGACAGUAAAUCUCUUGCAGCAAUAAAAAUAAUUGGCCGUCUCUAUGAUGACAUCGCAACCAAUGAGGUAAUAUUUAUAAUUUUAUUUUCAAAGGGAAAAUAGAAAAAUAUUCUAAUUACCAUAUUCUCUCAUUCGACCAAAUAAGCUUUAUAGUUUUAGCUAACUAUAUGCCCUUUGAUAUGAUGGAAGGAUGAGGAAAAGAGAGGACUAGUUGCUUGUGGAAUCAAAUGUUAUAUGAAGCAAUAUGGCGUUUCAAAGGAAGAAGCUAUUGAAGAAUUUCGAAAAAGACUUGUCAUUGCUUGGAAUGAGCUUAAUGAAGAUCAUAUGAGGCCAACGACUGUCCCAAUGGAAAUCCUUAAUCGUGUUCGUAACAUUGCAUGUGUAAUAGAUCUUACAUACAAGGAUGAGGAUGGAUUUACCAUGUCUGAGAAAAUUUUGAAAGACCACAUUACCAAAGUGCUCAUUGAGCCCAUUCCUAUUUGAGAAAAGGCAUUCCAUGUCUGUACAAGUACGACUACAUAUUGUAUUUGCAAGUUAGGUUAGGGUUCAUUUUGGUUUGCUGCGCUACUUUUGAUCAUGAUAUAGCUCUUAAUGUUGAGGUAUUUUCUGAAUCAGGGUUGUGAUGCUUCAGUCAUCUUAACUGACAGCAAAGGUGAACGAAGCAAUUUCACUGAGAGGCAAGCUGUGCCAAAUAGGACAUUGAAAGGUUUUGACAUAAUAGAUUUGAUUAAGGAGGAGGUUGAAAAGGCUUGUCCUGGAGUAGUAUCAUGUGCUGACAUACUUGCACUUGCCACCAGAGAUGGCAUUCUUCUGGUCUGUUUAAUCUCUCUCUUCAUAGAUGUUCUUUUUCUUUCUGAAAUUCCUCUUCCAUUCAAGGGAUAUCAAGGUUCAAAAAUUGGAGGGGUCGUUUUAGUUUUGAGUAUGAUAUAUACUUGUGUUGGUGUGUAAGGCAUAGACUGGUAAAAGAGUACUUCUCUCUGCACAAUUUUAUAAAUGGAGACUCUGGUUAAAUACUCUGGGCUACUCCUCUAACUGGUUGCUCAAAAAUCAAAGUGUACAGCAAUUUAAGUUGGUUUUGUAGUAUAACUGUAAUGGGCUCUUUAACAGAUAUAGGCUUUUACAUAUAUGCUUCUUUCUCUCAGUAUUAUGCCCUUUUUGUCAUUGCCCAUAAUUAUACUUUUUCCAAAACUUCAAGAGUACUGAAACUUCAAAAUGAUUUUAGAUUUCACAUUACGCUUGAAUUAAUAUGUCAUUAGCAUGAAGACAAACAGAUGUAGAUUGGAAUUGGAUAUUGGGAGGAGGAUUAAUAUCUUUUACAAUAUUAGCAGUAAGAGUAUGAUGCUUUCACUGAUAGGGCUUUCUAUUUGGUACAUCUCAAAACUGAAUUGUGUGGACUUCGGAGACAUGCUAUUGUUCUUUGGACGUCUUUCUUUUUGUCCUUCCUUUUGUAUUCUGAAAACCAAAGAGAAAAAAAGAAGCUAAGAUUGUAGCUGAACAUGUUACCCAAUCCAGAUAACUGCGUGCGUGGUUCUCUUUGAGGAUACUCAUUCAUAUUUAUUUUCAAUGCUUAUAUCAUGAAACAAUGUUGCUUUCAGAGUUUAUCAUUAUAUAUUUGAAAGUAUGCUGGUUUCUUAAUGCGCUAUCUUCCGUUUGAAUCACAGGUUGGUGGCCCAUUUUAUCCUGUAUUCACGGGUAGAAGGGAUAGCAUUCAGUCUUACUUCAAUGAAGCAGUUGCUGAGAUUCCAAAUCCUGAUGGUAACCUCUCGGAGACACUUUUCCUCUUUGGCCUUAAAGGUUUUGAUGAAAGAGAGACAGUCAGUCUUUUAGGUAUAUACCUGGAAUUUUUGUCCCCUUGCCUUAUCUCCCUCUAUAUGGUCCUUGAAAAGUGAAACUUAAGAUGUCAUAAUGGUUCUUUCUGAUUAUCUGAAGGGGCACAUAAUAUUGGAAAAAUUAGCUGUGAGUUUAUUCAGAAUCGCCUCUACAAUUUCUUAGGGACUGGACAGCCAGACCCAAGCGUUCCAUUGGAUUUUCUCAAUGAAAUGAGAAUAAAUUGUCAAGAAAUUCGUGACAGCAGCAAUGGUAUGUCUCCUACUGCCACAAAUCCAUGUAUCUCGGAAAGUACUGUCUUCCAAGGACUAACUUCAAUUUCCUCCGGAGCUGGUUUUGACAAUCACUUUUAUCAGAACUUGGUAAGGGGUAGAGGACUCCUCUUUUCUGAUCAACAACUAAUGGCUGAUGAGAAGACUGCUAGAUAUGUAAGGGAUUAUGCCUUUGGUAAUGGAUCAGCCUUUAGAACAGACUUUGCCAGGGAUAUGGUAAAGAUAUCUGUACUCGAUGUAUUGACAGGAUUCCAAGGUCAGGUCCGAACUAACUGUUCCCUGCCUCUCUAUGGCUCUUAAACAACAGUCUCCUAACCAGGUUGUGCAUUUUGAGAUUCUCCAAUUCUUUACUAGUUUAAUGUACUACUAUCUCGAGGAGUUGUACAAUUGAUGAAAAACUUUUUGCUUCAAUACCUUCAACUACUAUUAAACCCAAUUGUGGAGCAAUAAUCAAGUUGAGGAUGACAUUUUGAUCUGUUUGUAAGUUUGAUCAGGAGAAUUCUGGAUAAGUAAUAUCUGUAGUGUACGAGCAUGAUUUCACUUCAUCAUUUUUGCCUGGUAUUUGGAAACUAUUCUGUGUGAGUGUGAAGCAUUAAUUUGCAAAUUCCUAGCUGUCAUGGUAAUCACUCACAGGCUUCCUAGAUGUCGGAUUAUUAUCAUCUGUCUGUGUAAAGACUGUUGUCUCUAGAAAUGCAACGAAGAUUCUGUCAACCCUUUUGGUUGUUGAAAAUGGGAAUGUCAGAACAUAAAAUCUUUUAGUUAUCAUAAUCGUCAUCUUCUUCUUCUUUGUUUUACAUGCAAAAGUUUUGUGUUCAUGCUUGUCUCAUAUUUUAAUCUGUCAUGAGCAGGACUACAAACUCCAUGUAGUCUUGCAUAUUCGAAUAAUGGUGUGCUUAAUUUGGUUUAGCAAAAUGAAUUUCACUGCCAGAUCAAAUCAAGUCAACAUAAAGAUGGAAGCUAAAACCACUAGGGAAUGGGGCACAACAGACAGUGCACAAAUGCAGGUUCUGAUACAUAGAUGAACUAGAUUUUUAGUGCGUACUCUAAUUUGCAAAAACUUGCCCCAUUCUUCUUUUCAAGCAAAGUUCCUUUUUUCGCUUAAAGCAUGUCGCAAUUAUUAUUCUGAAGUCACAGAUGAUGCGGUAUGGAAACUAAGCACAGAUCUUUUCUUUGCAAUGAAGCACGGAAAUGUUCAGUCAUGUCUAAAUCUUCAGGCUUCUUUCCAUUAGGAAGCUUCCAAUCAAAAUGGUAGAGCAGAUUUGCAAGUAUAAGCUCUACAAUUGCAAUACCAUACGUUAUACCAGGACACAUCCUCCUUCCAGCACCAAAUGGAAUAAAUUCAAAGUCUCCUCCCUUAUAAUUAAUUGAACUAUCACAAAAUCUCUCAGGAUAAAACUUCUCAGCGUCAGUCCAGUUAUUUUGAUUUUGUCCUAUUGCCCAUGCAUUAAUUAUG